UUUUAUUUUUGUAUGCAUUUAAUUCAGAGUAAAAGAAACUUUUGAUACAAAUCAAUUAUUGCCUGAAGAUAUACUUUGCACCUACAAUGUAAAAAUUGUUUAGUUUGUACCCUCAAGUCAUGAUUUAAAAACAACUAGCAUACUUACGUGGGAAAGAGCACAACCAAGCCUGGAUUUAUCAUAUAAGUAGACAUUGACAUAUUGAUUCAAAUCCCACUUAUUUGCGUCAGUGGUAAAAAACACCUCAAGAAGGUCUUUGUCCAAGCCAAAAUUUCAGGGUGGCCCAAACCCCUAUUGUAGUGAGGUUGGAGGCCCCUAGACAACCCCUCAUAGCCCCACAUCUAAGAGCUUUCUCCUUGAGCUCCUACCGACAUGUACAAGAGGUAGGAAGGAAUUUUCGUUUAUCAUCCACCGUACGCCUGUGUUCCCAACACCGGUAUUUUUUCGCUCUCCACCCGCAUCUGGACCGCUUCCACCACAUCAACUCCAUUUCCUCCAUUCCCGGCCCCCCUCUGGGUCCCCCCGCCCCCACCGCCGCUCUAGCACAUGCCACAUUGCCACUCCCACCCCAUGUGGAUCAACCACAUAUCUAUUCCCUGUUGCCGGCCUCAUCCGGCCUCCUUCCACCUCCUCAACUCCAUUUUAUCCAUCAGCGGCCUCCUUCGAGCUCCCAGCAUCAGCGCCUGACACAGCUCCGCCACCUCCUCCCGCCACCGCACGCCUGACUGAGGAGAGUGAUGGAAGCAAAAAAGGAAAAAAAAAUUGAGCCACUAACGAGUGGGUUCCAUAUGUAAUACUAAAAUAGGGCUAAAAAGUGGCUAUUUCUUAAGUCGGAGGCUUUUUUGGGGCUGAAAAUGUAGGGGAAGCCCCUACUUGGUCUGCAGGUUAUUUUAGGGGCUAUUGCAGGAGAUGCUCGAGAGGGAAUCCCGUGCAUUAAGUUUGGCUUUUGCCACAUAAGCAUGCCACUUGUGGACCCACAGUUGACCAAACCACCCCAUCCCCCAAAGGGGUUCAGUGAUAUGGUAUUUGGGCUUGAAGGUGCGAACUACUCCCUCCUUCCAUCUACAUAUGUGUAGGGCCUAAUGCGUUUUUCAAGGCUAACUUUCACCAAGUGUUAGAGCAAUAAUAUAUGACAUGCAAGUUACCCAAAGCAUACCGUCAAAUUCGUAUGUGAAAGAAGCUUCCAAUGAUAUAAUUUUCACAUUAUAUAUCUCAUGUAUUAUUAAUCUUAUCAAUAGUCAAAGGCGGUCUUGAAAAACGCAUUAGGCCCUAUAUAGAUGGAAGGAGGGAGUAAACGGUUUUUAGUGAGGUGUGCAAAGUAGACUCAAGCAAUAAAACCAGAAGUAAAGUUAUGAAAAUAAAAUAAAACAAUAAACCAACAUAUAUGACGAAUGGUUUGCUAUCUAUCCAUUUUCAUCAAACAAAAAUGUUUGUCUCAUAUGACAUUAUUAUUAUGCAGGAGUUACAAUAGGAUUAUUUGGCCUAAUCGUUAUUAUCAUGGCCACUAUCUUCUGGGGACAAUUGAUAUGUCAAAAGAGGAAACUGAAUAAAGUCAAGCUUGAGUAUUUUCGCCAGCAUGGAGGCAUGCUUUUGUUUGAUAAGUUGAAAUCAGAGAAAGGUCUUGCCUUCAAGGUAUUUUCAGAAGAUGAGCUAAUACAUGCAACUAACAACUUUGACAAUAGAAGAAUACUUGGAAGAGGUGGGAACGGAACAGUUUAUAAAGGGAUAUUGAAGGACAAGAUGUCAGUUGCAGUUAAAAGAUGUGCAUUGGCUGAUGAAAGGCAAAAGAAAGAAUUUGGACAAGAGAUCAUUAUUUUGUCCCAAAUCAAUCACAAGAACAUAGUGAAACUCUUGGGUUGUUGCCUUGAGGUUGAAGUUCCAAUUCUAGUAUAUGAGUUUGUCCUAAACGGUACACUAUUCGAGCUUAUCCAUGGCAAGAACCACCUAAAAAUCUCCUUCAACACUCUCUUAAGAAUUGCUCAUGAAGCAGCCGAAGGACUCAGCUUCCUGCAUUCGUAUGCGUCUCCUCCAAUAAUUCAUGGUGAUGUGAAAAGUUCCAACAUCUUGCUUGAUAAUAACUAUAUGGCCAAAGUGUCAGACUUUGGAACCUCCAUACUAGCCCCGUCUGACAAAGAGCAGUUUGUCACAAUAGUUCAAGGUACUUGUGGUUACCUUGAUCCUGAAUACAUGCAAACAUGUCAGCUAACAGACAAAAGUGAUGUGUACAGUUUCGGAGUUAUCCUUUUAGAGAUUCUCACAGGCCAAUUGCCACUAAAGCUCGAGGGGUCUCGGAGACGCAAAGAAGCUUGUCAUUGGUUUUCUUGUGUGCUAUGAAGAACAAUAAUCUAGAUGAUAUGUUGGCGAGCCAUGUGAAAAGCGAAGAGAGCAUGGAAUUGCUGAUAGGACUUGCAGACCUAGCAAAGCAAUGCCUAGAUAUGCAUGGUAUCAAUAGGCCCUCAAUGAAAGAGGUUGCCGAUGAGCUCAACAAAUUGAGGAAGCUUUCAGUGCAUCCUUGGUUACAACUUGACAUGGAGGCAAAUGCAGAAAGCCUUCUUGGUGGAGAGCCAACCAGCGGUCAUGAAAUUGAAUUAAGUGGGUAUACUAUAGGAGAAAAUGAGAACCAACCUAUAAACCCAAGAAGUUCUUAUUAUGCUAAGUGAUUAAGACAUGCACGAUAUCCAUUGAAGGAUGUGCCUUCCAUGCUUGAGUUCUUCACAAACAUCCCUUUCUAAACAUUUUUCUCCUCGCAUCUGCAACUGGGAUUAAGCUUGUUACGAUGUGCACUUUAUUUUCUGGUUAGCACUAUUGCAUCUGUGUGUAUUUUAUUCAGUUUUAUUCGAUCCAUAUGUACUUCUCACACACUGUUAUCUAUGGAACAUAUUUGAAUCCACAUGGUAUAUAUUGUUUUUUGCGAAAAUCCACAUGUUAUAUAUGUAUAUAGGCGAAAUUGUGGAUAGCAAAAUGUAUUGUGGUUGCAACCAUCGCUGCCGCACAUGCCUGCCCGUGAUCCGUGCGCAUGAAAGAGAGGUAGAAAUAUGCGUGCUUUUACUCAAUUUCUAGCCCACUUCACCCGGCGAUUCCCUGACCAUUUCUACAGCGGGGGAAGCCUUUCGUGCAGAGAGACGUUGCUGGUGUUAGAGUCGGUGGUCGAGUAGGAGGCACCGAAUCAGCCGCCGAAACUUUUGGCGCCCCAUGAAAUUUAUGUGGUCCGUGACCUGCCACUGUUUUCGAGGGUCCCAUCGUUCUCUCACUAUGGUGGAGGGUAAAUUAAAGGACGCCGCUAACUGCCACACGUGUGGUAGGAAAGGAGACGCACCACAGAUCUCUAAUGCAAACAGAUUGCCACGUCAUUGCAUGCAUGCAUGUAGAAAUCUUUUUGGAUUUUCAGUUUUUAAAAUGUUUUAUCUCUUAAACGAAAAAUCCGAUUGAAGAUCCGUUUUCACCAUUAAAUCCCUCACGAUGAGAUCUUCGAAACUAGAUCCCAUGUUGAUAUGUUUUGAUGAAAAAAAAUUUAGAUUAAAAGUUGCCAUGUCUAUUGCAUAUGAAUUGCCAUGAUGUUUACACUGAAGUUGUCAUGAUAUAUUUCAGCUAUUUUCUUCUACAUUUAAAAGUAAAUUUUGACAUUUAUAAAACGAGGAAUUAAGAAACUAGACUUGCCAUGAACCAUAAACUAAAAUUGCCAUGAUACAUGCAUGUAAAAUUGCCAUGGUUCAUACAAAAAACAAUUUUCAUGAUCAAAGUAUUGGAGUUGCCAUCAUCAAAAUACUAAAAUUGCCAUGAUCUACAAACUAAAAUUGCCACAUGGCAACUUUAAUUUAAGCCCUAUGGCAACUGCAGUGUAAACAUCAUGGCAACUUCUGCGCAAAAAAAAAAAUCGUCGAAACAUAUCAACAUGGGGUCUAGUUUUGAAGAUCUCGUCGAGACGAAUUUAAUGGUGAAAACGGAUUUUUAGUUCGCUUUUUUAUUUAGAAGAUACAACAUUUUUAAGCCGAAAACCAAAAAAAUUCCUGCUGAUGUCAUCUAUUCAUACGUGGCAAAAUGAAUGAUGAUGGAGGCGUGCACGUGUGGACGUUAACAUUUUCCAAAUUAAAUCACGCUCGAUCUUUUUCUCCCCGCUGGCCAAAUCCAGCCACGAGGACACCCUUUGUCCCCUUCUUCUUCCUUGACAUUUUUCUGCCCCUCAUGUCCCAUCUACUCCCCCGAUCUGGAGCACCAGCAGCGCCACGAGCCCCAAGCCGUUGCCCGACCUGCUCAUCUCUUUCCCUCCUCUGGUUGCCCGAGCCGAGGCCGACGGCGAGCUGCAGGACGUCCACGACAUCAAAUCACGAACACACGCGACACAAAAACUGAUAGCCAAAGGUACCUCUUGUACCCUAAAAAUUCCUCUCUUUAUUGCUUUUUCUAUUUUUCUCCACACGAUGUUACAACUCACGCAGGGCAUAUGUAUAUAUACACAGCCCAACGCACACGGCCACACGUACAAAUCAUAAACGGACUUGUAUUACACCUUUUUUUUCCGCAAGAUUUGUAUUACACCUUGACUCACGUAGACAAUAAACUACUAGGACACGGCUAACCAAUCCUAACCAGACUACUACUCCGAGCCCUACACGUACUACAGAAACUAGACCAACUAGUACAUAGUACUUCUAUACCUGAUCGCUAAUCAACUUAGCUAACACUAAUAAACCAUCUUUAACAAGAUUAUCUAACAACGAGCCCGUCGACUGGUAAGUAUUGUGACUUCCCUGGCAUGGAGAAAUGGCGUCAAGAGCUGCUGAUGUCGACGCUCGCCAACAUGGUAGACAACCUCGAGACCUUCCGCGACAACGACUUCAUCCGCAAGGGUGUACUAAAUUAAGUUGUACCCGCAUCCUAUGUUAUCAAAAGAAAAUGUUUCGGGAUUGUUAAACACUUGACGUUGAGACGAGACCUUAUAAAAAUUGCAGGGAAAGACCAUGCAAGCUACUACGUCUGUCCUGAUUUAUUGGUCCUCCUUGUAUUAUGUGCUAAAUUUUGACCAUACAUAUAACUAACAACAUGUUCAUGCAUGUCACCAAAAAUUAUAUUGUAAUCACAAGCUAGAGCAAGACAACCUUUGAGUCGCACACAAGGAUUCCAUCUUCUUUCAUUUUCCUCUUCUUUCAACCUAGAAUCCAAUAUAUGGUCUCAAAGCAUUGUCUAUGGAUAAACCUUCAAGUAUAACUCAAUACAAACACCAGUCCACAUGGAUUGUCCUUACUAACCAAAAAACACACACAUGGGGGCACCAUACACUUUCAUUGUGAAACUUGCCAUCUUCGGAGUGGUGGAUGAAGCUAGACAUGACGAUUGAGAAACCAACUUUGUGGAGAAGAAUGCGAGCAUUUAGUGGUGUUUGAGGAACUUCAUGGUUACCUCACCUCUCCAAUGGUGAUUAAUUAGGUUCCUUAUGGAAGUGAACAUUGAGAUAAAUCUUCAUCUCCUCAUGUCUUGACUAUCCUUACCGAAGUUAUUUACCCAUUAGGCGGCAUCACAUCUAGUGAUGCCGUUGGAUGAAAAAAAAUCGUUAAAAACCGCAGCGCGUUGGCGAGGAAUUGACCUUGUAACGAGUCUCUGGUGAAUGCAUGUUCCUAGCCACCGGAGUUGACUUGCAUUGUGGAUUGUAAGGCAGCUUAUACCUUAUUGAACCAACCAGAGCCACAUAACCGAACCGCGCCAUUAUAGCGAACCGAAGUCAGUCACUGUAGCGAAUUAAACCAUGGCAAUGUAGUGAACCGGAAUUAGUUACUGUAGCGUGCAUUUUUAAAACAAAAUGAGGAACAUUUUUUCAAAGUUGUAUAUUUUGAAAGAGUGCGAUUGUUUUUGAAUUUGUGAACAAACGUCCUAAGACAGGAAACAUUUUUUGAAAACCCAAAAUAAAUUUUGAGAGCAUGAACAUUCUUUGAAUGUGUGAACAAUCUUUUUAGAAAAUCACAAGCAAAUUUGUUGAAGUUGUGAAGAUUCAUGAAAUUCCGAACAAAUUUUGAAACCGUUAAAAAAAAUUGGUUUGUGAAACAAAAAUUGAAAAUGCCAUGAAAUUCCGAACAAAGAAAAUUCAACCAUGAACCUUGUUAAAAUUCCUGGAUUUCUUUUAUAUUUUCUACAUUGUUUUCUUACUUUUAAAUAAAUUUUUUGAGCAACUGUAGAUUUUGUUUUUUCUGUGUUUUUUCAUAAAGAAAAAUGUCUAGAAGGCCGAACAUAGCGCCCGUCGGCCCGCAGCACAAGGUCCCUGGCUGGGCCAUGUGAGCGUGGCGCCGCUGCAGCCCACAGAGACGAGCGAGACUAGCUAGGGUUUACACUCUCCUCUCCUCUCCUCUCCUCUCCUCCGAAUCAAAGAAGCUGCGGCGGCCGGUCGUGCUCAAGCCUCAAGGUAAGGUACCGCCGUUUUUCGCUUCUCCUCUCCUCUCCUGAGAGACCCCUCCCUCCCUCCCUCUUCCUUCCUUGCGUUGGUUCCCCGAUUCCACAUGUAGACGGUCUUUUUUUUCUGAUUCGCUUUCUUGUUCUUGAUAGAUAGGGGAAACCAAUCCGGUUCAUGUUGGAAAGCCAUUCUCCUAGGUAGUAGUAGUAGAAAGUAAGCUUUUUGGCUAGGGUUGCACCAAAUACUUGUGUAUUAUUUCUAGUUGAGCAGAUAUCAGAUUGGCCCUGUGAACUCAUCGUCCGUGGCAGGCAAAAUGAUUGAUUUCCUUUACUUUCUUUCUUGAACAACCAAGAGCUACAAGUGCUAGCAACUAAUUUGCAUAUAUGCUCUGGUUUUCUUGCUAUUAAUUAGCCAGGUGCCUCCAAAGUCCAAAUAAGUUGGUUCAGAGUCAGCACGUUUCUUUGUAUUCUCUUUCUUAGUUUAUUAUUCAGGCUCUUCUUGCUACUUUAUUAUGGUGGUAGCGCCAUUUUUUCUUUCCACCAAUCUAGACACAGAUAAGUUGCUAGCUAGCCUGGUUACAAUAAAUCUCCAUGCGUGCCUGGUUGGUUCAGAUUCAGCACGUUUCUUUGCAUUCUCUUAGUUUGUCCAUAAAUAAAGUUAGUUAAUGUUGUAUAGCCAUUCUCCCAGGUAGUACUAGUAGAAAGUAAGCUUUUUGCCUAGGGUUGCACCAAAUACUGAGUUGUAUUUAUAGUUGAUGAACAGAUAUUAGAUUGGCUUUAUCUAUCUAUUAAUAAUAGCUGCACCCUGUGAAUCCAACGCAUCGGCUGUGGCAAAAUGAUUGAUUUCCCUGCCUUAUUUCUUGCCCAACCAAGAGCUUCAAGUACUGACUAAUUUGCAUAUAUGCUCUGCUUUUCUUGUUAUUAAUUAGGUGCCUCCAAGUAAGUUGUUCGUUCAGAUUCAGCACGUGGGUCUUCAUGCGUCAAUUCUUGCUUGUUUCUUUGCAUUCUCUUAAUUAGUUAGUUCAUUAUUCAGGCCCUGCUACAAAUUGUCAUUUUUCUUUCUAAUAACAAUCUAGAGACAGAUAAGGUGCUAGCUAGCUACUAAAAUAAAUCUCCAUGCUUAUGAACAACACACAAUUAAGUUUUGGACAGAUACAGCAGAAAGUGCUCAGACUUCAUCACUAGUUGGACUUCUUCGUAAUGAGUGUCUGUCCCAAGUGUGAUCUCCAUCUAUCUUCACAUCCAUUAUUUAUUCUGAUAUAUCAUAAGUUUGAUGAGAACAGCACUUUGGUUGUUUUCUCAACCUUGAUAUAUAUUACCUGAUGAUUGGUACAGCUGAAUUGUUCGAUGGAGGACCUACCGGAGGCUCUGCUGACUGAGAUUCUCAAGAGGAUAACCAGGACAAUGAUCUCAAUUCUCUUUCCCUCGUGUCAAAGCAGCUCUACAAGAUAGAGGGGAAUCAAAGGGGUGCUAUCCGUGUUGGUUCCCAUCUUUGCAUUGCUACAGAAGCACUGACAUCAUUGUGCGCCCGGUUCCCAAAUCUGCAGAAAGUGGAAAUCGAUUACUCUGGUUGGAUACCUGGACAUGGAGAUCAGUUGGACAACAAAGGCCUUUCUGUGUUUUCAUCUCUCUGUUCCUCACUGGUUGACCUCACCUUAAGCUUCUGCUCAUGCAUUGAUGACUCUGGGCUUGCUUGUUUAGCGAAUUGCAAGAAAUUGGUGUCUCUCGGGCUCAACUCCACACCACAAAUAACGCCAGUUGGGCUUUUCUCGGUUGCAGUUGGUUGCACAAGUCUAUCUGCUCUCCACCUUAUUGGUUGUGAGAAAAUUGACAGUGUAGAGUGGCUGGAAUACCUUGGUAGGGAUGGACCAUUGGAAGAGCUUGUGGUGAAGAAUUGCAAAGGUAUCAAUCAUCAUGACUUCCUAAAGUUUGGUUCAGGAUGGAUGAAGCUCCAGAAGUUUGAGUUUGAGGGCAAAAGAGGAAGAUAUGAUAGUCUUACCGGUGAUGUGAUCUAUGACUCCUCGUACGAUGCUCACAGCAUGGAUUUGUAUGAUUUCUGCUGUGAGAGUUUGAAGGACUUAAGGUUGGCGCGUAUUAAAACUUGGCCGGAAGUAGGACUUCGUGUUGUCCUAGGGAAAUGUAAAGCAUUGGAGAAGCUUUGCCUUGAGUAUGUUUGUGCCCUAAAUGGCAAUGACAUGAUUGCAUUAUCUCGGAGCUGCAGCAACCUUAAAAGCAUCUCACUUUGGCUCAACCUGCAGCACUACACUAGUGAUGUCAACUAUUGUGAGACCAUGACGUCAUUUACUGAUAACAGCCUUUACGCUCUAGCCCUCAACUGUCGUAUGCUUCAGAUGGUAGACCUCAACUUUAUAGGAUGUGCUGCUGACUGGCCAUCAGAAAUAGGAUUCACACAACAGGGUUUUCUAGUGCUGAUUCAGUCCUGCCCGAUUCGUGUUCUCGUGCUAAAUACUGCCAACUUCUUUGAUGACGAGGGGAUGAAGGCCCUGUCAUCCUCACCAUAUCUGGAUACACUCGAGCUUAUACUUUGUGAAGCGGUAACUGAUGCUGAGAUGCGCUUCAUUGCGGACACCCCAUGCUUGAGUAAUCUCACACUUCGGAUGUGUCAUAACGUUACUGAUGUUGGAGUGGCUGAACUGGAAUAUGCACAGAAGUUAGAGUCUUUGGUCAUCGAGUCUUGUGGUGAGGUCUCUCUGCAAGCUGCGCAGCGUGUUGCCAAGUCAGUUCAGUACUCCAGCGAGUGUUCAAAUGCCCUUAUGAAGAAAAUUGGUCUUGGCGGCUAUUGGUGAAGUGGUCUCCAAAAAAAUUAGUAUGAAUUUGCUGCUGAAGCCAUUAAGUUGUUCAGUGUGCAUCAUUGGACAAGGCAGUGCAUCAUCCGACCUAGAUUCACUUGUCUGGACUUUCUAUUGCCUUUACCUUUACUGCAACGAGUUUCCUUUAUGACAUUCUAAUGAUCAAUUCUGGAUGGCAAUUGAUUAAUGAAACUUUAAUAGUAGGCACCACUUGUGUAUUACUAUCAACCGUAAUUCUGGUUGCUUAAUUUCUACUCUCUGUAGCCGUUUCGAAACCAACAUCAGUAGGCCCCAAGAUUCCCUGUUUCUGCUGUGGAGGCAGUAUAUGAUCUUUUGGUGUUAUUUCUUAUUUGUAUUAUUUAAGCAAAUGUCAUGAACCCCUUUUUAUUGCGGAAGUGAUUUUGAAGACAUAUAUAUCUGCCUGCUAUGUUCGCGUGCCAAUUUUGGUAUGGAUCAAUGUAGUAACAAUAGUCCAAGUUUUGAUGCUUGUUUUGUUGAUAUCGACUCUAUUGGAGGAUGUCUUUGAUUGCUUCUCAAAAGAAUAGUGCUAGUUGCUACUCCCUCUGUAAACUAACGUUAAGAUGUUUUUGCAGUUCAAACUGAACUGCAAAAACGUCUUAUAUUAGUGUACAGCGGUAGUAGCAUCAAGAGUAGAAAUUAAGGGGCUGUUUGGUUUGUAGCCACAUAUUGCCACACUUUGCCACACCUCAUCUUAGGCAAGUUUGAUCAAGUUAGGUGGCUGUUUGAUUCUAGCCACACCUAAGGCAAAAAAAAAUUUAUGAGCAGUGAAUCCCACAUGUCAAUAGACAUAAAAAGUGUGGCAAGAUUCCCUUAGGCAAGCCAAAAUAUGGCUAACAAUUUGAGCAACUUAAGUUAAGCAAGUGUGGCAAAAAGUAAUGUGGCAACAUAAGGCAAACAUAGUCACAAUCCAAACAGCCCCUAAGACACCAUUUGAUUUGAGCGAUGAGUUAUUGAGAUUCAUGUGUUUGCUUGGUUUCUCGGUCUAGUACAGAGAUCAUGAAGGUACUGUAAUUUACAGAGGGAGCUCAUUCAGAAAUCACAAGAGCAACAUUGCUCCUUUGCAAAUUACCAGAGCCCAUCAAGAUGCCAACUUUUCUGGUUGUAUACUUUGUGUUGUAUACUUGACAAGUACUUGAGCUAAAAUGAAACAUGUGCCUUUCCUUGAUAAAAAGAGAGAAUAUGUUUUUACAUUAGCUCGUGCACGACCUGAUCGUGGAAUAUUUAUUGCUCCCUCCAAUCGUGGAGCGACGGUGGGUGGUGUUUUGUUGCGCAAAAGGGGUGUGGUGUGACCGCGUGGGUGUUGUUUGCCGCAUGAUAGGGAGGCUGACAUCAGAGUCGGAUAAUUGUUUUACAAAGUCCCAAACAUCUUGAUCUACGUCUCAUUAAUGAUUUAGGUAUAGACAAACUGAUUUGCACCGAUCAAAGAGGAAAAAUCCGCUUCAAAGGUUCUAAAGCCAACUAGUAAGAUGCCCGUGCGUUGCACGAAACAUCGAAAUGCAUUGAUCCGGGAGUUGUUUAUUUGACAAAGUAUAUGGGGCCAUCUCAUGUGUAACAAAUAUUGAUAGAUUUCUUCGAAUAUUCAUUCUUCUCUAGAGCUCAUAAGCAUCCCGGUGAAUAGUAAAUGUAGGUAAAAUAGAUUAAAAAAUGUUUUGCAAACAAAAGCAUUCAAGUGUUCAACCUGCAUCCAAAACUUCAUGAAGAAAUAACACUUAUUGUGCUUAGCAAAAAAUGAUCUUUAAAAAUCAUUUUUUGAGUAUCAAUUUUGUUUUUUGUUCUAGACCGCCAUGAAUGUAACUCGGGAUGACUUGGAAGGGGGCGAAGGAGAUGGCGAGGAGGAGGGGGUCAUGGACUCAUGGUGGUGGUCGGCAAUGCGGCCCGAGAGAAGGCAUGAGAGGCGUUGGGGGCAGGCGACGCCGAGAGCAACGACCUCUCCAUAUCCUUCUUAUUUUUUUUCCUGAGAUGGCUAGAUGAGGUGAGAGGGAGAGUGGCUGAACUUGAGAGGCAGUGGGUUAUCUACAAACGAGGAGUGGAGUGCGGGGGUCUUUUUUGCAAAACUGAUAUAGUUUGUCUCAGAUGCAUUGGAUGUAAAUCGAACGGUUGUAAACGAUGGAUGGCAGUCACACCAUCAUCACCAACUCAGCUUUUUAUAGGAGUAGAGAUGCGUACCGGUUAUUGGAACCUUUUUAAAAUUGGUUUAGUGGGCCGUUCCAAGACGUGAGCGUCCCCAACACCAGAGGCAAGAACAUGCUACAUCUUGCAGUGAGCGAGAUAUAGCCUUGGCGCUAGUUUCUGUGCUCUGCCCGUUGUGCCAAUGAGCAUACUGGGCCAGCUCAGCUUGGUUUGAUCGUCUCUCAUACCAACCAAGACCAAAAGCUCAAUUGGCCGGUCCACCCUUACUCACGGCAAUUCUUCUUGUUGGGAGCGUCUAUAUCCACCACGGUUAUAUUUUGCUUAGUGCGAGAUGUAGCCUGGAGUCGCUUUUAGCCCGAAGGUUCUAUAGACCGGUUCAGACCAGCUUUAGAACCUUCCAUUUCGUUUAUUUCUUCUUCCUCUUCUUCUUUGUUUCGGUGUUUUUUAUUGACUACGUUAGUUUUUUCUGGGUUCUCACUUUUCCAUUCAUUUAAUUUCUUUUCUUUAAAAAAAUGUCUAAUUUUUUCAAUACAAGUUGUACAUUUUUCAUAUGCACAUGUGAUAAUUUAUCGACACAGAUUGACAGAUUUUCAAGUAUAUGAUGAAUAUAUUUUAAAAUAUAUGUUUGAAUAAUUGUCAAACAUUUUCAAAUACACGUUGUUUUUCUUUUUUUGCGUUACGUAAUUUUUCUGAUAUUAUACUAACAUUUCUAAAGAUAUCACAAACAAUUUUCUUGAAAUGUCACGAAUACAUUUUUUGAAACAUGUGAACAUUUUUUUAAAUGCCACGGACAAGUUUUUCUGAAUGGCAUAAUUUUUUCGAAAUUAUCUGUACAUUUUUUACAUUGUAUGGCCUAUAAAAAAUUGCCACAUGAAAAUAGCAGGCAGAUAUUUUCAAAAUCCCUUUCGUAGUAAAAAGGGUUCACAAUAUUUCUUAUAGAGCAGAAACAAUAAAAGCAAGCAGGGAAUCUUGGGACUGAUUUGUGAAGUUUCAGAACAGCUAUUUUUGAAAAGUAUCACAAAUAUAUAUGUUUGAAAUAACCGAACAUUUUUAAAAUGUCACGAACAUUAUUUUUAAUGUUAUGAACAUUUUCUUAAAUUUGCACCAAUAUUUUGUUAACACUGCAUCAUCUUAUUUUAUAUGUGUGACGAACACUCUUAAAUUUUGAAGUAAAUUAGAAUAUUUCAAAAACGUAAUCAAAAUAAGAAAACGAAAAAUGAAACCAAGAAACGAACGAAUCCGAGCUGGCGCCUACAGCCGCUGAAUCAUGGGCCGGCCCAUGUGGCGACAGACGCCCAGUCUCUCGCUAAACUCGCCCCGCCUGGUCCCUCCUCGAUCGAGAGCCCAGUUGACUUUAGAAAAAAAGAUGAAAACUUAAAACGAAAGAAUCACAAAAAAAGAGAAAAAAAUCGAGAUUUGAAAAAAGUUCACAGAUUUGGAAACCUUCAUCCAUUUUUGAAAUAAGUUCAUGAAAUUGGGAAAGAGUUCAUCAAUUUUGAAAUAAGUUCACCGAAUUUAAAAAAAGUUCAUCCAUUUUGAAAAAGAGUUCAUCGAUUUUGAAAAAGAGUUCAUCGAUUGUGAACAGAGUUCAUCGGUUUUGAAAAAGAAUUCAUCAAUUUAGAAAAAAAGUUCAUCGAUUUAGAAAAAGUUCAUCGAUCUUGAAAAAGAGUUCAUCGAUUGUGAAAGAAAGUUCACCGAUUUUGAAAAAUAGUUCUUUCAAAUUAGCAAAAGAAAUAUAAAACCAUUCCGAAAAGAAGAAAAAAGAAAAAGAACAAAAAACAUAAAAAAACCAUUUCGAAUAAAAAGGAAAAAGAAAUGGGAAAAAAGAAUGGUUGUAAAGAAAAGGUGAAGAAGCAGUAAUUUGGGCAACUAGUGCGUGUUAGUGCGGUGGUUAGUGCUGAGGCGAAUGACCGUGAGGUCGCGCGAUCGAUUCCCAUCCAAAGCGCGCCUUUUCUGUCCUCACGACAGGAAGGAAAGGAAAAAGAUGGGCCAGGCCCAGUUAAUGCGGCUGCAGGCGCCGGUUUGCGAAAACAACUAUAACCGGCACAUGCAGCGUUAAAUAGGAAAUGCCGAAGCGCACUUAAUCAUGGUGGUAGCUAGUUUAAUUUAAUGAUGUGGCCUGCCUGUAGCGUCAUUUUUUCUUCCUAAGUAAGGUACUUUAAUAAAUCUCCAUGCUUAUGAACAACACACAGUUAAGUUUUGGACAGAUACAACAGAAAAUGCUCAAAGUUCAUUAAUGUUGUAAAGCCAUUCUCCUAGGUAGUACUAGUAGAAAGAAAGUAAGCUUUUCGCCUAGGGUUGCAGCAAAUACUACUGUAUUAUUCUCUAGUUGUAGGGAAAAAUGAUUGAUUUCCCUACUUUCUUUCUUGAACAACAAAUUGCUACUAGUACUAACUAAUUUGCAUAUAUGCUCUGGUUUUCUUGUUAUUAAUUAGCUAGGUGCCUCCAAAUAAGUUGUUGGUUCAAAUUCUGCACGUUUCUUUGCAUUCUAUUUCUUAGUUCAUUAUUCAGGCUCUGCUUGCUACUUAUGGUGGUAGCUAGUUUAAUUUAAUGAUGUGGCCCGCCUGUAGUGCCAUUUUUUCCCGAUGCGUGAACAGAUAUUUUCUACUUAUGGAGCUAGCUAUUUUAAUAAAUCUCCAUGCUUGUGAACAACACACAAUUAUGUUUGGCACAGAUACAGCAGAAAUUGCUCUAAGUUCAUCAGUAGUAUAUUCUCCGUAAAGAGUGUAUGUCCCCAGUGUCAUAUCCAUCUAUCUUCACAUGCAUUAUUAUUCUGAUAUAUCGUAAUUUUGAGUCGAACUCUUCCGUUGUUUUCUGAACCUUGAUAUAUAUUUCCUGAUGAUUGGUACAGUUGAAUUGUUCGAUGGAGGACCUACCGAAGGCUUUGGUGAAAGAGAUUCUCAACAGGAUCACCACGACAAGUGAUCUGAAUUCUCUUUCCCUCGUGUCAAAGCAGCUCUACAAGAUAGAGGGGAAUCAAAGGGGCGCUAUCCGUGUUGGUUUCGGUCUUCCCACUGCUACAAAUGCGCUGACAUCAUUCUGCGCCCGCUUCCCGAAUCUGCGGAAAGUGGAAAUCGAUUACUUUGGUUGGAUACCUGGACAUGGAAAGCAGCUGGACAACAAAGGCCUUUCUGUGCUUUCAUCUCACUGUUCCUUGCUGGUUGACCUCACCUUAAGCUUCUGCUCAUGCAUCGAUGACUCUGGGCUUGGUUGCUUAGCGAAUUGCAAGAAAUUGGUGUCUCUCAGGCUCAAUUCCACACCACAAAUAACUUCGAUUGGGCUUUUCUCGGUUGUGGUUGGUUGCACAAGUCUAUCUGCUCUCCACCUUAUUGGUUGCGAGAAAAUUGACAGUGUAGAGUCUUCGUCGCUGGCCAUGGCCGCAACACCACACCGCCCCGCAGACAACGUCUUCGCCGCCGCAACGUUGAGCCCGCGCCAAGCCGUAGCCGCCCAAGGAGCACCGCCGUAGGGAGGGAGAGAGCCACGACUCCGCCUCCGAGCACGCGGGGAAGAGUAGUGUGUCGCCGCCGGCGCCACUUGGGCUACACCAACGACAGCCAAGGGGGAGGGAGGAGGAAGGGGGNNNNNNNNNNNNNNNNNNNNNNNNNNNNNNNNNNNNNNNNNNNNNNNNNNNNNNNNNNNNNNNNNNNNNNNNNNNNNNNNNNNNNNNNNNNNNNNNNNNNNNNNNNNNNNNNNNNNNNNNNNNNNNNNNNNNNNNNNNNNNNNNNNNNNNNNNNNNNNNNNNNNNNNNNNNNNNNNNNNNNNNNNNNNNNNNNNNNNNNNNNNNNNNNNNNNNNNNNNNNNNNNNNNNNNNNNNNNNNNNNNNNNNNUUGCUUCUCCUUUGACUCUCAGGCUGGAUAUGGAAACCAGGAAUAAAAGCAAGUGUUGGGAAGUGUUCAAGCUAUUCCCACGUAUUGUUUCUUCUAUGUCCUUGAAAAAGGAACUUCACAUGCAGGCAACAAAUACUGAAGAAUGGAAUGUUAUAGUUGAGUUUUAAUUAAAGCAUUGAUUUCAAACAUUUGCAGCUUAACGUAAUAUACUAUGGUGCAUCUCUAUGCACUUUUGAUUACUCGUAAAUUACAAGGGGGCAUACCUGGGAACACUGGCGUGUCGGUACAUGGCCAGGCGUACAGAGAAAGACCAAGCAGCCUAACCAGCGCGUCCGUGGGCCAGAGUGGAUCGACUAAAGCCCACGCAACGCACGGGGGCAUCGGCAUCCAGGGGAUCACGGCAACAGCACCCGGCAGCUACCUACCUCAUAAUUCCGCGACCGAACCCUAGUUCAUCCCCCACCAUUUCUGUAAUCAUUGCUCAUCUUGUAAUCGGAAGAUAUAUUGCCAUGGCAGCAGCCGGAGCUCGAGGUCGUGGGCAUCGGGGCUACGAUACGAAUUAGACGGGGAGACUAGGGGGGAAACGGUCAGUAGCUCACGGCGGUUACCGGGCUCGGGGACGGCCGGAGCUGAGCGGGCCGGCGAGGCAGAUCUCUGGCGGCCAAGGAGGAGGAAGGCGUCGGGGGCGGCGCUUCGGGGCCCUUCCGGUCGCGUCGCUCGGCGUGUAUGAAUAGGACGAUGAUGUGGAUNNNNNNNNNNNNNNNNNNNNNNNNNNNNNNNNNNNNNNNNNNNNNNNNNNNNNNNNNNNNNNNNNNNNNNNNNNNNNNNNNNNNNNNNNNNNNNNNNNNNNNNNNNNNNNNNNNNNNNNNNNNNNNNNNNNNNNNNNNNNNNNNNNNNNNNNNNNNNNNNNNNNNNNNNNNNNNNNNNNNNNNNNNNNNNNNNNNNNNNNNNNNNNNNNNNNNNNNNNNNNNNNNNNNNNNNNNNNNNNNNNNNNNNNNNNNNNNNNNNNNNNNNNNNNNNNNNNNNNNNNNNNNNNNNNNNNNNNNNNNNNNNNNNNNNNNNNNNNNNNNNNNNNNNNNNNNNAGAGAGGGGAGAGGUGCAGGGGGGGGAUGCUGGGCGUCUCCAAGCAAGCAGGUGGACUCGCGGGGACGCUGCCAGCGCGAAACAACAGGUGGAGGCUCCGCGGUGCGCGCGCGUGUUCGCUCCUGCCUACUGGCAGGAGGAAAACGACGAGCGAGGAGGUAAGUGGGCUGGGCCGGCUACAGGUAGGUGGGCCAGGUAGGUUUCCUUUCUCUUUUUUGUUUUAUUUUGCCACGUUCAGCUGCUAAGUAAUCAUCGUCUUUCUUCUAAUCAUUACCAGAGUUUGCAGUAAAACAAUGCAUUAGCCCAGAUAGCUUUUGGACUGUGGAAGAGGCAGUACGCAAGGGAAAAGAAUUACUCUCUUUGUUCAAAAUUAAGUGUCGUUGAUUUACUACAACUAUUUGAAACAGAGGGAGUACCAAACACCGAGUUCUCUUCGAUUGAGAAACAAUAUUUUGUGUGGCUCCCAUUCCCACUCGGAUGGAAGGGGCAGUACGCAAUGGAAAAGAAUGUUAACCGAGCUGGAUAGUGUACUAGUUGUUUGUUUAAAAUGUACAUCUUGUGUGUGAAACCAAAAAUUGAGAUUCAACUUUUGAUCACCAGUAAAUAUUAUGUAUUACUACCGGGGAAAUGAUCUUCCAAUCUCAUGUAAACUUUGUUUUUUAAUGUAGUAACCCUGUGAGCUAUUUGAAUCUAUUCUUAAGAGGGUUAACUGGAAACUUAAUUUAUGAUGGGAGAUGUACAUCUAGGCGAUGGACUGGAGGCACCUUGGUACAUGUUAGGAAUGGGAACAUGGAGAUGGUGGAAACCAUGGCAGUGCUGUUAAAGUUAUGUAGUCAAAUAUGUGUGUUUAUAUGAAUUAUUUUGUAUUGUUCCUUUUUUUUGUAUAUCUUUUGCUGUUUUUUCGCCAAAAAGUAAACUGUUGUGGUCACUUUGAAGGGGGUAUAUUGUCUUUUCGAACUCUCUCAUACUCACUCCGUUCCGAAACAGAAUAGUGCAUAUAAAGAUUGUCACAAGUUGAACUUUACAAUAUUUGACUGAGUUUAUAUAUAGGGGUAAAUAUGGACACCCACGGUAUCAAAUGUGAUAUUUAUUUGGCAUUGUAGCUGUUGAUAUACAUUGCAUAAUUUAGUGUAUAUUAUUUCAUUCUUUCGAAGAAUCCCGCUGUUCCACAUUUGAUCGACGUGCUUGCAUGUCCUUCGUCGGUGGGUGAAGUCAAACGAUGCAUGUUUCCUUUCAAAUCACCCAUCUCGAGGUGCCAUUUUCUAUGAGUAAACAAAAAUAGAUCUCACAUGUUAGCUUUUGUCAAGUAGUAGAUCUAGCUAGAUUGUUGGCCUAUCGUCAUCAUUGUAUCACUUAUCAUUGGUUGACCCCCAUGUGGUAAUUUGUGAGGUAUAUACCAAGCUCGGGUAUUGCUCCAUUCAACUGUAGGACAUGUAAUAACCCUGAGAACGAUCCAGAUCUAUUAAUUCCGAGAGAGCUAAACGGGAACUUAAUUUUUGAUGGACAUGUUCAUCUCCUAGGGAAUGGACUGGAGGCACCUUGGUACAUGUUAGGAAUUGGAACAUGGAGAUGGUGGAAACCAUGGCGGUGCUGUUAAAGUUAUGUAGUCAAAUAUGUGUGUUUAUAUGAAUUAUUUUGUAUUGUUCCUUUUUUUGCAUAUCUUUUGCUGUUUUUUCGCCAAAAAGUAAACUGUUGUGGUCACUUUGAAGGGGGUAUAUUGUCUUUUCGAACUCUCUCAUACUCACUCCGUUCCGAAACAGAAUAGUGCAUAUAAAGAUUGUCACAAGUUGAACUUUACAAUAUUUGACUGAGUUUAUAUAUAGGGGUAAAUAUGGACACCCACGGUAUCAAAUGUGAUAUUUAUUUGGCAUUGUAGCUGUUGAUAUACAUUGCAUAAUUCAGUGUAUAUUAUUUCAUUCUUUCGAAGAAUCCCGCUGUUCCACAUUUGAUCGACGUGCUUGCAUGUCCUUCGUCGGUGGGUGAAGUCAAACGAUGCAUGUUUCCUUUCAAAUCACCCAUCUCGAGGUGCCAUUUUCUAUGAGUAAACAAAAAUAGAUCUCACCUGUUAGCUUUUGUCAAGUAGUAGAUCUAGCUAGAUUGUUGGCCUAUCGUCAUCGUUGUAUCACUUAUCAUAGGUUGACCCCCAUGUGGUAAUUUGUGAGGUAUAUACCAAGCUCGGGUAUUGCUCCAUUCAACUGUAGGACAUGUAAUAACCCUGAGAACGAUCCAGAUCUAUUAAUUCUGAGAGAGCUAAACGGGAACUUAAUUUUUGAUGGACAUGUUCAUCUCCUAGGGAAUGGACUGGAGGCACCUUGGUACAUGUUAGGAAUGGGAACAUGGAGAUGGUGGAAACCAUGGCGGUGCUGUUAAAGUUAUGUAGUCAAAUAUGUGUGUUUAUAUGAAUUAUUUUGUAUUGUUCCUUUUUUUGCAUAUCUUUUGCUGUUUUUUCGCCAAAAAGUAAACUGUUGUGGUCACUUUGAAGGGGGUAUAUUGUCUUUUCGAACUCUCUCAUACUCACUCCGUUCCGAAACAGAAUAGUGCAUAUAAAGAUUGUCACAAGUUGAACUUUACAAUAUUUGACUGAGUUUAUAUAUAGGGGUAAAUAUGGACACCCACGGUAUCAAAUGUGAUAUUUAUUUGGCAUUGUAGCUGUUGAUAUACAUUGCAUAAUUCAGUGUAUAUUAUUUCAUUCUUUCGAAGAAUCCCGCUGUUCCACAUUUGAUCGACGUGCUUGCAUGUCCUUCGUCGGUGGGUGAAGUCAAACGAUGCAUGUUUCCUUUCAAAUCACCCAUCUCGAGGUGCCAUUUUCUAUGAGUAAACAAAAAUAGAUCUCACCUGUUAGCUUUUGUCAAGUAGUAGAUCUAGCUAGAUUGUUGGCCUAUCGUCAUCAUUGUAUCACUUAUCAUUGGUUGACCCCCAUGUGGUAAUUUGUGAGGUAUAUACCAAGCUUGGGUAUUGCUCUAUUCAACUGUAGGACAUGUAAUAACCCUGAGAACGAUCCAGAUCUAUUAAUUCUGAGAGAGCUAAACGGUAACUUAAUUUUUGAUGGACAUGUUCAUGUCCUAGGGAAUGGACUGGAGGCACCUUGGUAGAUGUUAGAAAUGGCAACUUUGAAGCCUGGGGUGGCUUCAAUAGUGUGGUCAAUUUCAUUUUUUUGCAGGUGAAUCGUGUGGUCAAUUUAAUGUACUCAUACACUAGUGCUAAUAUGAUUAAUUUGUAUAUUUUUCAACCGGUCGUCCCUCACUCACUCCAACCGGUCGUCCCUCACUCUCCCUUCUCCACUCCAAUCUCACUCUUCCCCGCACCCCCCAGUCGUCCGCCGCCGCCGCCAUCGUUCCCCGACCACCGUUGUCGCCCUCCCCGACCACCGUCGUCGCCCCUCCUUCGAUGUUGAAACGGUAUGCAACGAUGACAAAUGUUUUUUCGUAAUUAAGCACGACUUCUACUUCUUCAAUGUGUAAUUUUCGUCUUUUACAAUUCGACUAGCCUAUCCCAUGCCAUGUAAGACGCUAUGUUUGGAGAGGAUGGAUUUUGAAGAUCAUGAAAGUAUGGAAACAAAGAUAGUUCACCUAAGGACUCAUCAUGGUAUGGAUUUUCCUGUAAAUCUAUACAAUUCUGAGCGCAUAUCCCAUUUUGAUUGCCCGAAUUGGGAAGCACUUUGCAAGAUGUAUGAUUUUCAUGAGGGUAUGCUUGUCACCUUGGAUCUUGGUGAUCCUGACAUCGACGAAGAUAAUAUGGACAUUUGGGUCCUUAUUGAUACGCUUCCAAUUCUUUCGCUAUGUGAGUUUCUCAAACAUAGUUAUUAAGUAAUUUAUAUUGUUUAUUUCAAAAUAGUUGACAGCUUAUUUCCAUUGAUAGCUUAUUUUCAUUCUUCAAAGAAUGCACGGAAGAUGGUAGACAGAACCUACUACACCGAUGGUGCAGAAUUAACUUAUCAGGAGAAAAAUCGUCUUAUCUCAUUUAUUAUUGAUGUUGAGAAUUACAAUAUCAAUUAUCAAACUCCUGCACAUUAUGGUCAAUACGUGUCACUAGUGCACAUGUUGAACUACGGUAACAUCUAUGGAGAUGGCAUGGUAAGAUUUUUUACUAUUAUGACAUCCGUGCAUCUUUUGCAUAAAUUCUUCUAAAGCUAAACUACAUUGCUAACUACGACGUUAUUAGUAUGUUUUUCAACAGAAAAUCCCGAAGGAUUGUGUGCCUCAUCUCAUGUUCUCGAAAGGUCACCUUGAUGUUAUUAGCUUACGGCUAGGUCUGCCUAGGCUUCACUAUUGUUCAUACCGGAUUUCUAAAACCGAUGAAGACAUGACAAUCAAAGCAUGGAAAAAAUGUAUGUAUAGUCAUACGGAGCUACUUGGAACCAACAUUGUGCGAAGCGCAAGAACUGGAGACAAGAUAGUCUCCAUUCUCCAUAAUGGAGAGUCAGGGCCUAUCUUGUUUUACGCCAUUUUACCUUAGAGGGGGUAGUAGGUCCUAUGAGAGAGGAGUAGGUCCUAGGUACAAUGUGUUAUUAUGUGCUACAAUGUGUUAGAGUUGAUGAUGAUGAUGAGGACGAGUUAUGAUUAUGACUAGUGACCAAGUGUUAUAUGAUGUCUAUGGACGAAAAUGAUGAUCAUGAGGAGUUGUUACAUGACAAUGAUGUAUUAUGAUGAUAAGUUGUUAAUGAUAUGAUGAUGAUGAUGAGUGACGAAAAUGAUGAUCAUGAGGAGUUGUUAUAUGACAAUGAUGUAUUAUGAUGAUAAGUUGUUAAUGAUAUGAUGAUGAUGAGUUAUUAUAUCAUUGGGUGAAAGAAUGGCAGAUUAGUUUCAAGUGGAUGGAUCCUAAGUGAUCAAGUCAUGGAUUAUCACGGUACUCCAUGACUUGGUCACUUAGGAUCCAUCCACUUGAAACAAAUCCACGGUUCCUUCACCCAGUGAUUUAAUAACUCAUUACGAUGUAAAAACAAUCUCUAAAUUGCUACUAUAUGAAAACUUGUAUAAUGGUGUAUGAAUACGACAUAAAAUAAAAAAGAAAUAAUGGAAUAAUAGUAGUAGCACUGGCAGAGAGACGCGCUACUAGUAAUUAUCAGUAGCGCCUUUUCCAAGAAGCACUACUACUAAGUAGCUAUAGCAGUAGCACGCGUAGACCAACGCUACUGCUAACCUUUAGCUGUAGCGCCGUAGCAGUAGCGCAGGUAGUAGUAGCGCAGGUAGCAGUAGCGCGAUUACCCGAGCUACUGCUAGGCCCAAAACCAGCGCUAUGCUAGGCUUUUUCCUAGUAGUGUUAAGAGAAGGCAAUGUUUUUUGGGGAACGUAGCAGAAAUUCAAAAUUUUCUACGCAACACCAAGAUCAAUCUAUGGAGUAAUCUAGCAACGAGGGAAGGAGAGUGCAUCUACAUACCCUUGUAGAUCGCUAAGCGGAAGCGUUCAAGUGAAUGGGGUUGAUGGAGUCGUACUCGUCGUGAUCCAAAUCACCGAUGAUCCUAGUGCCGAACGGACGGCACCUCCGCGUUCAACACACGUACAGCCCGGGGACGUCUCCCACGCCUUGAUCCAGCAAGGGGAGAAGGAGAGGUUGGGGAAGACUCCGUCCAGCAGCAGCACGAUGGCGUGGUGGUGAAGGAGGAGCGUGGCAAUCAUGCAGGGCUUCGCCAAGCACCGCGGGAGAGGAGGAGGACUUGGGAGAGGGGGAGGGCUGCGCCAGAACUUAGGUGCGGCUGCCCUCUCUCUCCCUCACUAUAUAUAGGGGGAAGGGAGGAGGGGGAGGCGCCCUAGGGGAGGGGCGGCGGCCACAGGGGAAACCCUAGAUGGGUUUGGGCGCCCCCACCCCCUAGGAAACUUGCCCCCCAAGCCGGGAGGAGCGGCUGCCCUAGGGGUGGCACCCCCACCUCUCCUGGUUACGUGAGAUGGGGUGGGAGGGGUGCUCAGCCCCUUAUUGGGCUGAUGUGCCCUCUCCCCUUGGCCCAUAAGCCCCCCCAACGCUUGCCGGGGCCUUCGAAACCCCUUUCGGACACGCUGGUCAUCACCUGGUACCCCCGGAACAAUUCCGGACUCCAAUACCCUUCGUCCAAUAUACCGAUAUUCACCUCCGGACCAUUCCGGAGCUCCUCGUCAUGUCCGGGAUCUCAUCCGGGACUCCGAACAACCUUCGGUAACCACAUACUAUUUCUCUAUAACCCUAGCGUCACCGAACCUUAAGUGUGUAGACCCUACGGGUUCGGGAACCAUGUAGACAUGACCGAGACACCUCUCCGGCCAAUAACCAACAGCGGGAUCUGGAUACCCAUGUUGGCUCCCACAUGUUCCACGAUGAUCUCAUCGGAUGAACCACGAUGUCGAGGAUUUAAUCAAUCCCAUAUUCAAUUCCCUUUGUCUUGCGGUAUUGUACUUGCCCGAGAUUCGAUCGUCGGUAUCCGAUACCUUGUUCAAUCUCGUUACCAGCAAGUCUCUUUACUCGUUCCGUAACACAUCAUCCCGUGAUUAACUCCUUGGUCACAUUGCGCAUAUGAUGAUGUCCUACCGAGUGGGCCCAGAGAUACCUCUCCAUUACACGGAGUGACAAAUCCUAGUCUCGAUUCGUGCCAACCCAACAGACACUUUCGGAGAUACCCGUAGUGUACCUUUAUAGCCACCCAGUUACGUUGUGACGUUUGGCACACCCAAAGCAUUCCUAUGGUAUCCGGGAGUUGCACAAUCUCAUGGUCUAAGGAAAUGAUACUUGACACUAGAAAAGCUUUAGCAUAUGAACUACACGAUCUUUGUGCUAGGCUUAGGAUUGGGUCUUGUCCAUCACAUGAUUCUCCUAAUGAUGUGAUCCCGUUAUCAACGACAUCCAAUGUCCAUGGUCAGGAAACCGUAACCAUCUAUUGAUCAACGAGCUAGUCAACUAGAGGCUUACUAGGGACAUGGUGUUGUCCAUGUAUCCACAUAUGUAUCUGAGUUUCCUAUCAAUACAAUUAUAGCAUGGAUAAUAAACGAUUAUCAUAAACAAGGAAAUAUAAUAAUAACCAACUUGUUAUUGCCUCUACAGCAUAUUUCCAACAGUCUCCCACUUGCACUAGAGUCAAUAAUCUAGUUCACAUUGCCAUAUGAUUAACACUCACAGGUCACAUCGCCAUGUGACCAACAUCCAAAGAGUCUACUAGAGUCAAUAAUCUAGUUCACAUCACUAUGUGAUUAACACUCAAUGAGUUCUGGGUUUGAUCAUGUUGCUUGUGAGAGAGGUUUUAGGCAACGGGUCUACAACAUUCAGAUCCGUAUGUACUUAGCAAAUCUCUAAGCUAUAUUUGGAGCCAUUUCAAAUAACUGUUCUACUUGGAGCUAUUCCCAAUUGUUGAUCCAUUAUACGUAUCCAGUAUCUCUACUCAGAGCUAUCCGGAUAGGUGUUAAGCUUGCAUCGACGUAACUCUUUACGUCGAACUCUUUAUCACCUCCAUAACCGAGAAACAUAUCCUUAUUCCUCUAAGGAUAAUUUUGACCGCUAUCUGGUGAUCUACUCCUAGAUCACCUUUGUACCCUCUUGCCAGACAUGUGGCAAGGCACACAUCAGGUGCGAUACUCAGCAUGGCAUUCCGUAUAGAGCCUAUGACAAAAGCAUAGGGGACGACCUUCGUCCUUCCUCUUUCUCCUGCCGUGGUCGAGCUUUAACUUCAUACCUUACAACUCAGACAAGAACUCCUUCUUUGACUGAUCCAUCUCGAACUCCUUCAAGAUCAUGUCAAGGUAUGCGCUCAUUUGAAAGUACCAUUAAGCGUUUUGAUCUAUCCUUAUAGAUCUUGAUGCUCAAUGUACAAGUAGCUUAAUCCAGGUUUUCCAUUGAAAAACACCUUUCAAAUAACCCUAUAUGCCUUCCAGAAAUUCUACAUCAUUUCAGAUCAACAAUAUGUCAUCCACAUAUACUUAUCAGAAAUGUCGUAGUGCUCCCACUCACUUUAUUGUAAAUACAAUUUUCUAACAAACUUUGUAUAAACCCAUAAACUUUGAUUACUCCAUGAAAGUGUAUAUUCCGACUCCGAGAUGCUUGCUCUAGUCCAUGGAAGGAUCGCUGGAGCUAGCAUACCUUUUAGCAUCCUUAGGAUCGACAAAACCUUUCUGAUUGUAUCACAUGCAACCUUUCCUUACGAAAACUGGUAAGGAAACUUGUUUUGACAUCCAUCUGCCAGAUUUCAUAAAUGCAGCUUAUGCUAACAUGAUUCUGACGGACUUAAGCAUCGCUACGGGUGAGAAGAUCUCAUCGUAGUCAACUGCUUGAACUUGUGAAAAACUCUUCGCCACAAGUCGAGCUUCAUAGACGGUGACAUUACCAUCCACGUCCGUCUUCUUCUUAAAAUCCACAUGUACCUAACAGCCUUACGACCAUUAAGUAGUUCUUCCAAAGUCUGCACUUUGUUUUUCAUACAUGGAUCCUCUCUCGGAUUUUAUGGCCUCGAGCCAAUUUUCGGAAUCCGGGCCCACCAUCGCUUCUCCAUAGCUCAUAGGUUCAUCGUUGUCCAACAACGUGACCUUUAAGACAGGGUUACCACUUAGAAGUUGUACACACCCUUGUCAACCUAUGAGGUUCGAUAGUAACUCGAUCUGAAGCUCCAUGAUCAUCAUCAUUAGCUUUCUCUUCAACUGAGGCAAGUGCCACAGAAACAUUUUUCCUGUGCUGCGCUACUCUCUGGUUGAAGUAAAGGUUCAACAACCUCAUCAAGUUCUAUCUUCCGCCCACUCAAUUCUUUCGAGAGAAACUCUUUCUCGAGAAAGGACCUGAUUCUGGAAAUAAUCCAUAUUGCUUUCGGAUCUAAGACAGGAGGUAUACCCAACUGUUUUGGGUGUCCUAUGAAGAUGCAUUUAUCCGCUUUGGGUUCGAGCUUAUCAGCCUGAAACUUUUUCACAUAAGCGUCGCAACCCCAAACCUUUAAGAAACGACAGCUUAGGUUUCUCUGAACCAUAGUUCAUACGGUGUCGACUCAAAUGGAAUUGCGUGGUGCCCUAUUUAAAGUGAAUGUGGUUGUCUCUAAUGCCUAACCCAUAAACUAUAGUGGUAAUUCGGUAAGAGACAUCAUGGUAUGCAUCAUAUCUAAUAGGGUGCAGUUAUAAUGUUCGGACACACCAUCACACUAUGGUGUUCCUAGGCUGUAUUAGUUGUGAAACAAUUUCCACAAUGUCUUAAUUCUGUGCCUAACUCAUAAUUCAGAUAUUCAUCUCUAUGAUCAUAUCAUAGAUAUUUUAUCCUCUUAUCACGACGAUCUUCAACUUCACCCUGAAAUUACUUGAACCUUUCAAUAAUUCAGACUCGUGAUUCAUCAAGUAAAUAUACUUAGCAUCUACUCAAAUCAUUUGUGAAGUAAGAAUAUAACGAUAUCCACUACAUGCCUCAGCACUCAUUGGACUACACACAUCAAGAUGUAUUACUUCCAACAAGUUGCUUUCUUGUUCCAUCUUACUGAAAACGAGGCCUUUCAGUCAUCUUGCUCACGUGGUAUGAUUUGCAUGUCUCAAGUGAUUCAAAAUCAAGCGAGUCCAAAGAUCCAUCAACAUGGAGCUUCUUCAUGCGUUUCAUACCAUUGUGACUAAAAUUGCAGUGCCACAAGUAUGUGGUACUAUCAUUACUAUCUUAUAUCUUUUGGCAUGAACAUGUGUAUCACUACGAUCGGGAUUCGAUAAACCAUUCAUUUUAGGUGCAAGACCAUUGAAGGUAUUAUUCAAAUAAACAGAGUAAUCAUUAUUCUCCUUAAAUGAAUAACCGUAUUGCGAUAAACAUAAUCCAAUCAUGUCUAUGCUCAACGCAAACACCAAAUAACAAUUAUUUAGGUUUAACACCAAUCCCGAUGGUAAAUGGAGCGUGCGAUGCUUGAUCACAUCAAUCUUGGAAACACUUCCAACACAUAUCAUCGUCUCAACUUCGACUAGUCUCCGUUUAUUCUGUAGCCUUUCUGUGACGCCCCCGAUUCAGUCGUACACUAAUCAUGCACGCAAAUGUGUACGAUCAAGAUCAGGGACUCACGGGAAGAUAUCACAACACAACUCUACAAAUAAAAUAAGUCAUACAAGCAUCAUAAUACAAGCCAGGGGCCUCGAGGGCUCGAAUACAAGUGCUCGAUCAUAGACGAGUCAGCGGAAGCAACAAUAUCUGAGUACAGACAUAAGUUAAACAAGUUUGCCUUAAGAAGGCUAGCACAAACUGGGAUACCGAUCGAAAGAGGCACAGGCCUCCUGCCUGGGAUCCUCCUAACUACUCCUGGUCGUCGUCAGCGGCCUGCACGUAGUAGUAGGCACCUCCGGGGUAGUAGACGUCGUCGACGGUGGCGUCUGGCUCCUGGACUCCAGCCUCUGGUUGCGACAACCAGAAAGAAAGGAAAGGGAAAAAAAGGGGGGAGAAAGCAACCGUGAGUACUCAUCCAAAGUACUCGCAAGCAAGGAACUAAACUACAUAUGCAUGGGUAUAUGUGUAAGGAGGCCAUAUCAGUGGACUGAACUGCAGAAAGCCAGAAUAAGAGGGGGAUAGCUAGUCCUAUCGAAGACUACGCUUCUGGCAGCCUCCGUCUUGCAGCAUGUAGAAGAGAGUAGAUUGAAGUCCUCCAAGUAGCAUCUCUAAGUAGCAUCUCCAAGUAGCAUCUCCAGUAGCAUAUUCCUACCCGGCGAUCCUCUCCUCAUCGCCCUGCGGAAAAGCGAUCACCGGGUUGUAUCUGGCACUUGGAAGGGUGUGUUUUAUUAAGUAUCCGGUUCUAGUUGUCAUAAGGUCAAGGUACAACUCCAAGUCGUCCUGUUACCGAAGAUCACGGCUAUUCGAAUAGAUUAACUUCCCUGCAGGGGUGCACCACAUAGCCCAACACGCUCGAUCCCAUUUGGCCGGACACACUUUCCUGGGUCAUGCCCGGCCUCGGAAGAUCAACACGUCGCAGCCCCACCUAGGCAAAACAGAGAGGCCAGCACGCCGGUCUAAACCUAAGCGCGCAGGGGUCUGGGCCCAUCGCCCUGAGCACACCUGCACGUUGCGUGGGCGGCCGAAAGCAGACCUAGCCUAGUGGCGUUCCAGUCCAAUUCGGCGCGCGCCGCUCCGUCGCUGACGUCUGAAGUGCUUCGGCUGAUACCACGACGUCGGGAUACCCAUAACUACUCCCACGUAGAUGGUUAGUGCGUAUAGGCUCGUAGCCAGACUCAGAUCAAAUACCAAGAUCUCGUUAAGCGUGUUAAGUGUCCGCGAACGCCGAACAGGGCCAGGCCCACCUGUCUCCUAGGUGGUCUCAACCUGCCCUGUCGCUCCGCCACAAAGAUCCACACAGAGGGCCGUCGGGACAAAGGUCCUUUCAGCCCCCAAUCCGUGAAUCACUCGCGGGUACUCUUCGAGCUGACCCGACUUUAGUCACCAUCUGUAUAGUAUGUAUGUAUGUAUAGUAUAUACCCGUGAUCACCUCCCAGGUGAUCACGGCCCGAUAGUAUAGCAAGGCAGACUGACAAGAAUGUAGGGCCAAUGAUGAUAAACUAGCAUCCUAUACUAAGCAUUUAGGAUUGCAGGUAAGGUAUCAACAGGUGUAGCAUCAAUGACAGGCUAUGCAUCAGAAUAGGUACAACAGAAAGCAGUAACAUGCUACAUUACUCUAAUGCAAGCAGUAUAGAGAAGAAUAGGCGAUAUCUGGUGAUCAAGGGGGGGGGCUUGCCUGGUUGCUCUGGCAAGAGAGAGGGGUCGUCAACUCCGUAGUCAAACUGGGCAGAAGCAGCGUCGGUCUCGUAGUCUACCGGAGCGAAGAGGGGGAAGAAACAAUGAAUACAAUGCAAACAAAUGCAUAACGAUGCACGACAUGACAGGUAACGAUGCUAGGUGUGCCCAAUCGCGGUAAUAGGUGAUACCGACGAAGGGGGGAAACAUCCGGGAAAGUAUUCCCGGUGUUUCGCGUUUUCGGACAGAUGAACCGGAGGGGGAAACUUGCGUGUUUGGUAUGUUAGAGGUGUAUGGUGGACGAACGGGCUGCGUAUCCGGGUUCGUCUCGUCGUUCUGAGCAACUUUCAUGUAUAAAGUAUUUUCAUCUGACUUACGGAUUAUUUUAUAUAAUUUUUCAAAGUUUUAAUGAUAUUCUGAAAUUAUUAUUAACUCGAAAUUAAUUGAAUAAAUGCUAGGUGCACCCAGCACAGGGUACACAAAAGUGUACCCGGGGAUGACAAGUGGGCUAAGGGGGACCCAGUUGACCAGUCAAGGUUUGACUGGACAACAGGGGGUAGGGCCCCCUGUCAUUGACUCACUAGUAAACUAACAAUUUUAAUUAGACUAAUUAAGCAGUUAGCAGGUUAAUUAACAUGAUUAAUUAGGUUAAUUAAUUAACUAACUAUUUUAAUCAUUAUAUCUUUUCAUUUAAUUAUUUUUCGUUUUCGGGUGGACCCCGCGUGUCAUUGGCCAGGGGCCUUAGCGGGUCGUGUGGGCAGGUAGGUCUCGGGCGACGGGCGGGCGCCCGUUAACGGGCGCACCCGGGCGAUGGCCAGCAGGCGUGGACGGGCGCCGGCACGACGUCAGCGAGGCCACGCCGAGGCGGGGCCGUGGCGAAGCGGGUAGUCGCCGAAGGGGGACGCCGGGGCCGUGGAGGGUGCGGCCGGACCAGGACGACCCGAGCAAGGGCUCGUCGGCGCUGGCAAAAGCGCAACGGGGGAGGGGNNNNNNNNNNNNNNNNNNNNNNNNNNNNNNNNNNNNNNNNNNNNNNNNNNNNNNNNNNNNNNNNNNNNNNNNNNNNNNNNNNNNNNNNNNNNNNNNNNNNNNNNNNNNNNNNNNNNNNNNNNNNNNNNNNNNNNNNNNNNNNNNNNNNNNNNNNNNNNNNNNNNNNNNNNNNNNNNNNNNNNNNNNNNNNNNNNNNNNNNNNNNNNNNNNNNNNNNNNNNNNNNNNNNNNNNNNNNNNNNNNNNNNNNNNNNNNNNNNNNNNNNNNNNNNNNNNNNNNNNNNNNNNNNNNNNNNNNNNNNNNNNNNNNNNNNNNNNNNNNNNNNNNNNNNNNNNNNNNNNNNNNNNNNNNNNNNNNNNNNNNNNNNNNNNNNNNNNNNNNNNNNNNNNNNNNNNNNNNNNNNNNNNNNNNNNNNNNNNNNNNNNNNNNNNNNNNNNNNNNNNNNNNNNNNNNNNNNNNNNNNNNNNNNNNNNNNNNNNNNNNNNNNNNNNNNNNNNNNNNNNNNNNNNNNNNNNNNNNNNNNNNNNNNNNNNNNNNNNNNNNNNNNNNNNNNNNNNNNNNNNNNNNNNNNNNNNNNNNNNNNNNNNNNNNNNNNNNNNNNNNNNNNNNNNNNNNNNNNNNNNNNNNNNNNNNNNNNNNNNNNNNNNNNNNNNNNNNNNNNNNNNNNNNNNNNNNNNNNNNNNNNNNNNNNNNNNNNNNNNNNNNNNNNNNNNNNNNNNNNNNNNNNNNNNNNNNNNNNNNNNNNNNNNNNNNNNNNNNNNNNNNNNNNNNNNNNNNNNNNNNNNNNNNNNNNNNNNNNNNNNNNNNNNNNNNNNNNNNNNNNNNNNNNNNNNNNNNNNNNNNNNNNNNNNNNNNNNNNNNNNNNNNNNNNNNNNNNNNNNNNNNNNNNNNNNNNNNNNNNNNNNNNNNNNNNNNNNNNNNNNNNNNNNNNNNNNNNNNNNNNNNNNNNNNNNNNNNNNNNNNNNNNNNNNNNNNNNNNNNNNNNNNNNNNNNNNNNNNNNNNNNNNNNNNNNNNNNNNNNNNNNNNNNNNNNNNNNNNNNNNNNNNNNNNNNNNNNNNNNNNNNNNNNNNNNNNNNNNNNNNNNNNNNNNNNNNNNNNNNNNNNNNNNNNNNNNNNNNNNNNNNNNNNNNNNNNNNNNNNNNNNNNNNNNNNNNNNNNNNNNNNNNNNNNNNNNNNNNNNNNNNNNNNNNNNNNNNNNNNNNNNNNNNNNNNNNNNNNNNNNNNNNNNNNNNNNNNNNNNNNNNNNNNNNNNNNNNNNNNNNNNNNNNNNNNNNNNNNNNNNNNNNNNNNNNNNNNNNNNNNNNNNNNNNNNNNNNNNNNNNNNNNNNNNNNNNNNNNNNNNNNNNNNNNNNNNNNNNNNNNNNNNNNNNNNNNNNNNNNNNNNNNNNNNNNNNNNNNNNNNNNNNNNNNNNNNNNNNNNNNNNNNNNNNNNNNNNNNNNNNNNNNNNNNNNNNNNNNNNNNNNNNNNNNNNNNNNNNNNNNNNNNNNNNNNNNNNNNNNNNNNNNNNNNNNNNNNNNNNNNNNNNNNNNNNNNNNNNNNNNNNNNNNNNNNNNNNNNNNNNNNNNNNNNNNNNNNNNNNNNNNNNNNNNNNNNNNNNNNNNNNNNNNNNNNNNNNNNNNNNNNNNNNNNNNNNNNNNNNNNNNNNNNNNNNNNNNNNNNNNNNNNNNNNNNNNNNNUGGCAUCGUUAACGUGGGAUUACUGUAGCCUAAUUAUCCGGGCGUCACAAUUCUCCUCCACUACAAGAAAUCUCGUCCCGAGAUUUAGGAGCGGGAGUAAGGGGAAAGGGGUUUGGUUACGAAAUUCUAACGGGUCUUCCCAGUGUUGGUUGCUCUUCUCGAAGAGGUCAAUCCAUUACAUUGAAGUCUUCAUUUGUCUACUUCAGGUUAUCAUGGUGAAGUCGUCCUUUUCUUUGGGAACUGCAACGUACUUACGAAUAGGUAAGGGGCAGCUCGGCUACGACAAAAUGUCUAUGAGGGAAACAAUCUGGGGGUUAACCCAUGAAUGAGCAUAAGAUUUUCUCUCGAGUUGAACAUAUAAAAUACAUCAAGAGUGAGGUACGAAGGUACAAUAAGAGGUUCCAAGCAGAUUGAUAGUUCCUCGAAGUCUGAACCAGAGUGAGAAAGGGGUUCAGAGCGGCGAGAGUAAGUAUAGCGUCUGAUACCAGAAUAGAGCACUAGGAAGGUGGCCCAUGAAUUAAAUACGAAGCUAAGCAUGGAGAAUAACCAUUAGAAACAGGGUUGUACAGGAGAGUCAGGUUUCGAUCCUGUGGAACUGUGGGUUAUGGGCCCACCAUGUAGUUAAAAGUAGGAAGGGCGGAGACGUCUUGCGUGAUCAUGCAAGCAAGGCAUGUCAGGGGGUAGCCUGUCGAUUAUGUUGGCAACAACGUCGAUACCAAGGGCGAGGGACGAAGAGAACCACUUUCCUGCUUGUUAAACGAGGCGGGCCAAUAGGCAAGGUUCUCGUCCAUCGGUGGCUACCGAAAUGUCAUCAACACUAGUAACAGGGUCAUACUAACAGAGUGGUGCAACGAGGUGCUUACCUAAGCAGUGAAUUAUUACUGCUUAGAGUAUAUAGACCACAAGAAAGGUCAAGUAAACCAAUGGAAAGGAAAAUGUGAUCAUCGGGAUAAACAGAACAAUGGAAAGGAAAAUGCGUUUAAACACAUAUUUCAGGGGUAUAUCCUUCCCAAGGUGAAGCAGAGCAUGAUAUCCAUGAUAGGAUAUAAUGUAGAAAACUCAUUAGGUAAGGGGAGAGAAAUUUCAUGACAUUACCCAUACAACAGUGUUUGAAUAGUUGAUAAAGGAAAUCUAGCAUGGUGCUUCAAAAUGUGCAGAGUACCAUAGACAUGUUUCGAGAUAGCAUUGACAAGGUCAUCAAGUAAGGUUCAGAAUUUGGAUGCACGAAGGAUCCAUCAGGAACAACUUGUAGAAUAAGUUUUACAAUUUCCGCAUGGAAAAAUCGCUAACCUUGCUUAAGAAGGGAGCUAUGACAAUAGGUCCUCCGGCCAGGUGUACUAGGCAUGGCACCACCUUACCAGGUUAUAUAAAGACCAAUGUUAUGACUCUUGGAAAAUGUUCCAACCAUCAUAUCUGACCGAGAUUCAGAUCUGAUUGGUGUGAGGAUAACUCAGACUCGGGAUGCCUGAGAAGAAAGGUGUAACACACAUUGUCGAGAUGACAUUGUAAGAUUCUCGGGAAUUGAACUAUGGAAGCGAGUUCCGAAACAAGAGUUCUCCACUAAUCCAAGGAGAGAUGAGGAGGUGGCUGAUGGAUUCAGCAACAUUUUGUCAAGAUUUCCAAAAAAUGAAUUUCCACAAUCAGGUGAACAAAGAGAUAUCAUUUGUCGGAUCAAAUGAUAUAAUGAUGUAUGCUUGAGGAAAACAUACACAGUUAAAGGUGCACCCGAAAUAUGGGCUUACGUAGAAUGAUCAAUGUUAGAAUGGUGGUUCAACAACCAGUAGUCUAAGAAUGAACGGCCGACCAUUAACUUCAAAGCAAUAGGGUUGCUAGAAGAAAAGAAUCCAAACAACACCGUUCACUUGUUGGAAUCAACACGGGGACCAAGAAAGAAUGGUGAUGGUGAGAAGUAUCACUAUACCAAGAAUUCUUAAGAGGUGGAGUAAUCCUCGUGACAUUCUUGUCAUAAAAGAUGGUAAUACUCCAAGGUAAAGAAGAACAAAUGCUAGAUAGCAAUGAACUCAAGGUACAACACAGAACACGGACAAGUUUGUGUUGGAGGGAAGGCAAUAAAGUGGUCGAUGACAAAACAACUCAUCGAGGGCAAGGAUGGUAUUUCUCAUCAUGAAUUCAAUUGAUAUCCUGGAAGAACUCGGAAUGCUGAUGAUGAUCACGACACAUUUGUCGAGAGAUUUCAUGAGGAUGUAAUCGAUCAGCGAUGACAUCAAGUUAAAGGAAUGAUGAAGCGAAAGGUUAUUGGAAUCAUGGGUACGACACAAACUCAAAUCAAGUUUGUUGUUCAAGGAGAAAUGAUAUGACUAGGAAGAUCGACGCAAGAUUAGCUCACCAUCGAAAUUUGUGCUCCGGGAAGAACCAGAUAGCACAAUUAAAUUUAGCACGAUAAUAAUGUAGCCGAUAAGGCUAGGAAUGCCAUGAUGGAGUAUUAAACUCGUAAGCAAUGAAGAUUACUAAGAGUUGUCGAAUCGCAGUGCGGACUCGAUUCACUAUUCGGAGUUCUCGGUUGACGACAACCCAAAACUCAUGGAGUGACUAUGAUAGGGAAAGGUAUUACUCCGUCACAAAUUCAUAAGAUGUAGUGCAAUGGCAUGAUAUCCUCGAGAUAUCAGGGAGAUAAUACUCGAAGGCAUAUCAAAUUAAAGGUUGAAGUGGGGUGUAUAGAUCUAUAGAAGACAAGCGCUUUUACUUGUCUGAGAAAUGGAAUCAAAGGAAGAAAUUAGGGUCGGAACCACGAUUGCAAAGGAUCAGUUCAUAGAGCCAGAUCAUAUUUUCAAGGAAAUAGUUAUUAUUGCAUGAAGCUUCCAAUGAUAGGAUAUACAUCGUGUCCAUGGGCAUGAACGCAAAGUUCAAGGUUGACUCCCACUUCUUCAAUGCAUAACCUUCAUUCACUUCUCGUAUUUCGAAGAUGACAUUAGUUGUUGAAAGUUUUACCUGGUGCAAUACCAGAUAAGUUUGACCCGUGAAAACUUCCGAGUUCACACAUAGUAAGGAAGGCAUAGGUUCAACCCAUCAGGGCAUCUUACGAACAUAUACCACAAACUUCGGGGUAAAUAAUACAAGCUCGAAAGUAGAGCAUUGUUCAAAAGCAGAUGAUACAAUUUACCAAGGCAUUAUAUACCCAUGAAAAGGCUCUCAAGGUUAUUCAAUAUGAAGGACACUAUCGGACAAAAUCCAACAAAGGAACCGAUGGUCCACAAGGGAUCUGAUGUGAGCAUCGGUACUCAACCAGAGGAAGAAGAAUGCACGGGCAUCAUAUUAUAGAACAUCGGAAUAAUUCGAUGCUUAGAUAAUAAAGGAAUUUCAAUUUCCAAAACAAAGGAUCAGAAGCAGUCGCUCUGAUCAAGGAUGGAUAAGUUGGAUAUACCAGAGGCACAAUUGACGACAAAUAGUUUGGUCGAGAACCAGCUCAUGUUCAAAAAUGAUGUCUGAGCCGGAAGGAUAAUUUAGAAGGGUUGAUAGAUGAUUGUGUGCAUUCGCACACAUGCUGAAUCAAUAGGAUCAAAAUGACGGUGCCUAAGGAUACUAACGAAUAUUGCCAGACAUAUGGAAAGCAUCCAUAAUGCAAGCAAACAAGUAUUGCAGAGCAAUAAGCUAUUAAGGAUUUUUGGAGGAUCAAUUAGUAUUUCUAAGACCAUUGUGAAACACAUGAACAACUGGGGGAUGAGCGGAUACUCGAUAAGUGCGAGAAUUAUCCAUAGGGGUAUUCAGGUGACAAAGAACAGCAAGGCGAUAAGCUCAAAGGAUUAUCGAAACAACGACGAGUGUUUCGAGGUAUCUGGUAAUAACAAGACCAACUGGGGAUGAAUGUAAGAAUAACAACUGCAAGUGGUUAACCAUAAGGGUUGACGGUGGAAGGGGAAUUGCAAAUGCGAUGAACAUAAGUUCUCGGGUUAACAGCGGAGAGUAUCUUCACGGUCUUCUGGUGCAGCAGACGAUCAUCAGUAAUAAGGGGCUCUCCGGGUGAAAGUGAUAACGAGAUCCUAUUGUUAGAUUUAGUAAACUUCAUUUAACUCGAAUAGAGGAGAGAUCAGAGUCCCAGAGUAAAGGUCGAGGAGUAAAAGAUCCUACUACCACCCAAUGGCGACGUGGGCCCAUGGGCCGCACAGCCAUGUUAGUAAAAGUUUUGUAAAGUCUAGACUCGACUUCGGCCAAGGAGUUGGAAGGGAUUCCUACAGGCAGUCGGCUCUGAUACCAACUUGUGACGCCCCCGAUUCAGUCGUACACUAAUCAUGCACGCAAAUGUGUACGAUCAAGAUCAGGGACUCACGGGAAGAUAUCACAACACAACUCUACAAAUAAAAUAAGUCAUACAAGCAUCAUAAUACAAGCCAGGGGCCUCGAGGGCUCGAAUACAAGUGCUCGAUCAUAGACGAGUCAGCGGAAGCAACAAUAUCUGAGUACAGACAUAAGUUAAACAAGUUUGCCUUAAGAAGGCUAGCACAAACUGGGAUACCGAUCGAAAGAGGCGCAGGCCUCCUGCCUGGGAUCCUCCUAACUACUCCUGGUCGUCGUCAGCGGCCUGCACGUAGUAGUAGGCACCUCCGGGGUAGUAGACGUCGUCGACGGUGGCGUCUGGCUCCUGGACUCCAGCCUCUGGUUGCGACAACCAGAAAGAAAGGAAAGGGGAAAAAAGGGGGGAGAAAGCAACCGUGAGUACUCAUCCAAAGUACUCGCAAGCAAGGAACUAAACUACAUAUGCAUGGGUAUAUGUGUAAGGAGGCCAUAUCAGUGGACUGAACUGCAGAAAGCCAGAAUAAGAGGGGGAUAGCUAGUCCUAUCGAAGACUACGCUUCUGGCAGCCUCCGUCUUGCAGCAUGUAGAAGAGAGUAGAUUGAAGUCCUCCAAGUAGCAUCUCUAAGUAGCAUCUCCAAGUAGCAUCUCCAGUAGCAUAUUCCUACCCGGCGAUCCUCUCCUCGUCGCCCUGCGGAAAAGCGAUCACCGGGUUGUAUCUGGCACUUGGAAGGGUGUGUUUUAUUAAGUAUCCGGUUCUAGUUGUCAUAAGGUCAAGGUACAACUCCAAGUCGUCCUGUUACCGAAGAUCACGGCUAUUCGAAUAGAUUAACUUCCCUGCAGGGGUGCACCACAUAGCCCAACACGCUCGAUCCCAUUUGGCCGGACACACUUUCCUGGGUCAUGCCCGGCCUCGGAAGAUCAACACGUCGCAGCCCCACCUAGGCAAAAUAGAGAGGCCAGCACGCCGGUCUAAACCUAAGCGCGCAGGGGUCUGGGCCCAUCGCCCUGAGCACACCUGCACGUUGCGUGGGCGGCCGAAAGCAGACCUAGCCUAGUGGCGUUCCAGUCCAAUUCGGCGCGCGCCGCUCCGUCGCUGACGUCUGAAGUGCUUCGGCUGAUACCACGACGUCGGGAUACCCAUAACUACUCCCACGUAGAUGGUUAGUGCGUAUAGGCUCGUAGCCAGACUCAGAUCAAAUACCAAGAUCUCGUUAAGCGUGUUAAGUGUCCGCGAACGCCGAACAGGGCCAGGCCCACCUGUCUCCUAGGUGGUCUCAACCUGCCCUGUCGCUCCGCCACAAAGAUCCACACAGAGGGCCGUCGGGACAAAGGUCCUUUCAGCCCCCAAUCCGUGAAUCACUCGCGGGUACUCUUCGAGCUGACCCGACUUUAGUCACCAUCUGUAUAGUAUGUAUGUAUGUAUAGUAUAUACCCGUGAUCACCUCCCAGGUGAUCACGGCCCGAUAGUAUAGCAAGGCAGACUGACAAGAAUGUAGGGCCAAUGAUGAUAAACUAGCAUCCUAUACUAAGCAUUUAGGAUUGCAGGUAAGGUAUCAACAGGUGUAGCAUCAAUGACAGGCUAUGCAUCAGAAUAGGUACAACAGAAAGCAGUAACAUGCUACAUUACUCUAAUGCAAGCAGUAUAGAGAAGAAUAGGCGAUAUCUGGUGAUCAAGGGGGGGGGGCUUGCCUGGUUGCUCUGGCAAGAGAGAGGGGUCGUCAACUCCGUAGUCAAACUGGGCAGCAGCAGCGUCGGUCUCGUAGUCUACCGGAGCGAAGAGGGGAAAGAAACAAUGAAUACAAUGCAAACAAAUGCAUAACGAUGCACGACAUGACAGGUAACGAUGCUAGGUGUGCCCAAUCGCGCUAAUAGGUGAUACCGACGAAGGGGGGAAACAUCCGGGAAAGUAUUCCCGGUGUUUCGCGUUUUCGGACAGAUGAACCGGAGGGGGAAAGUUGCGUGUUUGGUAUGUUAGAGGUGUGUGGUGGACGAACGGGCUGCGUAUCCGGGUUCGUCUCGUCGUUCUGAGCAACUUUCAUGUAUAAAGUAUUUUCAUCUGACUUACGGAUUAUUUUAUAUAAUUUUUCAAAGUUUUAAUGAUAUUCUGAAAUUAUUAUUAACUCGAAAUUAAUUGAAUAAAUGCUAGGUGCACCCAGCACAGGGUACACAAAAGUGUACCCGGGGAUGACAAGUGGGCCAAGGGGGACCCAGUUGACCAGUCAAGGUUUGACUGGACAACAGGGGGUAGGGCCCCCUGUCAUUGACUCACUAGUAAACUAACAAUUUUAGUUAGACUAAUUAAGCAGUUAGCAGGUUAAUUAACAUGAUUAAUUAGGUUAAUUAAUUAACUAACUAUUUUAAUCAUUAUAUCUUUUCAUUUAAUUAUUUUUCGUUUUCGGGUGGACCCCGCGUGUCAUUGGCCAGGGGCCUUAGCGGGUCGUGUGGGCAGGUAGGUCUCGGGCGACGGGCGGGCGCCCGUUAACGGGCGCACCCGGGCGAUGGCCAGCGGGCGUGGACGGGCGCCGGCACGACGUCAGCGAGGCCACGCCGAGGCGGGGCCGUGGCGAAGCGGGUAGUCGCCGAAGGGGGACGCCGGGGCCGUGGAGGGUGCGGCCGGACCAGGACGACCCGAGCAAGGGCUCGUCGGCGCUGGCAAAAGCGCAACGGGGGAGGGGCUCCGGUCUUGUCUGCUGCUGUUGGACGCGGGCGACAGUGCGCGUCGGUCUACGGUGACGGGCAUCGCGGGGGGNNNNNNNNNNNNNNNNNNNNNNNNNNNNNNNNNNNNNNNNNNNNNNNNNNNNNNNNNNNNNNNNNNNNNNNNNNNNNNNNNNNNNNNNNNNNNNNNNNNNNNNNNNNNNNNNNNNNNNNNNNNNNNNNNNNNNNNNNNNNNNNNNNNNNNNNNNNNNNNNNNNNNNNNNNNNNNNNNNNNNNNNNNNNNNNNNNNNNNNNNNNNNNNNNNNNNNNNNNNNNNNNNNNNNNNNNNNNNNNNNNNNNNNNNNNNNNNNNNNNNNNNNNNNNNNNNNNNNNNNNNNNNNNNNNNNNNNNNNNNNNNNNNNNNNNNNNNNNNNNNNNNNNNNNNNNNNNNNNNNNNNNNNNNNNNNNNNNNNNNNNNNNNNNNNNNNNNNNNNNNNNNNNNNNNNNNNNNNNNNNNNNNNNNNNNNNNNNNNNNNNNNNNNNNNNNNNNNNNNNNNNNNNNNNNNNNNNNNNNNNNNNNNNNNNNNNNNNNNNNNNNNNNNNNNNNNNNNNNNNNNNNNNNNNNNNNNNNNNNNNNNNNNNNNNNNNNNNNNNNNNNNNNNNNNNNNNNNNNNNNNNNNNNNNNNNNNNNNNNNNNNNNNNNNNNNNNNNNNNNNNNNNNNNNNNNNNNNNNNNNNNNNNNNNNNNNNNNNNNNNNNNNNNNNNNNNNNNNNNNNNNNNNNNNNNNNNNNNNNNNNNNNNNNNNNUUUUUUUUGUUGUUUUGUCUUUUUGUAUUUCCUUCCUUUUACUUAUUUUCUCUUCUGUUUUGGCUAAUUGUUUGGGCACCAAAUGAGUUUUGUAAAAUAUGAGCGUUGGCCCACAAUUCACAACACAAUAUACCCUACCACCAAAAACUAGUUUGGGGUAAUUAUCAUUUCAUAUUUAUUUUUUUUAUUAAUAAAAAGGUUAGUAAAUAAUGUUUUCAGCCACUGUUUGAGGUUGUUUAAGUCACUUAUCAAAUUUCAAUAAUGUUGUUUACAAUUUUAUCAUAGCCUCUGAUUUAUCUACUAUUUAUUGAACAUUUUAGCUUUAAUAUUUGAAAAACUUUUAUUGUUUGCUUGAUUUUGAUUUUGAAUUUGAAUCGGUUUCGAGCUAACGCGAGAUUACUAACAGUAAUCAAAGUGACGUGGCAUCGUUAACGUGGGAUUACUGUAGCCUAAUUAUCCGGGCGUCACACUUUCAUUUUGAGUUACCAACACUUAGCAACCGAACCGGUAUCUAAUACCUUGCUGCUACUAGGAGUACUAGUAAAGUACACAUUUAAUAUAAUGUAUGUCCAAUACAUACUUCUUUCAACCUUGCCAGCCUUCUCAUCUACCAAGUAUCUAGGGUGGUUCUGCUUCAGUGACCAUUCCCCUUAUUACAGAAGCACUUAGUCUCGGGCUUGGGUUCAAGUUUGGGUUUCUUCACUAGAGCAGCAACUGAUUUGUCAUUUCAUGAAGUAUCCCUUUCUUGCCCUUGCCCUUCUUGAAACUAGUGGUUUUACUAACCAUCAACAAUUGAUGCUCCUAUUUGAUUUCUACUUUCGCGGUGUCGCGAAUAGCUCAAGGAUCAUCAUAUGUAUCCCUGAUAUGUUAUAGUUCAUCACGAAGCUCUAGUAGCUUGGUGGCAGUGACUUUGGAGAACCAUCACUAUCUCAUCUGAAAGAUCAACUCCCACUCGAUUCAAGCGAUUGUAGUACUCAUACAAUCUGAGCACAUGCUCAACGAUUGAGCUUUUCUCCUUAGUGUGCAGGCUUAAGAAACUUGUCAAAGGUCUCAUACCUCUUGACGUGGGCACUAGCCUGAAAUCCCAAUUUCAGUCCUUGGAACAUCUCAUAUGUUCUGCGAUGUUUCAAAAACGUUUUGGCAACCUGAUAAACCUCAAAUAUUUAGCCUUGUUUCAAAACCAAAUUUCGGGAUCAAUACCAAAAACUUUUGGCAAGUUGCAAAGCAUCCAAAACAUGUUAAUGUUUAGCAACAAAUUAUCAGGUUCUCUUCCUCAAGAAUUUGGAAAUCUCGUAAGCCUUGUUCACCUUGAGGUGGCAAACAACUCACUUUCAGGACAUUUACCUGCAAAUAUAUGUUCAAGUGGAGGACUAAAAUCUCUCGCUAUCGCUUCUAAUAUGUUCAAUGGCCCAAUUCCAAGGAGUUUAAAGACAUGUACAAGUUUGGUUAAAAUUGACCUUCAGUCGAACAAACUAACAGGAGAUAUAUCUCAUCAUUUUGGUGUGUAUCCACAACUCAUAUGGAUGGGCUUGUCAACGAAUAGACUCUCUGGGCAGAUCUCAUCAAGUCUAUGUGCAUGUACCCAACUAACGAUACUACAUCUAGGAAAUAAUAUGAUCACAGGUUCCAUACCUCCAAUCCUUUCUAAAUUGUCCAACCUAGUAGCACUAACACUCAAUUCUAAUCAUCUCAGCGGCGAGAUUCCUCCAGAAAUCUGUACUUUAGCAAAUCUAUAUAGCCUCAACUUAUCAUCGAACCAGUUAUUUGGAUCCAUACCUACACAGAUAGAAAAGCUAAGCAAUAUAGGAUACCUUAAUAUAUCUGGGAACAGACUAAGUGGAUCAAUACCUGAGGAACUAGGGGCAUGCAAGAAACUACAGUCCUUGAAGAUCGGCAACAACCAAUUCAACGGGAGUUUGCCUGGUGUGGUUGGAAAUUUAGCAGGCCUGCAAAUCAUGUUAGAUGUGAGCAACAAUAACCUCAGUGGUGUUUUGCCGCAGCAACUUGGGAAGUUGGAGAUGCUGGAAUCUCUCAAUUUAUCACAUAAUCAGUUCAGUGGAAGCAUUCCAUCCUCCAUUGCAAACAUGCUGAGCCUUUCAACACUUGAUGUGUCCUACAAUGACUUGGAAGGACCAGUCCCAACAGCACGGCUACUCCAAAAUGCUUCAGCAAGUUGGUUUCUUCCCAAUAAAGGUCUCUGUGGUAACCUCUCUGGCUUGCCACCUUGUUAUUCAACCCAAGUAGCUGCUCACCAAAAAGGGAAGAUACUUGGUUUGCUUUUGUCCAUUGCUCUUGUGAUGGGUUUCGGCAUUGUUGCUGCAAUUGUUGUCAUAAUAAUACUUACUCGUAAGAAGAGAAAUCCACAAGAAAGUGUUACCUCUGAAGCAAGGGACCUAUUCUCUGUUCGGAAUUUUGACGGAAGACUGGUAUUUGACGAUAUUGUAAGGGCAACAGAAGACUUUGAUGAUAAGUACAACAUUGGAACCGGAGGAUACGGCAAAGUCUACAAGGCACAACUCCAAGACGGGCAGCUGGUUGCUGUGAAGAAGCUUCAUCAGACCGAAGAAGAGUUGGAUGAUGAAAGAAGAUUUCGCAGUGAAAUGGAAAUCUUAACACAGAUCCGACAACGAAGCAUUGUCAAAAUGUAUGGAUUCUGCUCCCAUCCAGCAUAUAAAUUUCUCGUCUACGACUACAUUCAGUAGGGAAGCCUCCAUGGAAUAUUGGAAAAUGAGGAGCUAUCGAAGGAAUUAGAUUGGAAGAAGAGAAUUGCCCUGGCAACUGAUGUGGCUCAAGCAAUAUCUUAUUUGCACGAUGAAUGCAGUCCACCUAUAAUCCAUCGAGAUAUCACAAGCAACAACAUCUUACUUGAUACAUCCUUCAAGGCUUUUGUCUCGGAUUUCGGCACGGCAAGGAUUCUUAAGCCCGAUUCGUCAAACUGGAGUGCACUAGCAGGAACCUUUGGCUACAUAGCUCCUGGUAUGUACUAUUUUAACCUUGUUUUUCACAUCAGAAGCAUUCGUCUCUAUCCAUUUGUUCCUAAUUCUAAUAUUUUCGACGCUUUUGUGCAGAACUGUCGUACACAUCUGUUGCGACAGAGAAAUGUGAUGUCUAUAGCUUUGGGGUGGUUGUGUUAGAGCUAGUGAUGGGCAAGCAUCCAAGGAAUCUAUUAGAUGGUAGUCUUUCUAACGGCGAACAAUCAAUGAUGGUGAAAGAUAUUCUGGACCAACGGCCGACAACACCAAUAACAACAGAAGAGAAUAACUUAGCUCUGCUCAUCAAGUUGGCCUUAUCUUGUUUGGAAUCUUCUCCCCAAGCAAGGCCAACCAUGCAGGAGGUAUACCAAACACUCAUCCAGCGACCAUCUUCUAGUUCUUGUUCUGUGCCUUUCAGCGCGCUUAUAUUACAGCAAGGGAUGCAUGCUGAUAUAAGGUCUGAAUCCUAGUGAGAAACCAGGGUCUGUCAAAGCAGAGGCCGAUUCAGAUUUCCGAUUUUUUAUUCAAGUCACUCAUACACCACCUAUAUAUAUACCUCUUGUAUGCCAUGCCAUGCCACACAGGAUGAGUUGACGACUCAUUGUAAGUCUAUGUAUUUGUAGAUUCUCCUGAUACAGCAAAAGAUCACCGUUGUGUGCCCGUGGUUUUUCCCGCAAGGGUUUUCCACGUAAAAAUGUGUGUCCAGUCCCGUGUUCUUGAUAUUUCUGUUUGCUUGCUGAUUUCAUAAAUAUAAUUUGGUUUGCGGGUUGCUUAUAUUUGUUAAAGACUGUAGUAUCCACAUGUGACACUUUCUUUCGGCUGUUGUCUGUAGGGUACUUAAAUGUGUCCUAAUAUUUGUCUCUUUUAUCUACUAUUGCUUGCAUAUAACCUAAUAAAGAUUGAAAAAAAUGAAAUCCAAAACUCGCGCAGUACCAUGUUGUCCUGCUUUAUUUAUUCCAUAUGGGAAUCAAGAUCAAAUAUCUUGGACCAAGCAGGAAUAAUCACAAUGCAUAAACGGAACGAAAUGAAUGUAAGCACAUUGGAGAUAUAUAGGUGCAUAAAAAAAGAGAAGUACCACAAUAUACUAAGUAAAAGGACUUACAGAGGAUUGUAGGGCAGGAGUAUGUAGUCCUUUUCCUUAUUAUUGCUCCCAUGAACCUGAAGGUGAAAAAAUGGAAUCCAAAACUGACACGUUAUCAUGUCAUCCUGCUUUAUUGUUCUCUGGGUAUCAAAGUAAAAUACCUUGUGCCAAGCAGGAAUAAUCACAAUGAUCAAGUGUUCGAUGCGUAAACGGAACAAAUGAAUGUGAACAAACGGAUAUAGGUGCAUAAAACAAGAAAAGUACAACAGUACUAGGUAAAAAAGCUUACGGAGGAUUGUAGGGCACACAUAUGUAUCCUUGUCCUUAGGAUGGAGGAUGUGUAGUCCUUGUCCUUAGGAUCGAGCAAUAGAUAAUUUACUACUUCACUUAAUUUCAAGCACUUGUAACGAGAUUUUCAUGGAACAAAGAUACAACCUUCUUUUUCUUGAUGCCUAAUACAAACUUAACCAAGGAUGAGAUCAGAUGAUAGGAAAAAGCCGUGACAGACAACACGAGAGCUAGCAACGUCCCAUAAUUUCAUUAUCAGAAAAGCAGAUACCAAUUCAACUCAGCAGAGACAUACUAACAACAGGAUGUACAACCAUAUAGAGAACACUCCCUUUAUCACACACUAUUGUUCCAACACAAAGGGAAAGAGACAUUCCAUCGUUCAACGAAUUGCAGUGGUAUAUGAGGCAAGAUACAAUGAAUCUGUCCAUGCAUAAACAAAGUGCCGACCAUUUACAACGAGAUCAAAACCUACACCAUAGCUUUUUUGUUACUUUCAGGUACGAAUUGAUGCGUGCGGCACGGUAGGCAGUCCCAGUUCAUCCUCCUGCACCAACAGACAAAAAUAAGCAGAGCAAAUUAGUCUACUGGUUGACAAGUGUUCACAUUGCAAUCAGGGGUAAUCAAGCAAAUUAAAGUAUGUGCCGUCUGAGAUAUUCAAUGGAGACUUCAAAGUUCAUCAUGAAAUCCAUCAUAUACCACAUGUUUGGCAUGAAAACAGUUUGCAUGUUCUCCCUCUGUGUGUUUCUUUUACUAUUAAGAUCAAGCUAUUAUGAGCUCAAAUUGUUCAUACCAACAACAUAUGCAUGCAUCAUGAAGUUGAGCCCAAAAUACAAGAGUUAUGAGUUCAGCACUACAUUCAUAAUGAUCUCAAGCAUCUAGCCUGUCAAAUUAGAUCAUGUCACAAGAUAAAAGGAAACACUGUGAUUGCAUGGGAAAUGACAUGAACCAUCGAUUUCUUCCUAGGGAUAUCAGCAUCAGAAUCAAUGUGAACAGAAACUGAACUAGUCAGUCUUGCAAUUGACAUACCUGCUGCCGGUUCGCUAGGACUGCUGCAUGACCACUUGGUGCAGCAGGUAGGUUAAGCUCAGAAUCAAGAUCAGUCUCCUUGUCUGGUUGGAGAUACGAUGGGACUGAAUUCGACUCAAAGUCCAUAUCGGCUUCCAAAGCAUCAAGCUCUGUAUUUUCCAACGUACAAAAUGAGAACAGCAAACAGAGAACCGUCUUUUCUGUAAAUUAACACAUGCAUGACGCAAAACCAGUCUUGCAACAAAAGGGCCAAAAAAGUGUUUCAGAUGAAACCUAAGACCAAUAUUAAAUGGAGAGUGUACUGAAUCAAAUUCAACUACGAAACUUUUACUGAAGAGCGGUUCCCAGCUGGUAACCACUGCAAGGAAAACUAGUUGGCCAAGUAAGGUUUUGAAUUAUCUGAGAAUAACCAACUACCGAAUAAGAGCCAUACCGCCCAUAAGUUCCUCCUCAUCGAUGUCAUCUGGGACAUUGUAGCUUCUACCAAGAGUUUCUUGUAUUUCAUUGCUCACAUCCAUAAGAUCCAUCAUCUCGUCUUGCAUGCUCUGCGGAUGAUUAUUAUAAAAAGUAUGGAUUGAGAUGUAAUUAAAACAAAAAUAGACAGGAUAAAUUAAGCAAGCAAAUAAUGAAUCUGGUACACAACAGGAUGUUGCAUACAUCUAUAUCUUCAAUCCUGACAGUCUUCAUCAUCCCUUUCAGCUCUUUAUUGGCAGCCUUCAUUGCAGUCAUCUGUUAAAUGAAAGACAAUUCAACAUAAGUUUGGGAGCCAGAAUAAGAAUCUAUCAUGAACUUGAUAGGAAACUAAGGCAACACACAGUGUGUUGAGCAUCUUUAAUUCUGUCUGAUGCGAAAGCAAGUUGGUCAAGAUUAUAAGUUUGGUUGGACAGGAGGUCACGUUGACCUUCAUACCUGUAGGGAAAGCAUGUGGAGUUUAAAGAUUAGAGCACUAGAAUAAUAGCCUGCUGCCACAAGAGGAAUGAUUAAAUGAUACAGGGUAAUCAGUGCCCUUUAUACAGGGAAACCUUCAAGUAUAAAAAAAGAGAAUGACUCACACGGAACAACAAAUAAUUUAAACUAAAAUCACGGCAAGCAUUUUGGAACGGAGGGAGUAGUACUUAUGUGGCUUACUUAGUUUCAACCAUUGGUUGGCAGGACUGACACGGAACAAAUAUCAUACAGCCUUCUUAUUUCUACAUGCCUAAUGCAAACUUAUUGACAGAAAGGGUGAGUAUAGAUGGUACGAGAACUAGCAAAUACCCCAAUAACCUUUUUAUCAGAAAAGUAGAUACCAAUUCACCUCAGAACUCAACUAGGCUAGUUGCAAUCACACACAUGCUAACUAUAGGGUGUACAGAGAACACCUCCUUUUAGAACUCACUAUCAUUCGAAAACCAACAGUGUGAAGACACUCUGGAAUGAAAUGAUGGCUGAGCCGAGGAGCAGGUUGAAAGAGACGAAGCGAGAAGAAGGAAAAUGUCUUGGCAUCCUUAGUUUUACCGUAGCAACGUGCAAAGAGCCAUCGUGGCAAAUAUUGCCGUGCUUGAUAUUACACGGCAAUCCAGCAGACGUACAUGAAGCGCUAGUAGUAGACUUUUACCGAUUCAACCUACGUGAGCUUGCAACUUUUCUUCAGCUUUGAAUUCCACAAGCUGCAGCCAAACACAUGACUUCCAACAAGACUUGCAUGCGGUCCACUAUUUGUCUUAACCUCAAUCGAACAUAGAAACCAUCAAUAGAAUUCCAGCACGGAAUUUUCCACUAGUUUGUUUUACUAGUAAGAUCAAGCUAGGAUGAGCUCAGUUCUUCGCACCAACAAAAAAGGUAUCUUUCAUGACACUAAGCCUGAAAUACACGACUUAAGAGUUCAGAAAUAUGUUCAUAACGAUCUCAACAAUCUAGCCUCUCUCAAUUAGAUCAUGUGACAGGAUAAGAAAAAACCCGACUACUACAGAGCAUGGUAUAUUAGAAAUUGCAGAGAGAGAGGUAGGCAGGCACCUAACAUAAUACUCUGAACAAUCGUGUGAGUUCAGAGAACAGCUCUCGUUAUCACUUUCUAAUACAGAUUCAUCUUGUGCUUGCUUUCCAACCUAAACAUUCCAUCGAGAUUCAACGCAGACGGUGUGAUUGACAUGCUAUAUAAUAAUAGGAUGUACAACCACCAUACAGAGACAGAGAGUGGCUCACAUUAUUCCAAAACAAGUCUUCUUCUGCCUUCCUCAAUGCCUUCUCAGAUGUUCGAUGGAAUAUCGGAGGUUGAACAGUGGAUUUGCACCCUUUUGAUUACUCAUAAAUUAAAAAGGGGCAUACCAGGGAAUAUUGGCAUGUCGGAUGUUACACGGCAAUCAACAACGUGCAUGGGCCGGCAGACCUACCGAAAGCGCAGUGACCCAUUUGAGCUUGUAUUUUUGCUUCAGCUUGUGUGGUCAAGAUGCUGCCUGGUUGUAUAGGUUAUGAAUUCCACAGGACUUCGAACAAUAUAUACUUGCAUGGUUGUACAGAGCCACUCUGUCAUUUUCCUCGUACACAGGACUUCCAACAAGACUUGGCAUUUAUACUAACCACAAUUCAACACCCAAACCUCUAUUUUUACCACCAGCACAGAAUUUUCCCACAAUUUGUCGUUGUGUUGCUCCACCAGCCACGAUUCCGUGAGCUAAACAGUUUGUUCUAUGUACCAACUGAAAAGUGAAAAGGGAAAAUUUAACAUUGGUACCGUGGAGAAUAGCUUAACUGAAGCAGUUACAGUUUACAUGAUCAAAUAUACUAUCAAAACAACCACAGGAGAUAGAACAAACUCUACUGCAGUGUUAACUCAAAGUCCAUUCAGUGCAUAAGUUCUGGACGGAGGAGAACUGGGAAAGAUAUGAGUAGGCGUACUCCGUGGGUACCCUUCUAUCCCUGCCUUCAAUUGCUUUCUAGUAAUAAUUACCUUGUCAUUUUUCCACAGGCACAAGGAAAGAAAAAAAGAGGAAUAGAUGGCGACACUGAAGAAGGAAAAACUGUCUGCCCAGCAGCAGCUGCCAAAGGGAAGGAAACAGGGGCAGGGAUGGCAACACGCUGAAGAAUAGUCAUCCAGCAACAACUUCCACUCAACUGUUGUGUGUUGAUUGAUGACCUCACAACAACGGAAGACACACUAGUUAAAUAAUCAUCAACAGUAUGCACAGAAUCAUAUCCCCCGAGCAAACAAAGCAUGCAAACACUACGCAGAAAAAUGCCAUCAUGCUCAACACCAUUGUUGUACCUCUGCCUACUGCUGGUGGCGUGCCUUCUUCUCUUGGAAGAAGCACAUGCGGUGCACCAUGGAGGGAUCUCUCUGAGGUCUCAACGCAUGGCCCUCCUCCACUGGAAAGCUACACUUGCGAGCCCACCACUGCAGAUGAGCUCUUGGCAAGAAAACACCAGGCCCUGCAACUGGUCGGGCAUCAUGUGCACGGCUAUCCGCCAUGGCCGCGGCAUGCCCUGGGUGGUAACCAACAUAUCCCUGCCGGGUGCUGGCAUCCGUGGCCAGCUUGGUGAGCUCAACUUCUCGGCUCUUCCAUUCCUCGCAUAUAUUGACCUUCAGAACAACAGUCUCCACGGUGUACUACCCGCUAGUAUCAGCUCUCUAUCAUCACUAUCUUAUCUUGACCUUAGCUUCAACCAUCUCAAAGGGAAAAUUCCGUUUGAGUUUGGUGGCUUGCAGAGUCUCAUGCAGCUUGGUCUCUCAUCUAACAGACUCACAGGACAUAUCCCUGCGUCUCUUGGUAACCUAACAAUGUUAAAUUAUCUUGUCAUUCACCAGAACAUGGUAUCUGGUCCCAUUCCUAAGGAGAUUGGAAACCUUGUCAACCUACAAGGCCUACAGCUAAGCAACAACCCCUUAACCGGCAUGAUACCAAAAACCCUUGGAAAUCUGACCCAACUAAAUGAUUUGUACCUAUAUGGUAAUCAACUUUCAGGGCCUAUACCCCAAGAGCUAGGCAGACUGGUCCGUUUGCAAAGUCUUCAGCUUCUGUCAAAUGAUUUUUCAGGUCCAAUUCCAAUCUCCAUAACCAAUCUCACUAAGAUGAACACACUUUUUCUCUUUGAAAAUCAAAUCACAGGUUCAAUACCCCCAGAAAUAGGCAACCUCACUAUGCUCAAUGAACUUUCUCUCUAUACAAAUCAAAUCACAGGCCCAAUACCUUUUGAAUUGGGCUAUUUGCUGAAUCUCCAAAAUUUUGGGUUGUCCAACAACCAAAUAUCUGGCACUAUUCCUGAUAGCAUAGGAAAUAAUACCAAGCUAGUAGUACUAUCCCUCGAUCAAAAUCAGAUAACCGGCUCUAUCCCUAAAGGGAUUGGCAAUCUGCUAAACCUCAAAUAUUUAAACGUGUACCAGAACCAAAUUUCGGGAUCAAUACCUAAAACUUUUGGGAAGCUGCAAAACAUCCAAGAACUGUACAUCAACCAUAACAAAUUAUCAGGUUCUCUUCCUCAAGAAUUCGGAGACCUCAUAAACCUUGUUGCACUUGGGCUGGCUAACAACUCACUUUCAGGACCUUUACCUGCAAAUAUAUGUUCAGGGGGUAGGCUUCAAUAUCUAUAUCUCUUUUCUAAUAUGUUCAAUGGCCCCAUUCCAAGGAGUUUAAAGACAUGUACCAGUUUGGUUGAAAUUAGCCUUCAGAGGAACCAACUAACAGGAGAUGUAUCUCAGCACUUUGGUGUGUAUCCACAACUCAAAAGGAUGAGCUUUGCAUCGAAUAGAUUCUAUGGGCAGAUCCCACCAAAUCUAGAUGCAUGUACCAAAAUAACGAUACUACGUCUAGCACAAAAUAUGAUCACGGGUUCCAUACCUCCAAUCCUUUCUAAAUUGUUGAACCUAGAAGAACUAAGUCUCAAUUCUAAUCGCCUCAGCGGUGGGAUUCCACAAGAAAUCUGUAGUUUAGCAAAUUUAUAUAGACUGAACUUAUCAUCUAACCAAUUAUCUGGAUCCAUACCUACACACAUAGAAAAGCUAGGCAAUCUAGCAUACCUUGAUAUAUCUGGAAACAGACUGAGCGGGUCAGUACCUGAGGACCUAGGAGGCUGCAUGAAACUACUUUCCUUGAAGAUCAACAGCAACAGCUUCAAUGGGAGUUUGCCUGGUGUGAUUGGAAAUUUAGCAAGUCUGCAGAUCAUGUUAGAUGUAAGCAACAAUAACCUCAGUGGCGCAUUGCCGCAGCAACUUGGGAAGUUGGGGAUGCUGGAAUUUUGGAAUUUAUCCCAUAAUCAGUUCAGCGGCAUCAUUCCGUCCUCUUUUGCAAGCAUGGUGAGCCUUUCAACACUCGAUGUGUCCUACAACAACUUGGAAGGACCAAUCCCAACAACACGGCUACUCCAAAAUGCUUCAGCAAGUUGGUUUCUUCACAAUAAAGGUUUGUGUGGUAACCUAUCUGGCCUGCCAACUUGUUACUCAACUCCAGUAGCUGGUCAGCAUAAACGAAAGAUAAUUGGUUUUCUUUUGCCAAUUGUUCUUGUGAUGGGUUUUGGCAUUGUUGCUGCAAUUGUUGUCAUAAUAAUACUUACUCGUAAGAAGAGAAAACCACAGGAAAGUGUCACUUCUGAAGCAAGGGACCUAUUCUCUGUUUGGAAUUUUGAUGGAAGAUUAGCAUUUGACGAUAUUGUAAGGGCAACAGAAGACUUCGAUGAUAAGUACAUCACUGGAACAGGAGGAUACGGCAAAGUCUACAAGGCACAACUCCAAGACGGGCAGCUGGUUGCUGUGAAGAAGCUUCAUCAGACGGAAGAAGAGUUCGAUGGUGAAAGAAGAUUUCGUAGUGAAAUGGAAAUCUUAACACAGAUCCGACAACGAAGCAUCGUCAAAAUGUAUGGAUUCUGCUCCCAUCCAACAUAUAAAUUUCUCGUCUAUGACUACAUUCAGCAGGGAAGCCUCCACGGAAUAUUAGAAAAUCAGGAGCUAGCAAAGGAAUUAGAUUGGAAGAAGAGAAUUUCUCUUGCAACUGAUGUGGCUCAAGCAAUAUCUUAUUUGCACCACGAAUGCAGUCCAUCUAUAAUCCAUCGAGAUAUCACAAGCAACAACAUCUUACUUGAUACAUCCUUCAAGGCUUUUGUCUCGGAUUUCGGCACAGCAAGGAUUCUUAAGCCCGAUUCAUCAAACUGGAGUGCACUUGCAGGAACGUAUGGCUACAUAGCUCCUGGUAUGUACUAGUACUACUAUAACCUUUCUUCUCACGUCAGAAGGACUCAUCUGACGGAAGUCUAAUGAUUUUAUUUUGUGCAGAAUUGUCGUACACAUCUGUUGUGACAGAGAAAUGCGAUGUCUAUAGCUUUGGAGUGGUUGUGCUAGAGCUAGUGAUGGGGAAGCAUCCAAGGGAUCUAUUAGAUGGUACUAUGUCAAACGGAGAACAAGUCAUACUUGUGAAAGAUAUUCUGGACCAACGACUGACAACACCAACAACAGAAGAGAAUAGGUUAUCUCCUCUCAUCAAGCUGGCCUUUUCUUGCUUGGAAUCUUCUCCACAAGCAAGGCCAAGCAUGCAGGAGGCAUACCAAAUGCUCAUCAAGCGACCCUCAUCUAGUUCAUGUUCCGUGCCUUUCAGCACACUUACGUUACAGCAAGUAAGGAAGAGUUGAUGACUCAUUGUAUGUCUAUGUAUUUGUAGCCACUCUCCUGAUAUAGUAAAAGAUACCAUCAUGUGCCCGUGGUUUUUUCCCGCAAGGGUUUUCCACGUAAAAAUCGUCACGUGUUCUUAAUAUUUCUUUGUUUGCUUGCUUGCUGAUUUCUGACAAUGCGUAAAUAUAAUUUUGUUUUGUGGGGUGCUUGUAAAAUGUAUGCAGUGUCUAUGUUAUAUUUGUUUAGACAUAAUACCCACAUACGACACGUUGUUUCGGCUGUUCUCUACAUUCUACAAGGGUACUUGAUAUGGCGUAUUAAUAUUUCUACAUUUCUCUACUAACUGGAGUGAUAUCAGUGGUCACGCUUUAUUGUUCUCUAGGAACCAAGGUAAAAUACCUUGGACCAAGCAGGAAAAAUCACAAUGAUCAAGGGUCGAUGCGUAAACAGGAACAAAUGAAUGUAAACACGCAGAGCUAGGUGCGUAAAAAAACAUAAUUACCACAGUACUAUGUAAAAGGACUUACAGAGGAUUGUACGGAAGGAGUAUGAAGUUCUGGUCCUUGUGAUGGAGCAUUGUAUCCAGGAGUAUGUAAUCCUUGUCCCUAGGAUGGAACAACAAAUAAUUUACUACUACACUUAAAUUCAAGCAUUAGUUGGCGAAAUUGACAUGGAACAAAGAUGCAACCUAAGAUGAAAUUUCUCCAUGCCUAAUACAAGCUAAACAAAGGAUGAGAUGAGAUGAGAUGAAAAGCCCCAGGUGACAGUCGAUGGCGAGAGCUAAGCUAGUGCAAUCAUAGACAUGAAGAGUGCAAUCAGAGACAUACUAAGAACUAGAUGUACAAUCGUAUAGAGAAUAGCUCCAUUUACCAUUGUUCAACGACUUGCAGUGGUAUAUGAGGAAAGAUACAAUGAAUUUUUCCAUGCACAAACAAAGCGCCAACCAUGUACAUCAAGAUCAAACCUACACGAUAGUUUUUUUUUGUUAGUUUCAGAUAUGAAUUGAUGUGUGCGGCACUGCAGGCAGUCCUAGUUCAUCCUCCUGCACAAGCAGAGGAAAGCAAGCACAUCAAAUUAGUCUACUGGUUGAGACACAAGCAUAGACGUUCACUGAAACUGAAAUGAAGCAGAGUAUGUGCUGUGGUAUGAUAAGACCGAGACAACGGUAAUUGUUCCAAGAGCUCAGGAUCAAAUCCAUCAUAUAGCACAUGUUUGGCAUUAAAGUGAUUUGCAUGUCCUCCCAUGAGUUGUUUUUGCUAGUAAGCUAGGAUAAGCUCAGUUGUUCACACCAACAAUAAAGGUACUUGCCAUGAAAUUAAACCCAAAAUACACAAUUUAUAGGUUAGGAAUAGUUCCAUAUAUAAUGAUCGCAGGUAUCUAGCCUGUCAUUUAGAUCAUGUGACGAGAUAAAGAAACCCUUCUACAACUUCAUGCACAGUGAUUGCAUGGGAAAUGAUGCGAACCACUAUCUCAGAAAAUCAACAUCACAGAAACUAGUCAGUCUUGCAAUUGACAUAACUAGCUACCUGCUGACUAUUUGCCAUGACUGCUGCAUGACCACUUUGUGCAGCAGGUAAGUUAAGCUCGAAACAAGAUAUGUCUCCUUGUUUCGUUAGAGGUAUGAUGGGACUGAAUUUGAUUUAAAGUCCAUCAGCUUCCAAAGCAUCAAGCUCUGCAUUUUUCAACAUACAAAAUGAGUGCAGCAAACAGAGAACUGUCUUGUCUGUACAGGGCUUAUGACAAAAGUGCCAAAACGUUUCAGGUAAAUCAUGGACCUGAGAACUGAUAAAAACUGAGAGUUUGCUGGAUUGAAUUCAACUACAGAAUUUAAAUUGACGUGUGGUUCCUGGCUGGUUAUCACUGUAAGGCAAACUAUUUGAUUCAGUAACUUUAGGGUGAUAAUACCUAGUGUUAGAGUCAUCUAAGAAUGGCCAACUACAAAUAAGUUCCUCCUCAUCAAUGUCAUCUGGGACACUGUAGCUUCUACCAAGAGUUUCUUGUAUUUCAUUGCUCACAUCCAUAAGAUCCAUCAUCUCGUCUUGCAUGCUCUGCGCGUUAUAAAAAAAGGUAUGGAUUCAGUUGUAAUUUAAACAAAAAUAGACAGGAAAAAUAAGCAAGCAAAUGACGAGUCUGGUACACAACAGGGUGUUGCAUACAUCUAUAUCUUCAAUCCUGACAGUCUUCAUCAUCCCUUUCAGCUCUUUAUUGGCAGCCUUCAUUGCAGUCAUCUGUUAAAUGAAAGACACUUGAGCACAAGUCUAGGAGCUCGAAUCAGAAUCUACAUUGAACUAGAUAGGAAACUAAUUCAACGUACAGAAAGCAUGUGCAGUAUAAAGAUUAGAGACUAGAACUAGAUUAAUAUGUUGCUGCCACGAAAAGAAUGAUUAAUUCCUACAGGAUAAUGAGGUCCAUAUUUAACUAAAGCCAGGAGCAUGGAGCAGCAAUAGCAUUCCCACUUAUGUCUUGUCCAUGUGAAGAACUUGCUAGCGUUUGAAAUCAGCAGUUUCUAUUAUAGCAAGUAACUGAAACUACAGAAAAAAUACCUAUUAUUGUAAAGAAGUAAAAAAAAUCUAAAGGUGUAUGAGAGCACAUCAACCAGAUUCAGGCUAUACCUUCUGGGACAACCUUUUAGACGGUGACUUGUCAACAUUGAUGGGUGGCAGCGUGGACUGGCGAGCGCCCGCGGAGAAAGGAGAAGAAGACGUCGCUGCAGCGUGCUGCCUGCGGGCAUUUCAUCGAACAGGUGGUGUGCGGUAACUAAUCUCUAUGCCUCCGAAUCCUCUUCCUGCCCUGAAAUCGACUCUCAAACCACCAAAGUCAGCAGCAACAACCCGAUUCUCUUCAUACAUCGCAUAAAUCACCGAGAGAAGUUGAGAAGAGCACGCAGAGCUCGCAGGCGUGGUCGGUGGCGUUGUCGUGGUGCUAGCCGGCGAGCGGGCACGGCAGUCGCUGCAUUUGGCGCUGACGCGGCCCGAAGCUCGGUGGUGGGGGGUCGUGGCGCGGCGGGGACGCAGGUCGGGGUCGGGGUCGGCCGCCGGGAGCUCGGCCCGGCGCAGCUUGGAGGACGGACAACGGCGACGGGGCGGGCUGCUAGGGGCGAACCAAACCCAAAAACUGCCUGAGGGGCCAGUUAUUGUUUGCCGCUCACUGCUAUGGGCCCGGCCCAUUGCCAGUUUCCCCUGUUUUUAUUUGGUUUUGAAAGAAGUAUAGUUUUCACCCUCAAAUCCACUCCAUUGUCUCCAUAGCUCCCUAAAGUCAAUUUUGGUAUGAUUUAGACCCUAAAAACAAAAAUGCUAGACACACAGACAAAACCAACGGACCUUUACGGAUAAGCUGACUUGUCAUUUUCUAAUUAGGCUAAAUAACCCUGUCCACCUAAUUAAUCGCCCCCCCCUGAUUUUAACUGGUGGGGGUGGGCGCCAAGGCCUGUAAAGCCCCGUAAUCCUCCGUUUAUGUAGCAAAGCCGCCCUAAAAAUAUCAAUAACAGUUUAAUUAGACCUGAGCGGUUUAGUGUCAGAUCAAGAGUGGUUUUGCAUCUGGUUUUUGUUUAUUCAUCUAGGCGGCAAGGACAGCGACGCAAUUGUAGUUGGUGUGGACGGCUGCGCUGCAGCCCUUCCGGUUUCCUCUUUGCACUACGAAGACGAAUAGCCAACCACUUAUUUUCAGCGACCUGCUGCCACAUAAGCAUGUCAAGUCAGCGACAAAUCAGUGCCUAAUCACAAAACAAGAUGAAAAAUCACUCUUGAUGUGACACUAAACCGCUCAAGGCUAGAUUAAACUGGUAUUGACAUUUUUAGGGUCUAAAUCAGACCAAAUUUGACUGUGGGGUUAUGGAGACAUUGAGUGGAUUUGAGGGUGAAAGCUAUACUUUUUUCUUUGGUUUUUAUAAGUUUUUAUACUGAUUUCUUUUGGUUCAUUCAGGGUGGCUUUUUUGUUUUUAAUUUUUUGUUGUUCUCUUAUUUUUCCUUUUGUUUGAUUUUUUAUUUUAUUUAUAUUUUUGUCUUCAUUUAUAACUAUAACUCUGGUGUAUAUAUGAACAUUUCAAAAAAUAUUAUUACCUUUUUGUAAUAUUUUUAAAAUAUAUAUAAACUUUUUUAACAAUAUUUUUUAAAAUAAAUCCGUGCUCACCCAUUAGAACUCCUAACUAGGGGCUAAAUAGGGGCUAAAUAGGGUCUUUACAUGUAGGGAAAGCAUGUGGAGUAUCUCUACUCCUAAUAUCUCAGUUGGUAGGUCGCGUUCCGGAUUUUAUUUUCGUCCCACUAUUUUCGUCCGAUUUUUUUCGCUGGUUUUUUUCGCCCUCCCCGGCGCACUAAAAAAACCUACGCUCCUCUCGAUCCCGUGCCUUCGCCGUCGUCUUCGCGGAUCCGCAGCCGCAACCAUCGCCUCGUUCCCGUGCGCAGCCGUCGCUCCCUCUCCCAGCGCCCGAGCAUCCCCGUCGCUCCCUCUCCCAGCGCCGCCUCCGCCGCCAUGGCCCCUCCCCUUGCGCCCCGAACUGCCUCGCGCACUCGUCGCCCGUUAUACCACAGAGGAGGCGAAGACAGCGGCAGCGCGGCGACCGGCCUACUUCGCCGGUCGCCGCCUCGGCUGCACUCGGCGGGCGCCACGCCGUCUCCUCUCCAUGCGAGUGGCGGAUGGCAGCGAGGAAAGUGGAUCGACCUGGCCAUGGGGAUGGCACUACGACCCCUGCCAGCCUCCCGUGUCGCCGUGCCUCCCUGCAUCGUCGCCUCCGACCUCACCACGUAGGUAACCUCACCCAUGUCCCCUCCGCACCUCCUUCCACUCCAUCCUCGACCACCCCCUUCCUCUCACCUCAUGCCCAUUGUGGUGGCCUGCAGUUCCUUUGACGAGUAAUGGGGAUGGAAAUAUAUCAAUGAUGGGGUGUGGUUCGUUCCUGUCAGGAAGGCUGGAAGGCCAUGAAGCGCCGCUUCGAUGAGAUGACCAUGUGAGAGGCUCACUGCAGGCCUGAAUCUUGUAUGUACGACGUAAUUUUGUGCUAUCUAUCUUUUGGGAAGUAAUUUUGUGCUCUGUGCAUGAAUAUUUCAGGAACUUCCGAUGCGGUUGUUCACCAGUAACAGGUUCGUACUUCAUACCAGCAUGAUGGUGUAGUAUGUUUACUUCGCUUACUACUUGUUCGAUUAAAAUCAUACGGGUGCCGUUGUGUCCAGAAUACGAGUGAAAUUUUGUGCAUUGGGGCUCUUGGGCAUGAAAUAUGGGGCAGUUUAGGGACUACGUCCUGAAGAUUCCUUCAGGUUCACCGGAAAUGACUACCAACUUGUUUAAUUCUGCAGGUGCGGGUGUUGCUGGUUGAUGGUGGCCUAAGCAUUUGAGUCUAACUGAAAGUGAACCGGAGCGAUGUGCAGAAAAAGAUCUUAGCGCAGAGACUGAAUUUGUAUACUACUUAGAAUUUAUUAGGUAUACUCCCUACACUUGUAUAUCACUUCUGAAUACAAGUUCAGGUUAUUACGUAGUACUAUUGAAUUUUAGAAUUGAUACUUGAAGAUUUUAAAAGGUUACUGAAUUUUGUACCAAGUCUACUGUUAUGUAUAGGAAGAACAUGAUCUAAAAUAUUGAUAAUGCAUAUAAACGGUGAUUAUCUGCUCUUAUGAUGAAGACGUUCCUUGCUUCCCUGUUAAAUACAUGUGAACUAUAGGGAAUUAUUUUCUAACAUUCGUACUAGAAGAAACUAUUUUCAGUUUUCAGGUUAUGCCUUUCUUGCAAUGAUUGCAUCUGUGAAGUUGAUGCUUAAUUACUUCCUACAUUUAGAAGAUCGUAACUUUUGCUAUACAAACAUGCAUGGUGAGAUGGAGCGUUGAUGAGUGCUGUGCAUUUUGCAGAUCAGGUUAUAUUUCCUUGGUAGCAUGGCAGCAGCACCCAAUCAGACCACAACCGCGGCGGGCGUGCUCUGCGAUCUUGGCCACCGUCUCCAAGGCAGGUACGGCCUACGCCGCCACUGAGAGCUGCCCCUCCUCAUCACCAUCAACGCCGGUGAGCUCUCCCUCUGCUCUCGCCGCUACCCAGCUCCAUCCACUAUCUUCUACAAUAUUGUUGCUACUUUGUAAUGGCUAGCCCAAUUUUCUUUAUUGCUGUUAUGUCUUAUUUUGCGAGUCAACGAUUUUCUUUCAAAUCUACAAAUGGGUGCGUUUGUCUAACCAUUAAGUAAAUGGCUGGAAUCCAUAAUAUGUGAAAUUCCGGCACAGUUGCAUGAAAAAGUGAGUAUGUAUUGAGUAGGGAUGUAAUUCUUGCCGAUUCAAAUAUCAGAAUGUGUUCCUGAGACAUAAUAAAACCAUCCUGAAUCUUACGUUUUUAGCAUGCUGAGAUCUGUACUACCAUAUAUAUACUUCUAAAUUACAUGGUAUGGCGAUUUUGAAUAUUGGCACCUGAUCUUUUAUCUUAUAAUAGAUCAGAUGUUCCUGGUCAGCAUCAAGGAAUUGUUUUGAGACUUGUAUCCAUUUUUUCCCUGGUAAAAUGUAUGACAAUAUACCGUCCAUGUUGGUGACCUAUUGAUCUUCUAAUUUCUAUAUUCGCAAAAAAAGAUCUUCUAAUUUCUAAAGAUGUCUCUGACUUGCUCACAUGCCAAUAAAUAUAAGCUGCAUCAAGUGAGCUUUCCUGUCAAUAAGUAGCAAUCAACCAAAAGAAAAGAAUAAUGCUCAUCUGACUUGUUGGUUGUUUCUCACAGUUAUUUGAUUGCCUUAUAACCUUCAAGUUAACAUAGUGCUGCAGUUUGUGGCAAACUUAUGGACUGGUCAUACCUGUACUGGACGUUGCUACUGAACAACAAGUAGCUUCUCUUGUCUUCCUAUUACGCCAACGAGAGCAGCCAUCCUAUUACGUGAGAAACCACCCCAUGAUUCCCUCCGCUCUCUGACCAUUGCUAUGAUGGAAAGUUGAAAAUACAUCAGUGCAGAGUGCGCUCGCUGCCAUCAGAUGCACUAGGAGUCAAAGCCGUCAAUUGUGUUCUAGCCUCACAUGUAUGCAAGCUGUUUGACAAAAGGCUCCACCUACAAUCUUCUUGAAUUUUUAACGGUACAGAAAGAGUGAAUAAUGUACGUGUUGGGUGAAGUGCAGAUGCUAUGAACUCUUCCAGCUCUAUAAAUUCACAUAUUGUGUUAGUGCAUUCUAAUUUGUUUGGUACAUAUGCUGCAAUGAACUCGCAGCAACAAGCUUUCCUUCUUUCUUUAGCAUUGCUUUUCUACUACAAUUGAUGACAGAGCACUGGCAACCUCAGGAAGUUGGGCGCCAAGGUGGAGUCCCUGCAGAAGUUGUUCACCCGGAAGGUCGUCUUCUCCAAGGCGUCCCUAGCCUUCGAACAGGACCGCUCCAUCAAGGUAUCUACUCAUGUUUCCAAUUACCAAACUUAUCCUUUCACUUGGGCCGGAGGACAAUAGAUUUGUCUUAAUCAUUUGAAUCCAUUAAUAAAUCUUCUUCUUUGCUCGAGUUGAAUCUGUGAAGACUCCGAUGGAGUAAUGUCGUCUUCGCCGGGCUGCAAUUAUAUGCCUAGGGGUGGUCAAACUGAAAAGUUCAGGGAAGAUUCAGACUACAUGUGGUAGUGCUGAACAUUGUUUGGCCGUUCAUCGAAUGUGGUAGUGCUUAUAGGGUUAUAGCCCCGGGUUAAACUGAAAAUCUAUCUGGAAUUUGGUUUUACAGUGUCUAAGUGUUAAUGAUGUCUAGAAUUGCUGCAGAUUAAUUAGUUAUUGUGGAGGUUAUAAGACCAUGUAGUGGUACAUUGAUUAUCUGGCGCUGAGUAAUUAACUGAACAUUAUUUUGAUGUUCAUCGAUUGUGGCAUUGCGUAGGCUGUUACAGCUUCAGUUUAAACUGAAAAUUAUCUAAAAUUUGGAUUUAGAAUGUCUAACUGUGAAUGGUGGCUAGCUUCGGUUGCACCCGAAAUACCAAAGUUCACACUAAAAUCUUUUUUUUACAAAACCUCUCGUAGCUGAGUUGAAUUUCGUUUUUGUUGGUUUAGUAGACGGAAACUUAGCAUUGCCCCAAAAUUCUGAAAAGAUGGAGUAUAAUUUUUGUUUACUAAAAAAAUGAAGUGACUUUUAACAGCUGGGGGUUAUGUGAUAUGUUUUUCAAUCGUGUUAAUGUACACUUUUGGAAUGUAGAAUGGAACUAUAUCUGUUUGUUCAACUAGAGAGAGGAGCUGUUUUUCAACUGCAGUAGUGUAUACUUUCGGAACGAAAAAUGAAACUAUAUCUAUUUUUUAAACUUUUCCAAUAUUGGAAGAUGUAAAAUGUAUACUUUUGGCUGCACGGUGAUUUUUUCUGGCUAUCCUUGCAAUGUAUUGAACCUGAUCAUCUCUGAUUAGUGUUGUUCCUACUUCUUGAAGGGUAAACCAUUGAGUGGCAAUUCCACAUGUGUAUUCAUUGCAACUUGGAUGUACGGCGUAGUGAUUAGCAGCACGAAGUGCUGAGCACGUCGUGUGUGUGUGUGUGUGUGUGUGUGUGUGUGUGUGUGUGUGUUGUUGGUACAGUAUGCAUUUUUGGGCCUGUAUUGCGGAACUAACUUAGACUGCCUGGUUGUUGUUUUUAGUAUAGUAUACCUUUUGUGGGCCUGAAUUCUGAACCUUACUGAUUUUUUUCCUUGUGUGUUAGUAUACAGUUUUUUGGCCUAAUUUGUUAACCUUAUCUGGGUAUUGAUUUUCUGCAUUCAGUGAUGCACCCGCGGUCAUGCGUAUUUGUUAGUCUACUUUACUUAUAGAUUUAGUUGUUUUUAUCAGUAUCCACCCGUAGGUUAGUUAACUGAAAUUUUUGUUGGGAGUGGUUCAUUAUGUUCUUUAACUGCUAUACUGAAGCAGCGGAUCAAAAAAUUUAAAGACAAUUAGAUCUGUAGUAAUUAAUUAAGACUUGAUGGUUGUGUUAUUAUUAUAGUAUAUACAAUUCUGGGCUGAAUUGCAAAUAUGAUCAAAAUUUCCUGGUUUUGUGUUAUUAUUAUUAUGGUAUACUAUUAUGCUGGCGAGCUUUUUGUUAGUGCUUUUCUAACUGUCCUUGCUAAACUUUUGAUACUCUCCACAAUGAUGAAAUGUUUCUGCAUGUUAGUUAAGUACCAGGGCAACCAUAAAUGAUGUUCCUUCCUUUCGUUGAGCUACCUUACUGUUAUGCCGUCUACCUUUUUGUUAAUAUACACACUGGAAUUCUCUAUUCUGGAACCCAUGAACUCUUUGUCUCUUCGCUGUGACCUGUUUCUCAUCUACUUUUUCUUGUAAGAAACAUUAUAGUAUAUUACGUGCUAUCUAGGCAAAAUAUACAUAAUUGGUUCUCUUCUAUAUGCUUUCCUCAAUGAAUACACUUGAUUCACAAAAGCAUUGGGAUAAUUAGCUGAACAAGUUUUGCAAAUUUUUGUUUCUUGCAUCUCCCCUGAUUAUUUCCUGGUACUUGUGAAAUUGUUCAGAUUACUUAGCUUCGGUUUAUAUAUUAGAACGUGGCAAUGGCUCGGAAGACAUCAAAUCUGCCUUCUUGGCUCGGGGGGAGUCAUGGGCGGCGCAUGCCAAGUCCUCCCUUGAUGGCAGUAGCGGAUGGAACACGGGGAAGGGGAUCAAGGCCAAGAGUAGGGUGGUUGGUGAGGAACUCCUCCUUGGCAGUCCAUGGGGAAGUAUGGUGUGAAGGAGAGAGGGUGCCAUGCGAAGGUGAAGUGGGUGUCAUCCAGUUUUAAAGGAGAGGGCUCCAGCGAGAAAUGUCCAGGUACGACGGGAAAUUGAGCGGGAAGCGGAGGGUCCGACAGGAAAAGGGGAGGGUGCAUUGUGGGGUGGGGUUUUGUGUUGGGACUGCAUGCUGGAGAUAACAUGGCGGAUAGUCCGGACAAUCACAUUUCUUCCCACACAUGGGCUGGAUUUGGUGGAGCCCGGACUGUCGAGACGGGUGGAUUUUGGGGAGCCCGUUGGGCACAUGUUUGAUGUCAGAACAAGCCCGAACUUAUGGGGAAGAAAUGAGUUUCAACCUUGAAGACGAUCUUAGUCAUUUAUUUGAUUCAUUUAUUGUUAUUCUAGCCCACGGGCAUUGUACUAGUACAGAUUAGAGCAUGGGUCGGCUCCUUGGUGGGCAUUUCAUCGAACAUGUGGUGUGCGGGAACUUGGCCCUCCUCUGAAUCCUUUUCUUGCCCCUGAAAUCGGUGCAAAAUCAGCAGCAGACACCAAAUUCUCCUCAUCCGUGCCAUCAAUCACCACAAGUUGUAGGAUCCAUUAGAUCGGGAGAGCACGAGGCAGCACCUACUCACUAACCUGAGGCACGGUGAGCACUGGUGGUCGAUGUAGGUAGACCAGCGGGGGGAACGAGCACCUAGCAGAGCUCGCGAGGGGGAGGAGGACGCCGAGAGGUCGGUCGGUCGGCGCGGCUUGGGCUUGGAGUUGGACGCCGACGGGGACGCGUCGGUGGCCGGAGCACGGAGGCCGGCCGGCGGUGGGACGUGCCCAUGGCCGGACCCUGGCCCAAAAAGAAAGAGGAUAUUCCUCACUCAUGGGCCGCACUCCAAUUUCUUCUUGUGGCGCUCAAAAAACAAAAAACUUGUCGCUUGCGCUCAAGCCGGCUGGAGUUGGCCUGGAAUUCUUUUUUCAUGUUUUUCAUCUCCUUGUCUAUCGGCAGUACGUCGAUUUUUCUAGUUUCUUUGUCUUCUUCGACUCUUCUGGUCUGUUCUUUUCUUUAUUUAUUUUUUCCUUUUUUUCUUUGUGUCCGCUAUUUUUUCACCAUCUUCAAAGCUCAUAGUGCUGUUUUAGAAAUCCAUCCUUUUUUCUCAAAAUUGUUUAUCAUGUACUCCCUGUAAACUAAUAUAAAACCAUUUAGAUCACUAUUUUGCCGUGUAUCUAGAAAUUGUUCAUUGUAUAAAAAUAUUCACGGUGUUUCUAACAAAAUAUUAACAGGCUGACAUGGGUAGGCUGGUCGGGCGGAUACCUCCUGCACAUGAAUCUUGCCCGAUUUGACAGCAGGUGAGCAAAAGGAAGAUGUAUCACCCAGGAUAUUCGUGACGUGCUUUCACUUUUAACAAGGUACUAGAAGCGCUCGCGCGCUUUGCCACACUACUAGGGCUGUAUCGACUAUCUGACUUGUUAAUUUUAUAUUUUAUAUAUGUAUUAGGCAAAUUACUCGAUAUAAGAAGCAGUCGUGUUCACACACGUGAGCCGAAUUCUAUAACAAAUGACAGCGGGGUUGGUAUUUUAGAAAAACACAUUUCACAAACGCUUUUUGAAAAUUUCAAACAAUUUGAAAUGCCGCAAACAUAUUCUGAUAUUCUAAGCUUUUUUUCUAAAAAAAAUGUGAACAAUUUUUGUAAUCCUAAUUUAGAAAAAAGACAGAUAUUUUUUUGCAAAACCUAACAGUUUUGGAAAUAUUGAAAAUUUUCUGACAUUGUUACUUUUUGUAAAAUAAGAAACAUUUUCUGAAAUCCAUGAACAUUUUUUGACACACGAACAUUUUUCUGAACUUGUGAGCAAAUUUUGGAAAUGAGAACAUAUUUUUAAAUUCCUGUACAUUUUAUGAAUGAAAUUCUGAACAGAUUUUGAUAAAGAGAACAUUUUUCCGAAACAAGAUCAUAACAAAGAUUUGAAAUUUGGAAAAUUACUGAACAUUUUUUAAAACAUGACAUUUUUAUAAUUGCGAACAAAAUUUAAAACAAGAACAUUUUUUGAAAUUCCUGAAAGAAUUUUUGAAACACGAACAUUUUUUUAAUUGUGAACAAAAUUUGAUAACAGGAACAUUUUAUGAAAUGCCUGAACAUUUUUUCAAAACAUGAAAACAACAGAGAAUUGAAAACGAGAACAUUAUUCUGAAUUUACUGAACAUUUUUUUCAAACUUGAACAUUUUUUGAAAUUAUGAACAAAAUUUAAAGCAAGAUUUUUUUUUUUGAAAAUCCUGAAAGACUUUUUGAAACAAGAACAUCUUUUGAAAUUGUGAACAAAAUUUGAAAAGGAGAACAUUUUAUGAAAUUCGUUAAUAUUUUUUGAAAUUUAGAACAAAUUUCGAAAACAAGGACAUGUUGUAAAAUUCCGAAUAAAUAUUUGCAAUUAUCAAACAAAAGAAAUAUGAAAAAGGAAAAAACGAAAUAUCAAAGAAAACAAAACAAAACAAAAAAAGAAAAUAAAAAACUUAAACCAAAAAGAAAAACAAAUAUAAAAAGAAAAGAAGCAAAAAGGGAAAAGGAAGGAAAUAGAAAAAUAGGUUCAGGAACCUCCUAGAAGGUUCCCAAAACCAAAAAAACGGCAAGAAACCACCUAGAAGAAUCCGAAAACUGGAUUCGCACAAACAUUUGAACGGCCCGGCCCAUCCGAACGCUCGUCGAUCUGUCCCUGUGCGUCGCGUCGACUACUUGCCGAACGAGCGGCAAAUAGGAUUUCCCUUAAAUCAGAGCUAAAUCCUGCCCACUCACGGAAGGAAAAAAGAGAACACAUUUUUUCGCGCAACAAAAGCUAAGAAAGACCGGUGAAAAAUAAAAAAUAACCAAUCUAAAAAGCCAAAAACGUGUGCAAAAAAAACAAAUUCCGGAGGGAGUGCUCAAAACGCGACAAGUGGCGUGCUCUUAGCCCAUGCCGAAUGAUCGCUGGGAGGCUUUCAAAGGAGCGCUCCUCAAUUAGUUGCUUUCGGAGUUCUUUUCUUUUCCGAGGGUAAGUAUGCUUUUUCUCCUUCUGGAAUGCUAGUACAUCUAUUUUUCUCGUUUCUUUGUCUUCUUCGACUUUUCUGGUAUGUUCUAUUAUUUAUUUAUUUUCUUUUUGUCCAUUCUUUUUCAUUAUCUUCAAAAUUGCUCAUAGUGUUUUUUAUCAUGUGUUGUAGAAAUUAAUCCUUUUUCAAUAUUAUUUAUCAUGUAUUUAAGAACUAUUUGCCAUGUAUCUACAAAUUGUUCAUUGAAUAAAAAAUAUAUUCACGGGUGUUUCUGGAAAAAAAAAGUAUUAACAGGCUGACGUGGGCAGGCUGGUCAGGCGGAUACCUCCUGCACAUGAAUUUUGGCCGUUUUGACAACAGGUGAGCAGGAGGAAGAUGUGGCACUCGGGGAUAUUUGUCAUGUGCUUUCACUUCUAACAAUGUACUAGAAGCAGCAGUUCCCGCCCCUAGGGUUGUAUCGGUUAUCUGAUUUGUUAAUUCUAUGCCUUCUAUGUGUGUUAGGAAAAUCACUCGAUGUAAGAAGUAGCCAUGUCCACACACGUGAGCCGAAAAAGCAGAAGCAGCGGUCGGAGACCAUCGGAUAACGACAAUGCGACGACAGACAUGUCACACGUGUGAUCUGCUCGAAGACUAUCCAUGAAAACAGGUACAACACGCAUGUUGAACCUGAAUAGCCAAGGCGACGUGGCGUAUGUGCAACAUUGCCCCAAUGGUUGACAACAACGGCUCAUCAACGGGAUGCUGCAAAAAUGGUUCAUGAGCAUGGCCUUGCUGACGAUAGAGAUGCAGCAAGGCGGCAAGCUACGUGGAGCAAUACAGUGUGGCAUCAACGCGGAGAAGUAGUUUGGCAAGGAGCGAUGGGCACACAAUGAGGCUACGGCAAUGGCAUGGCCGCGUGCAACACCAUCGUCGCCCAUAGACGCGUACAUACAUCAUAUCACAAUGUUUUGUGAUACAUGAUGAAUUCUUCACUUGAACUCUUCUCUUGUAACCAUCUUCUCGGGAUGUUGAUCCUCCACGACUUAACUCACAAGCUAGAGCAAGACAACCUUUGAGUCGCACACAAGGAAUCCAUCAUCUUUCAUUUUCCUCUUCUUUCAACCUUCAAUCCAACAUAUGGUUUCAAAGCAUUGCCUAUGGAUAAACCUUCUAAUCCAUAGGGAUUGCGAGGGGGAGGAGGACGCCGAGAGGUCGGUCGGUCGGCGCGGCUUGGGCUUGGAGUUGGACGCCGACGGGGACACGUCGGUGGCCGGAGCACGGAGGCCGGCCGGCGGUGGCUGCCUGCCAGGGCCGGACCCGGCCCAAAAAGAAAUAUUCCUCGCUCAUGGGCCGCAGUCCAAUUUCUUCUAAUGCCGCUCAAAAAACAAAAAACUUGUCGCUUGUGCUCAAGCCGGCUGGAGUUGGCCUGGAAUUCUUUUUUCAUGUUUUUCAUCUUCUUUUUUAGGAAAGCCAUCAUGGCGAAUUUUAUUGAUCUGGAGUCACAGUUACAUCAUCGACUAGAACAACAUGAAUUUGAUGGUUUAGUCUAGCCAUGUCUGAUCACGUUGGCGGUUCUGAAUUUUUUUCACUUAGGCAAGUUUAAAGCCAGGACCAAGAUGGCUUGAGCUGAUCUGACCGGUGCUCACAGCGCCUCACCUCUUGUGAACUUCCUCCGUUCCCACCAUGCGUACAAGGAGGCUACAGCCACAAGAUCACACCUACGGAUGCCUGCCAUCAUAGGCACAUUGUUAGUGUCUAACAGUAGCUGUUUAAGGGGGGCAAUCUCAUCCACCUCCGCAAAACAAGCCUCCUCAACAAUUCUAUUCAUACCCAGGUGAGACCAGAUCUCCUUGUCAAACGCCAGUACGUCGAUUUUUCUAGUUUAUUUGUCUUCUUCGGCUUUUCUGGUUUGUUCUUUUCUUUGUUUGUUUUUCCCUUUUUUUCUUGUGUCUGUUAUUUUUUCACCGUCUUCAAAGCUCAUAGUGUUGUUUUAGAAAUCCAUCCUUUUCUCAAAAUUGUUUACCAUCUACUUCUUGUAAACUAAUAUAAAACCAUUUAGAUCACUAUUUACCGUGUAUCCAGAAAUUGUUCAUUGUAUAAAAAUAUUCACGGUGUUUCUAACAAAAUAUGAACAGACUGACAUGGAUAGGCUGGUCGGGCGGAUACCUCCUGCACAUGAAUCUUGCCCGAUUUGAUAGCAGGUGAGCCGAAGGAAGAUGUAGCCUCUGGAUAUUUGUGAUCUGCUUUCACUUUUAACAGGAUACUACAAUCGGUUGUGCGCUUUGCCGUGCCGCUAGGGUUGUAUCGAUUAUCUGAUUUGUUAAUUCUAUGUUUUCUAUAUGUGUUAAGCAAAUCACUCGAUAUAAGAAGUAGUCGUGUCCACACACGUGAGCCAAAAAAUAUAGGCAGCGAUCGGAGACCAUCGGACAACAAUAAUGCUACGAUAGAGAUGUCACACAUGUGAUUCACUCGAAGACUAUCCAUGAACACUAGUACAACACACAUGUCGAACCUGAAUAGCCAAGGCGACAUGGUGUACGCGCAACAUCGCCCCGAUGGUUGACAACAGCGGCUCAUCAACGAGAUGGUGCAAAAAUGGUUCAUGAGCAUGGCGAUGAUGAUGAUAGAGAUGUAGCGGGGCCGCAAGCUACAUGGAGCAAUACUGGCAUCAACGCGGAGACACUAGUAGAAAAAGGGUCUUUAGUCUCGGUUCUGGAACCGGGACUAAAGGAUCGGUACUAAAGCCUUUAGUCUCGGUUCUUAUACGAACCGGGACUAAAGGCCCUCCACGUGGCCGCUGCCUGGAGGUCCACCUUUAGUCCCGGUUGGUAACACCAACCGGUACUAAAGGAAAUUUUAUGAUUUUUUUUUAUUUUUUUUAUUUUUUUUGAAUUUCAAAUUUCUGAAUUAUUUUAACUUCUAAUCUCUAAUCACCCCUCAUCACUGCUCAAUUUAACCUUUAAUCUCUAAUCACCCCUCAUCAUUCCAAAUCAUCUAACUUCCCGAACAGUCACCCAUCCUCUCACUACUCCAGCCUAAGCACGCUUAACUUCCGGGUUCUAUUCUUCCUCGUUUCCAAGUCUGCACUUAUUGUUUUCCUGACAAUAGUAAGAUGUCAACCCUAUUAACCCUCAGGAUUUAGCUUGAGCAUGAAGUCACACAUUUCACUGUUUGAGUUUGAAACUAUUGUUUUAAAAAACAAUAAUUAUUUAGCAACACUAAUAUUUCUUGAAUAAGUAGUUUGACCAUAGUUUGACCCUAGUUUGACCACAGUUUGACCAUAGUUUGACCAAAAUUCAAAAAAAUUGAAAUAAUUAUUUAGUAACACUAAUAUUUCUUGAAUAAGUAGUUUGACCAUUGUUUGACCAUAGUUUGACCAUAUUUGACCAAAAUUCAAAAAAACUGAAAUAAUUAUUUAGUAACACUAAUAUUCUUGAAUAAUUAUUUAGUAACACUAAUACUUCUUGAAUAAGUAGUUUGACCAGAUUUAAUAAAAAUUAAAAAAAACUAAAAUUUGAGCAUAACUUUUUUUCCUUUUAGAAUUUGAGGAUUCUAAAAAUUUGCAAACAGGCUGUAGGCUGUCAAAAUCGGAAUCGGAUUUUCGUUCUGAACAUUUUGAUAUAUUAUACGUUUUUUUGCGACAUUGUAUGCAAAAGUUAUAGCCGUUUUACAUUUUCCAUAUAUUUUUUUGCAAAACAUGUCCAAAUUUAAGUUUUUAAAUUUUCCUAACUAGUAGAUGUAGUAAUAUAACUACCUCUCGAAGGAUUUUAUUUUUUGAAGUUUUUAUCAUUUUCGAAACAAAAAAGGAGAUCCACGAGGGGGGGGGGGGUAGAGUUUGAAAAUGGGACCUUUAGUCCCGGUUUGAGACACAAACCGGGACUAAAGGGCAUUGCACCCUUUAGUCUCGGUUUGUGUCUCAAACCACUAAAGGUCUAAAUCUUUAGUCCCGGUUUGAGACACGAACCGAGACUGAAGGGCAUCGCACCCUUUAGUCUCGGUUUGUGCCUCAAACCGGGACUAAAGGGCUCAGCUGAACCGGGACUAAUGCCUUAGCCGCACGAACCGGGACCAAUGCUCACAUUAGUCCCGGUUUGUGACUGAACCGGGACUAAUGGGCUGACCCGGCCUAGACCUUUGCCCCCUUUUCUACUAGUGAGAAGUGGUUUGGGAAGGAGCGGUGGGCACAUAGAGAGGCUACGACGAUGGCAUGGCCGCAAGCUACAUGGAGCAAUACGGUGUGGCAUCAACGCGAAGUAGUUUGGCAAUGAGCGGUAGGCACGUAGAGAGGCUACGACGAUGGCAUGGCCGCAAGCUACGUGGAGCAAUACAGUGUGGCAUCAAUGCGAAGUAGUUUGGCAAUGAGCGGUAGGCACAUAGAGAGGCUACGACGAUGGCAUGGCUGCGUACAACACCAUCGUCACCCAUAGAUGCAUACGUACAUUAUAUCACAAUGUUUUGCGAUACAUAAUGAUUCUUCACUUGAACUCUUCUCUUGUAAUCAUCUUCUCGGGAUCUUGAUCCUUCAUGACUUAACUCACAAGCUAGAGCAAAACAACCUUUGAGUCACACACAAGGACUCCAUCUUCUUUUAUUUUCCUCUCCUUUCAACCUUGAAUCCAACAUAUGGUCUUCAAGCAUUGCCUAUGGAUAAACCUUAAAGUAUAAUUCAAUACAAACACUAGUCCAUAAGGAUUGUCCUUACUUACCAAAAAAACACACAUGGGGGCACUGUUGGAAAUAUGCCCUAGAGGCAAUAAUAAAUUGAUUAUUAUUAUAUUUCCUUGUUCAUGAUAAUCGUUUAUUAUCCAUGCUGUAAUUGUAUUGAUAGGAAACUCAGAUACAUGUGUGGAUACAUAGACAACACCAUGUCCCUAGUAAGCCUCUAGUUGACUAGCUCGUUGAUCAAUAGAUGGUUAAGGUUUCCUGACCAUGGACAUUGGAUGUCAUUGAUAACGGGAUCACAUCAUUAGGAGAAUGAUGUGAUGGACAAGACCCAAUCCUAAGCAUAGCACUAGAUCGUGUAGUUCGUAUGCUAAAGCUUUUCUAAUGUCAAGUAUCAUUUCCUUAGACCAUGAGAUUGUGCAACUCCCGGAUACCGUAGGAGUGCUUUGGGUGUACCAAACGUCACAACAUAACUGGGUGACUAUAAAGGUGCACUACGGGUAUCUCCGAAAGUGUCUGUUGGGUUGGCACGAAUCGAGACUGGGAUUUGUCACUCCGUGUAAACGGAGAGGUAUCUCUGGGCCCACUCGGUAGGACAUCAUCAUAAUGUGCACAAUGUGAUCAAGGAGUUGAUCACGGGAUGAUGUGUUACGGAACGAGUAAAGAGACUUGCCGGUAACGAGAUUGAACAAGGUAUCGGGAUACCGACGAUCGAAUCUCGGGCAAGUGUCGUACCGAUAGACAAAGGGAAUUGUAUACGGGAUUGAUUAAGUCCUUGACAUCGUGGUUCAUCCGAUGAGAUCAUCGUGGAACAUGUGGGAGCCAACAUGGGUAUCCAGAUCCCGUUGUUGGUUAUUGACCGGAGAGUCAUCUCGGUCAUGUCUGCAUGUCUCCCGAACCCGUAGGGUCUACACACUUAAGGUUCGGUGACGCUAGGGUUAUUGAGAUAUUAGUAUGCGGUAACCCGAAAGUUGUUCGGAGUCCCGGAUGAGAUCCCGGACGUCACGAGGAGUUCCGUAAUGGUCCGGAGGUAAAUAAUUAUAUAUAGGAAGUGCUAUUUCGGCCAUCGGGACAAGUUUCGGGGUCACCGGUAUUGUACCGGGACCACCGGAAGGGUCCCGGGGGUCCACCGGGUGGGGCCACCUGCCCCAGGGGGCCACAUGGGCUGUAGGGGGUGCGCCUUGGCCUAUAUGGGCCAAGGGCACCAGCCCCAAGAGGCCCAUGCGCCAAGAGAAGAGGAAAAGGAAGAGUCCUAAAGGGGGAAGGCACCUCCAAGGUGCCUUGGGGAGGAGGGACUCCUCCCUGGCCGCACCCUUCCUUGGAGGAAGGGCCAAGGCUGCUCCCCCCUCUCCCUUGGCCCUAUAUAUAGUGGGGGAAAGGGAGGGCAACCUAACCUAAGCCCUGGCGCCUCCCUCUCCCUCCCAUGACACAUCUCCCUCCUCCCGCAGCGCUUGGCGAAGCCCUGUUGGAAUCCCGCUACUUUCACCAUCACGCCCUCGUGCUGCUGGAUCUCCAUCAACCUCUCCUUCCCCCUUGCUGGAUCAAGAAGGAGGAGACGUCACUGCUCCGUACGUGUGUUGAACGCGGAGGUGCCGUCCGUUCGGCGCUAGGAUCAUCGGUGAUUUGGAUCACGACGAGUACGACUCCAUCAACCCCGUUCUCUUGAACGCUUCCGCGCGCGAUCUAUAAGGGUAUGUAGAUCCACUCCUCCCUCGUUGCUAGAUGACUCCAUGGACAGAUCUUGGUGAUACAUAGGAAAAAUUUGAAUUUAUGCUACGUUCCCCAACAGGCACCAUGCAGUUUCAUGUUGAAACCUGCUGUCUUCGGAUUGGAGGAAGAAGUGAGACAGAAUGAUUGAGAACCAAAUUUGUGGUGGAGGCUCAAGGAGAAGAAUGUGAGCCCGAGGAACUUCAUGAUUACCAACACCUCUUCAAUGGUGAUUAGGUUUCUUAUCAGGAAGUAAACAUCGAGAUAAAUCUUCAUCUCCUCAUAUCUCGAUUAUCCAACUUAUCUACCCAUUAGGUGGCAUUACAUCAAGUGUUGCUGUGGGAUGAAAAAAUUCACAAAAAAACCGUAGCGCGCUGGUGGGGAAUUGACCUGGUAACGAGCCGUUGGUGAAUGUGUGUUCCUAGCCACUGGAGCUGACUAGCAUUAUUGAUUGUAAGGCAGCACAUAUCUUAUCGAACCAACCGGAGCCACAUGAUCAAACUGCGCCAUUAUAGAAAACCGAAAUCAAUCACUGUAGCGAAUUAGACCAUGCCAAUGUAGCGAACCGGAAUGAGUUACUGCAGCGGUGUAACACCCCAGAUAUGUUUUCCCAAUAUGUAAUCCAACUCUUGCCGUUUCCGGCGUUAAGUUAUUUUAUUUUCUCGGGUUCGGGUUUUUGUCUCCGUGUGUUGUUGUCGUUGUCAUGCAUCUCAUAUCAUGUCAUCAUGUGCAUUGUAUUUGCAUACGUGUUCAUCUCAUGCAUUCGAGCAUUUUCCCCGUUGUCCGUUUUGCAUUCCGGCGCUCCAUUCUCCUCCGGUGGUCAUUUCUACCUUUCUUUCAUGUGUGGGGAUUAAACAUUUCCGGAUUGGACCGAGACUUGCCAAGCGGCCUUGGUUUACUACCGGUAGACCGCCUGUCAAGUUUCGUACCAUUUGGACUUCGUUUGAUGCUCCAACGGUUAACCGAGGGACUGGAAAGGCCUCAUGUGUGUUGCAGCCCAACACCCCUCCAAGUUGGCCCAAAACCCACCAAAACCCUCUUCAUCAUCUAGAGCGUUCGAUCACGAUCGCGUGGCCAAAAACCGCACCUCAUUUGGACUCUCCUAGCUCCUCCUAUGCCUAUUUAAAGCCCCCUCCGAAAUCCUCCCCCCCCCGAAAACCCUAGAUCCGUCUCCAACCGCCGCCCGCCGGACAUUUUCCCGCCGACGGACGUGUCCGCCCGACGUGUCCGCCGCCACGUGGAGUCACCAGAUUCGCUCCACCAGGCGCCCACAUCGCCGCGCCGCCGAAGCCCGCGGUGGCCCGUGGCCGGCCCGCCCGNNNNNNNNNNNNNNNNNNNNNNNNNNNNNNNNNNNNNNNNNNNNNNNNNNNNNNNNNNNNNNNNNNNNNNNNNNNNNNNNNNNNNNNNNNNNNNNNNNNNNNNNNNNNNNNNNNNNNNNNNNNNNNNNNNNNNNNNNNNNNNNNNNNNNNNNNNNNNNNNNNNNNNNNNNNNNNNNNNNNNNNNNNNNNNNNNNNNNNNNNNNNNNNNNNNNNNNNNNNNNNNNNNNNNNNNNNNNNNNNNNNNNNNNNNNNNNNNNNNNNNNNNNNNNNNNNNNNNNNNNNNNNNNNNNNNNNNNNNNCGCCGACAUCGCCGCCCCGUUCCGGUCGCCGCCCGCGCCGGCGAGGGCCGCCCCGCUCCGGCCACUCCGUCCCGGUCUCCUUCCUCUACUCCGGCGAUCUUCCUCCCUCUGGUGAACAGUGAUCUUGGCGAUCCUCGUAAAGUGUGCCGGCCGGAUCUAGAUCUGGGAUUUAUCUCGGGUUGACUUUUCUGCCCGAAACCCUAAUUAUUUGCUCAUGUUCAUCAUGUCGUAACUCCUCAUCCAUAGCUCCGUUUUGGGCAUAUAGCAUAUCAAAAUGUUCGUCUCAGAGAGCACAUCAUUUCGUCUCAUUGCAUCAUUUUCAUUUGAGUUCAUAUUGAUGCCAGAAAUACUGUUAGAAGAAUGCUAUUUGAGAUAAUUGUCAGAUCUGCUGCUCCAUUUAGAUAUUUGUCAUUUUUGCCAUGAUUAAUAUGUGCAUGAUAUGCCCCUGAACUCUUCAUGAGUUUUGUUAUAUAUUUUUCCAUAUAUUCAGAGGUGCAACCCAUGUAUUUUUGUGAUGUGUGUGGUGACUAGCACAAGCUUGCAAAGUGGAGCCUUCGUUAAUGCUUAUUUCAGGGACUUAGCUUUCCACUAAGUUCUUGGACUGUUUAUUUCAAUAUGCCAUAUGUUCAUGGUGUUUCCUAGUGAUCCGUGCCUCUUUUGAGGAUGAUCAGUAAGGAUGUUUUGUUAACCUUGUAGUGCUCUAUCCAUCCAUGUCUUUUUUGCAAUUAUGGAGCACCCUAGCUUGAGUAAAUCGAGCUCUACUUUUGUCAUUUCGUGAAUCUGGGCAGAUUGUCUACUUGUUAGCGAUUUUGCCGAGGAUGUUGUAGUUGAUCCGUGCAUGCUAUGUUAUUGUUCUUGCCAUGUCUAGCUUGUAUUUUGUGUAUUCUUGAUGGGUGUAUGCUUAGCUUGUCAUGACUUGCUCUGUAGUGAGUGCAUCGAGCUCGUAAACAUGCCUACUUGAUAUUUGUUUCAGCAUGCUCCAGUUUUCACUAAGUCUGUGAUCUGAUUAUGUUUUUGCCAUGUUCACAUGCUUGCAAUUGUAUUUUAUGAUCCCUUUUGGAUCAAGGUCACUAAGGAAUUUUUGUUAAGCUCUUUAAGUAGCUCCAUGACAUGCUUUACUUUGCCAUGUUCAGGUCCUGUAGCAUAUUGUUUUCAUGCUCCAAAGAGUGCUAUCUGAUCUGAAAUUCCAGACAAGUGUUAAUUUCACUAAGUCUGAGAUCUGUUUACCAAACGCAUUUUUGCCAUGCUUGUUUGAACCUAUUAAUGGAUGAGUUGGCCGUAGCUCAGUGCUAGUCUUUUGUUAAGCAUCAUGAAUGGAUCCCUGCCAUGUAUUUGGAUGCCAUGUUUGGGUGUUGUAGCAUAUUCAUCUUAUUGCAUUUAGAUGGCUACUUGCUGUAAAUCGCAGAACGUGGUCAUAUUUGAAUUGCUUGCCAUUUCCAAACCGUAACUCCGAUUCCGGCGAUCUUUAUAUCGUUUUCAAGCGAUUUCAUCUCAUCUUUCCAGUGGCACACUUGGAUUUCCAAGAAGAUGCCAGGUUCAUGCAUUCCUUGUCAAAUCUUGCAUAUGCAUCACAUAUUGCAUCCCACAUAUCAUACCCUCUUUGCAUCAUGUUGUUUGAGCCUUGCACGUGGUUGAUUGUGUCCUUGUUGCUUGUUUGUCUUGUUUGGGUAGAGACGGGAGACGAGUUCGCUAACGAGGAUCCCGUUGAGUUUGCUUUCGAGGAUCCAGUCAACUCUGACAACUUUGCAGGCAAGAUGAUCAUACCCUCGAAAUCACUACUAUCUUUGCUAUGCUAGAUGCUCGCUCUUUUGCUAUGCCUAUGCUACGAUACCUACCACUUGCUUAUCAUGCCUCCCCAAAUUGCCAUGUCAAACCUCUAACCCACCAUGUCCUAGCAAACCCUUGAUUGGCUAUGUUACCGCUUUUGCUCAGCCCCUCUUAUAGCGUUGCUAGUUGCAGGUGAAGAUUGGAGACCGUUCCUUGUUGGAACAUUAUUUACUUGUUGGGAUAUCAUUAUAUUUCCAUGUUAUCUUAAUGCAUCUAUACACUUGGUAAAGGAUGGAAGGCUCGGCCUCUCGCCUAGUGUUUUGUUCCACUCUUGCCGCCCUAGUUUCCCUCAUAUCGGUGUUAUGUUCCCGGAUUUUGCGUUCCUUACGCGGUUGGGUUAUAAUGGGAACCCCUUGAUAGUUCACCUUGAUUAAAGCCUUUUCAGCAAUGCCCAACCUUGGUUUUACCAUUUGCCACCUAGCCUCUUUUUCCCUUGGGUUUCCGGAGCCCGAGGGUCAUCUUAUUUAACCCCCUGGACUAGUGCUCCUCUGAGUGUUGGUCCACCUUGUCAGCCGCCGGUGGCCACCAGGGGCAACUCUGGGCUGGCCUACCGGAAGUUUGGACAAUCUGAGUGUGCCUUGAGAACGAGAUAUGUGCAGCUCCUAUCGGGAUUUGUCGGCACAUUCGGGCGGUGUUGCUGGAUUUGUUUUAACUUGUCGAAGUGUCUUGAAGAACCGGGAUACCGAGUCUGAUCGGAAUGUCUCGGGAGGAGGUCUAUUCCUUCGUUGACCGUGAGAGCUUGUCAUGGGCUAAGUUUGGACUCCCCUGCAGGGAUUUGAACUUUUGAAAGCCGUGCCCGCGGUUAUGGGCAGAUGGGAAUUUGUUAAUGUCCGGUUGUAGAUAACUUGAACCUUAAUUUAAUUAAAAUGAAUCAACUGAGUGUGUUACCGUGAUGGUCUCUUCUCGGCGGAGUCCGGGAAGUGAACACGGUGUUGGAGUAAUGCUUGCGCAGAUUGUUCUCUAGUUAUCCGUUCGCGCUUUGCCUCCUCUUCUCGCUCUCUUUUGCGAAUAGGUUAGCCACCAUAUAUGCUAGUCGCUUGCUGCAGCUCCACAUAUUUUCCUUGCCUUACCCAUUAGCUUAAAUAGUCUUGAUCGCGAGGGUGCGAGAUUGUUGAGUCCCUGUGGCUCACAGAUUACUUCCAAACCAGAUGCAGGACCUGAUGAUUCCGCUCCAGAUGACGCGCUUGAGCUCAAGUGGGAGUUCGACAAGGACUCACGCCGAUACUACGUGUCUUUCCCUGAUGAUCAGUAGUGGUGCCUAGUUGGGGUGAUCGGGACCGUGUCGCAUGUUGGGUUGUUCUUUUAUUUGGGCGCCGUAGUCGGGCCAUGAGUGUUUGAAUGUUGUAAUGCUAUUUAUGUACCUUGAUUGACGUGGCGAGUGUAAGCCAACUAUGUAUCUCCCCUUUAUUAUCUAUAUUACAUGGGAUGUUGUGAAGAUUGCCUAACUUGCGACAUUGCCUUCAAUGCGAUUAUGCCUCUAAGUCGUGUCUCGACACGUGGGAGCUAUAGUCGCAUCGAGGGUGUUACAAGCCGUCAGUUUUAAAACAUAUUGAGAAACAUUUUUUAAAAGUGUAUAUUUUGAAAAAGUGCCAACAUUUUUUAAAUUGUGAAGAAAUGUUAAGAAACAAGAAACAUUUUUUGAAAAAUCGAAAUAACUUUUUUAAGCAUGGACAUUCUUUGAAUGUGUGAUUUUUUUUUUAAAAAUGCGCAAGCGAAUUUGUUGAAGUUGUGAACAUUUAUGAAAUUCCGAACAAUUUUUGAAGCCGUGAACAUUUUUUUGAGUAUGUGAAACAAAAAUUGAAAAUGUUAUGAAAUUAUGAACAGAAAAUUCGACUGCGAACCUUUUUUAAAUUCCUGGACAUUUUAUACACUUUUUACAUUGUUUUCUUACUUUUAGAUUUAUUUUUCUGAGUUAUUCAUAUCAUGUAGUAUAAACAAAAAAUGUCUAGAAGGCCGAAAAUAGCGCCCGUCGUCCCGCAGCACAAGGUUCCUGGCUGGGCCAUGUGAGCGAGGCGCUGCUCCAGCAGCUCUCGCGAGACUAGUAGGUAGCUAGGGUUUACACUCUCCUCUCCUCUCCUCCGAAUCAAAGAAGCGGCGGCUGUCUCACACUUCGGGAUGCGCUUCAUUGCGCACACCCCAUGCUUGAGUAAUCUCACACUUCGGUUGUGUCAUAAGGUGACUGAUGUUGGAUUGGCUGAACUGAGGCGUGCACAUAAGAUAGAGUCUUUGGUCAUUGAGUGUUGUUGUGAGGUCUCUCUGCAAGCUGCGCAGGGUGUCGCCAAGUCAGUUCACUACUCCAGCAACUAUUCAGUUGCCCUUAGGAAGAGAGCUGGUCUUGGCGGCUAUUGAUGAAGUGGUCUCCAAAAAUUUCACUACAAAUUUGCUGCUGAAGACAUUAAGUUGUUCAGUGUGCAUCAUUGGACAAGGUUUGUGCAUCAUCCGACCUAGAUUCAUUUGUGUGUACUUUCAAUUGCCUUCUACCUUUACUGUAUAAUUUUUCUGUAUGACAGUCUAAUAACGACCUGUGGUCGCGUGGCAAUUUUGGUAUGGAUCGUUGUAGUAAUAAUAUCAUGUCCAAUUUUCCAUGGACAUGUACAAAGGCGGCAUGCUUGUUUUGUUGGUAUCAAAUCAACCGGAGUAUGUCUUUGAUUGCUUCACAGAAGAAUAGUGCUAGUUGCUACUCCUUGUGUAAACUAAUGUAAGACGUUUUUGAAGUUUAAACUGAACUGUAGAAAUGUCUUGUUUUGGAUGUUUAGAUUCUAUAAUGAUCUGAAGUUAAGGAACAACUGAAACUUGAGCGACUACUGAAGGCAUAUAACAAAGCCGUCACAUCAUGUCUUUGCUCUGGACAUGCAGCACUAAAAACAUUUUGUUCUUACCUUUUUUAGGGUGGCAAGUUUCAGUUUUAUUUUUUGGGUUUGUUUUUUCUUUUCAGAUAUCAGCUUUAGUUGUAAAAAACCAGAGUUCUUCGUGCGGCAUGUGUGGCACUUAUCAUUUGCACACGUAUAACUCAUUACAAACAUUACUCCGUAGGGAUUGUCUUUACUUACCAAAAAACACACACACGCGGGGGCACCAUGCAGUUUCAUUGUGAAAGUUGCCAUUGUCGGAGUGGAGGAAGAAGCUAGACUGUUUAACAAUUGGGAACCAACUAUGUGGUGAAGGCUCAAGGAGAAGGAUGUGAGCCUUCAGUGGUGUUUCGAGGAACUUCGUUGAUAUCUGCACCUCUCCAACGGUGAUUAGGUUCCUUAUGAGGAAGUGACCAUCGAGAUAAACCUUCACCUCCACAUGUCUCAAUCAUCCCUAUGCCCAAAUUAUUUACCCAUUGGGCACCAUCAUAUCAAGGGAUACCGUGGGGCGAAAAAAAAUCGACCUGGUACCGAGCCACCGGUGAAUGUGGGUUCCUAGCCACCAGGCCUGACUAGCGUUGUUGAUUGUAAGGCAACGCAUACCUUAUUGAACCAACAGAAACCACAAAACGGACCCGCGCCACUAUAGCGAACCGGAAGCAGUCACUGUAGCGAAUCAGACCAUGCCAAUGUACGUAGCGAACGGGAACCAGUUACUGUAGAGGAUAUUUCUGAAACAAAUUGAGGGACAUUUUCUAAAAAAGCGUAUAUUUUGGAAAAGUGCAAAGUUUUUUGAAUUUUUUAAAAAAUGUUCAAGUACAGGAAACAUUUUUUGAAAACUCAAAAUAAAAUUUUAAAGCACGGACAUUCUUUCAAUGUGUGAAAAAUCUUUUAAAAAGAAGAGCAAAUAAAUUUGCUGGAGUCGUGAGCAUUUAUGAAAUCCCUAACAAUUUUUGAAACCGUGAACUUUUUUUGAAUUCGUGAAACAAAAAUUGAAAAAUGUUAUGAAAUCGCAAACAAAAAACUUCAACCGUGAACUUUUUUAAAAUUCCUGGACAUUUUAUACAUUUGUCUAUAUUGUUUUCUUACUUUUAUAUUUUCUUUCUGUGUUUUUCAUAUAUAUAAACAAAAAAAGGUGUAGAAGGCCGAAAAUAGCGCCCGUUGGCCCGCAGAGAUUCCAGAGACGGCGCUGCAGCCCACAUCUUCCUCCGCUCCGCUGGAAAUUACAGAGACCAACUAGAAAUGCGAGACUAGCUCCAGGGUUUACUGAUGCUCAAAAAAAAAAAAGCUCCAGGGUUUACUGCACCCUCAUCUCCUCUCCGGCGAGGUCGAGCGGCGGCGGCUCCGGUCUAUUCUCUAUCUCCUCCGACCGAAUCUACGGUCGUUCUCAAGGAAGGUACCGCCGUUUCUUGCUUCUACUCUCCUCUCCUGAGAGACUCCUCCCUCCUUGCGUUGGUUCCCCUUUCCUGAUUCGAUUUCUUGGUCUUGAUUGAUUUGAUAGGGGAACCAAACCGGUAGUAUCAUCCUCAUCCAUAAACUUAGUUGAUUAGUACUAGAAAGAAAGUAAAUACUACUCUAGUAUUCUCUAGUUGAACAGAUAGAUUGGCCCUGUGAACUCAGCUCAUCGUCUGUGGGAAAAUGGUUGAUAUCCCUACUUUCUUUCUUGCCCAACCGAGAGCUGCAAGUAGUAAUUUGCAUAUAUGCUCUGGUUUUCAUGUUCAGAUUCAGCAAUUACUAGUAAAUCUGCUUGCAGAAUUGUUUGCGUCAAUUGUUACGUAAUCAUGGCGGUACCUAGUUUUAUUUAAUGAUGUCACCUGGAGCGUCAUUUUUCUGAUAUUAUAUAAUAGAAGUGCUCAAAGUUCAUCAGUAGCUAGUUUAAUCUAAUGAUUUGGCCUGCCUGCAGCGUUAUUUUUUCCUUUCUAACAAUAUAGACACAGAUAAGGUGCUAGCUACUUGAUAAAUCUCCAUGCUUGUGAAGAACACACAAGUUUUGGACGGAUACAGAAAAUGCUCAAACUUUGUCAGUAACAUAUUCUUCGUAAUGAUUGUCUACCGUCAGUGAUAUAUUCUGAUGUAUCGUAAUGAAUGGUACAGCUGAAUUGUUCGAUGGAAGACCUACCGGAGGCUCUGCUGACUGAGAUUCUCAACAGGAUCACCACGACAAGUGAUCUCAAUUCUCUUUCCCUUGUGUCAAAGCAGCUCUACAAGAUAGAGGGGAAUCAAAGGGAUGCUAUCCGUGUUGGUUCCGGUCUUUGCAUUGCUACAAAAGAACUGACAUCAUUGUGCGCCCGCUUCCCAAAUCUGCGAAAAUUGGAAAUCGAUUACUCUGGUUGGAUACCUGGACAUGGAAAGCAGUUGGACAACAAAGGCCUUUUUGUGUUUUCAUCUCACUGUUCCUCGCUGAUUGAUCUCACAUUAAGCUUCUGCUCACAUAUCGAUGACUCUGGGCUUGCUUGUUUAGCUUAUUGUAAGACAUUGCUGUCUCUCACGCUCAACUCCACACCAAAAGUAACAUCAGUUGGGCUUUUCUCGGUUGCAGUUGGUUGCACAAGUCUAUCUGCUCUCCACCUUAUUGGUUGCGAGAAAAUUGACAGUGUAGAGUGGCUGGAAUACCUUGGUAGGGAUGGAUCGUUGGAAGAGCUUGUAGUGAAGAAUUGCCAAGGAAUCAAUCAUCAUGACUUCCUAAAGUUUGGUUCUGGAUGGAUGAAGCUCCAGAAGUUUGAGUUUGAGAGGAAAAGAGGAAAAUAUGAUCUUCUUGAUCCAGGUAAUGUGGUCUAUGACUCCUCGUACAAUGCUCACAGCAUGGAUGUAUACGAUUUCUGCUGUGAGAGUUUGAAGGAUUUAAGGUUGGCGCAUAUUGAAACUUGGCCAGAAGCAGGACUUCGAGUUCUCCUAGGGAAGUGUAAAGCAUUGGAGAAGCUUUGCCUUGAGUAUGUUCGUGCCCUAAAUGAUAAUGACAUUAUUGCAUUAUCUCGGAGCUGCAGCAACCUUAAAAGAAUAUCACUUUGGCUCAACCUGCAGCGCUACUCUAGUGAUAUCAACUAUUGUGAGACCAGGACGUCGCUUACUGAUAACAGCCUUUACGCUCUAGCCCUCAACUGUUGUAUGCUUCAGAUGAUAGACCUCAGCUUUACAGGAUGUGAUGCCGACUGGCCAUCAGAAAUAGGAUUCACACAAGAGGGUUUUCUGGUGCUCAUUCAGUCCUGCCCAAUUCGUGUUCUUGUGCUCAACAACGCCAACUUCUUUGAUGACGAGGGGAUGAAGGCCCUCUCAUCCUCGCCUCAUCUGGAGACACUCGAGCUUAUAUUGUGUCAUGCGGUAACUGAUGCCGGGAUGCGCUUCAUUGCGCACACCCCAUGCUUGAGUAAUCUCACACUUCGGAUGUGUCAUAACGUUACUGAUGUUGGAGUGGCUGAACUGGAAGGUGCACAGAAGUUAGAGUCUUUGGUCAUCGAGUGUUGUGGUGAGGUCUCUCUGCAAGCUGCGCAGCGUGUUGCCAAGUCAGUUCAGUACUCCAGCGAGUGUUCAAAUGCCCUUAUGAAGAAAAUUGGUCUUGGCGGCUAUUGAUGAAUUGGUCUCCAAAAAAUUUAGUAUGAAUUUGCUGCUGAAGCCAUUAAGUUGUUCAGUGUGCAUCAUUGGACAAGGCUGUGCAUCAUCCGACCUAGAUUCACUUGUCUGGACUUUCCAUUGCCUUCUACCUUUACUGUAUGAUUUUUCUGUAUGACACUCUAAUGAUGAUCUUUGGACGGCAUCUGGUGGAUGAAACUUUAAUAGUAGGCACCACUUGUGUAUUACUAUCAACCGUACAUAAUUCUGGUUACUUUAUUUCUACUGUCUGUAGCCGUUUCGAAACUGUACAUAAUUCUGGUUACUUUAUUUCUACUGUCUGUAGCCGUUUCGAAACCGGCAUAAGUAGGCCCCAAGAUUCCCUGUUUUUGCUGUGGAGGCACUAUAUGACGGGUUGGUGUUAUUUAUCUUAUUUAAGCAAAUGUUCUGGACCCCUUGUUUUAUUGUGCAAGUGAUUUUGAAGACAUAUAUAUCUGCCUGCUAUGUUCGUGUGGCACUAUGUGAUUCAUUGUAGUAAUAAUAUUAUGUCCAAGUUUCACUGGACAUGUACAAAGGCGACGCGCUUGUUUUGUUGACAUCGACUCAAUUGGAAGAUGCCUUUGAUUGCUUCUCAAAAGAAUGGUGCUAGUUACUAGUAGCAUAAUUGUGGAUGUUUAGAUUCCAAAAUGACCUGAAGUUGUGGAACAACUGAAACUACUGAAGGCCUACAACAUAACUGUGUGCUAAUUACAGGUAGGUAGUCACAUCAUGUCUUUGCUCUGGGCGUCCAGCACUCAACAACAUUUUCUUCUUACCUUUUUGAGGGUGUCUACCUAUCAAUAGUAUAUACGGCGGGUGUAUGAAAAUAGCAGAAAUUAAGAGACCAUUUGAGGGAUGAGAUAUCGAGAUUCUUGUGUUUGCUUGGUUCAUCAGUCUAGUACAAAGAUCCUGAAAUUGCAAAUCUUUUGUUUUAGUAACAAGACAGCUCGUUACAUCAUCAGUUCAGCUCGUAGGAACAACAUUUGCCUUGUAUUUGUAGCUCCUCAAGAUGCCAACUUUGCUGGAUACUUUAUUAGCUCAUGUACUUUGUACUUUGUGUUGUACUACUUGAUAAGUACUUGAGCUAAAAUGAAAUAUGCGCCCUUUCCCUUGUUAAAAAAGGGAGAAUAGUUUAUUUAUUUUUUACAUUAUUAGCUCAUGCACGCCCUGAUCGUGGAAUAUUUACUAGUACAAAACAAACACUAGCAAAGAGAGGUUGAAAGAGAGGAAGCAAGAAGUUAAUGAGCCACAGGAAGCGACACACAAAGCGCUUUAUGCAGCUAAACACACAAAUUUCAUCGUGGCUAGCUUAACUGAAUUAAAGAACAAUUACAUUGUUCACUAGCUGGCCAAGUAAAAACCCCGGAGGUUCAUUAGUCCAACUAUCGUCACUCUUAUUACAAAAACUGAAUUUUGCUAGCUCACGAGCUACAGAGUUUGCAUCACUGUCUAGGAAAAAUUUCACAGGAGAAAAUUAAUCUGUCAUUUUUCCACGGGAUAAAAUAGAGGAUAGAUGGCGACACUGAAGAAGAAAAAUUUGGCGUGUCGGAUGUUAAACGGCAACCGACACAUACGCAGGCUGGUAGACGUACAGAAAGCGCCGGUAACCCACUUGAGUUUGUAUUUUCUUUAGUUUGUGUGGUCAAGAUGCUGCUUGGCUGCACAGGCUUUGAGUUCCAGAAGUUGCAGCCAUAGCCUCAUAUUCCCUCGGACACACGACUUCCAACAAGACUUAUGGUCCAGGAUUUGUAUUAAACAGAAUUCAACGCUAAAACCUUUAUUUCUACAACAGCUGGUGGAUAGAAUUCAAGCACGGAAUUUCCCCGCAAUUUGUAGGUGCAUUGCAUUGCACCACCAGUCAUGAGUCCUUGAUCUAAAUGUUUGGUCUAUGUAUCAGCUGAAAAGCGAAAAGAGAAACAUUUUUUAGGAUAGCUUAAGACAUAUAUACUGAAGCAGUUUUACAUGAUCAAAUAAACAAGGAAAUACUACCCAAAAAAUCACAGGGGAUACCAUCAAAGAAAAACUGUACUGCAAUGUUAACUCAAGUCCAUUCAGUGCAUGAGUUGUUGACGGAUGAGAACUGGGUAUUGCUUUCUACUCCCUCUGUAAAGAAAUAGUAUAAGAGCGUUUAGAUCAUUACUUUAGUGAUCUAAAUGCUGUGUGUCAUUUUUCCAUAGAAAUGAGGACAGAAAAUAGAGGAAGAGAUGGCGACACUGCAUAAGGAAAACAGGCGCCCAGCAGCUGCUGCUUAAGGGAUGUGCCAGCGUCCCAACAAAGAGCUCGGAACUUCCAGCAGGCAGAGAUGGCGAAAAAGGUUUGCAGUCCUAUGUGAUUUCUUUUACUAGUAAGAUCAAGCCAGGAUAAUGCACUGCUAUAAGUAGGAUUAAUAACUUGCACAGUUUUAGUUAUUCAUAAAUUACAAAGGGCGCACCUGUGCUGGGAAUGUUGUCGUACAUGGCAAUCAACACGUACAUGGCCAGACGUACAGAGAGCGACCGGUACUAGAAUUUUACCGAUUCAACCCAUUUGAGCCUGAAACUUCUCUUCAGUUUGUGUGGCCAAGAUGCUGCUGCUUGCUUCUACAGGCCUUGAAUUCUCUCCACAAGAUGCAGCCAAACACACGACUUCCUACACAAGACUUGCGGUCCUGGAUUUGCGCCAACCAAAAUUCAGCACAGAAACCUUUUAUCCUUACCAUCGACAGAAUUUCCAGCACGGAAUUUUUCCCACAGUGAUAUUUUGUUCUACUACUAUGUACGUAGCAUCUGAAAAGCGAAAAGGGGAACAUAAGUACUGCAGAGAAUAGCAUAAGACAAAACAUAAUUUCCACCAUACUUGCUUUCCCAUGAUGACUGAUGACUUGUUUCACCUAGGUUAGGUGCGUGCCAACAUCUCUCUUCGGGAAAUUAAGCAGAAAACAUAACAGUCUGAACAAUUGUCGAGUUCAGAGAACAGCUUCCUUUAUCCCUUCCUAAUAGAGAAGCACAUAAAAGAAGUGGAUACCAGUUCUGAGUUCAGAGUUCAGAAACCAUUUCCAACAUAAGACAAACAUGUAAAGAUGUCAUGUGGAAUCCAACCUCGAAAAUCCAUCGUAAUUCAGCUCAGCUAGUGAGGAACUGAGGAUGUACAGUCACCAUAUGGCGAGCAUUAUCACUCGCCUUCCUAAAUAAAUAUCCUUCUACCUUGCUCAGUGCCUUCUCAGAUUUUCGACGGAUGAUCGGAGGUUGACAAGUAGAUUUGCACCCUUUUGAUUACUCAUAAAUUACAAAUUAAGGGGCAUACCUAGGAGUAUUGACCGGUGGCCGCCGGAGUUGGAGCCGAUGCCCGAAACCCUAGACGAUGCCCGGUGACCUGCUGCUUCUUUUCCUGGGACCUCAUGUCCUCACAAGGCCAUGUCUCGGCGAGGAAGUGCAAGUGGUUGCGUGGCACAUCUGGCCAUCGCCAUUGGCGUCGCUCUGCUGGAUCUCCCUCUCCUUCUGGCACCGAAGAAGGAGGAGGAAGGAGGCGAAGGUCAGGGGGCUGCGGUGGGAGAGAAGGCCCCCGGAUUUGGAGGAGAUGCCGAGGUGCGAGGCCAGUGGUGGCGGUGGGUGAGGAAGGGCAUCGCGGGUGGGAGGGAGAAGGGGAAUUAAGAGAGUGUGGGUUCGGGUUUGGGCCUCCGCGCGCUAUGUGUACACAUGUGUUGGUGGGUUUAUAGCAGUGGCGCCGGGUUUAUACCCCACGCUACUACUAUGGCCUAUCCCGAGGGUACGGUAGAGACCACUUAGUAGUAGCGAGGGGUUUAUACCCCUCGCUACUACUAUCAACUUAGUAGUAAACCUCUCGCUACUACUAUCAACUUAGUGGUAGUGAGGGAUUUAUACCCCUCGAUACUACUAUGGCCAGUCCCAGGGGCACGGUGGAGACCACUUAGCAGCAGUGUGGGGUUUAUACCCCUCGCUACUACUAUCAACUUAGUAGUAGCGUGGGUUCUAUACCCCUCGCUACUAAUAAUUACCAGCAGUGUGGCCCAUAUACCCCUCGCUACUGCUAAGCAUCUAUCUAUAAGGUAUUUUCUAGUAGUGCAUGGAUGGCGGCGAAAUCAGUCUUUCUGCUUCUUUUCCCUACUAGCUCUGUGACGUCCAGAACAAGUUUACGGUCAUCAGGUGCAAUGCCCUUGCCUUCGUGAGCGACAUGAUGACAUGGGAACGGGCUUCCAAGCCUAUGGUGUCGCAUCGUGUCGCGGUCUGCUAGACUUAGUGGACGGAUGCUACUCCAAUAUCGGUUGAUCCCAUACUACGAUGCCAAGGAAGACACGCAACUAUUAUAUAUAUUUCUUCAAGUCGGUCAACACAAGUAAAAUCUGGGAGUUCAACCGGUGCAGCUAUGCAAUGCUAAUGGAGAAAACACAAUUCAACUUUAGCACUUCACACAUAAGCAACACCACGUUCAAUAGCACACACCUUAGAGUGUACCUAUGGUGGUUGAUUGGGCUAUAAGAAAUGUGAGUCCAUGUGAAGAUGCCAAACAUAAUAACAUGGCUAAUUACACAUGCAGUGGCAGCAGCAACAAGUGCGUGAAUUCCACAAAAUGAUCUAGGGUACACAUGCAACUAUGUCCUUGAGUAUGACAACAACCUUUAUCUUCUAGACAAAUGCAUGGUAUGCUACUAAUUUAUUUGCUACAAAUUCCAAUGAAUUGUGUCCUUUACUUUGUACAUACCCAGUUAUGAUAUUUGAUUUUGCUAAUACAAUGUAGCCUUCAAUUUAAACCAAGUUUUGCAUCCAUUAAUUAUGUUAGGUUCAUAUGACUUCACUACAUAAAAUAGGUAGAUAAUGCAUAAGACUAAGAUUGUAGCUAGGGAUGAAAAUCUAAAUACGACAUGAAUCUAACAAUUACGAGUAAUGUCUUUGUGACAAGAACUUUCUUUGUCUUUUAUUCCCAUGUUUGAACUAGUAUAGGUCGGGGUUACACAUUAUGGUGCACAUCACUUUAUUUAUCAUCGUUACAUUGAACGCUCAUUGACUAAACAACGAUGAUCCAUCCAUCUUGUAUUGUAGGUCUUCAUUUCAUUGGCCACCGAUGCUUGUAAGACUAGUCUCAUAUGGUUGUUGUUGUGGAUAUGGUUGUUGAGGUUGGUGUGGUUGCUGGGGUUGCUGGGAAAUUGUUUGUUCUGGUUGCUGGGAUAAUUGUUGUUGGGGCUGUAGAAAUGGUUGUUGUGGUUGUUGGGGUAAUGGUUGUUGUGGUUGCAGGAUGGAUGGUUGUUGGGGUUGCUGGGGUUGGGGCUGGGGAAAUGAUUGUUGUGAUUGUUGGGGUUGCUGGGGAAAUGGUUGUUGCGGUCCUAGGAGGAAUGAUUAUUGUGGUUGUUGGGGGAAUGGUUGUUGNNNNNNNNNNNNNNNNNNNNNNNNNNNNNNNNNNNNNNNNNNNNNNNNNNNNNNNNNNNNNNNNNNNNNNNNNNNNNNNNNNNNNNNNNNNNNNNNNNNNNNNNNNNNNNNNNNNNNNNNNNNNNNNNNNNNNNNNNNNNNNNNNNNNNNNNNNNNNNNNNNNNNNNNNNNNNNNNNNNNNNNNNNNNNNNNNNNNNNNNNNNNNNNNNNNNNNNNNNNNNNNNNNNNNNNNNNNNNNNNNNNNNNNNNNNNNNNNNNNNNNNNNNNNNNNNNNNNNNNNNNNNNNNNNNNNNNNNNNNNNNNNNNNNNNNNNNNNNNNNNNNNNNNNNNNNNNNNNNNNNNNNNNNNNNNNNNNNNNNNNNNNNNNNNNNNNNNNNNNNNNNNNNNNNNNNNNNNNNNNNNNNNNNNNNNNNNNNNNNNNNNNNNNNNNNNNNNNNNNNNNNNNNNNNNNNUGCAGGGGGAAUGGUUGUUGGGGAAUUAUUUGUUCUGGUUGCUGGGGGAAUGGUAGUUGGGGCCGGGGAAAUGGUUGUUGGGGUUGCUGGGGGAAUGGCUGUUGUGGUUGCAGAGGGAAUGAUUGUUGGGUCUGGGGAAAUGGUUGUUGUGAUUGCUGGGAAAAUUGUUGUUGGGGUGUGGGAAAUGGUUGUUGCGAUGGAUAUGGUUGCUGUGAUGGAUAUGGUUGUUGUGGAUAUGGCUGUUGUAGAAAUGGUUGUUGUUGAUAGGAAAAUGAUUGUUGAGGUGAUUGUAAUUCUUUGUUGCUAGGGUUUAGCUGCCUAGCGGCAGUGGCGAUGUUCAUCGCCAUGGCAAGGAGGACAAAGAUGAGGAAGGUCUUCAUGUUGGAUUUGUGGUUACUACUGCUUGCUUGCUUUUGAUGCUUGUGGUCUAGGUGUGUGAAGUUUGGAUGAUGAAAUGUGGUCUUGGUGGUGCAUGUGUAUUUAUAGUUUUCAUGGCAUGGCUUGCUUUCUUCUUCCCACUCGCUUUUUGAAAAAGUGCACCAAUGCUUAUCCAACUAAUCAUUUGAUUUGUUGUGUUUGGUGCAACUACUUACUAGCAAGAUUUUGGAUUUUCAUGAUAGUUGCUUUUUGUUGAAAUCAUCUGGUUGUAAGGAAUGUUGGAUAAUGACCAAUGACUCAUCUUCUUCACUUUACACUGCAAACAUUGAUCUAAAUUAUAUCCUUUUUUGAAAUUUAGUUUGUGAAGCUCUACAUGUUGUUAGGCUUAUCUAUAUUGGCAUAGCUUGAGUGGAAUUAAGUUUGUAAGCUUGUGAGCGUCAUUAUGAUGGAUCACACUAUUAAUGUGAUGAUUGUACUACAAAUUAUCUUUCCAAAACUAAUUUUAUGUUUUUUCCCAAUAUGAUUCUAAGACGGAUAACCAGACAUGACUCAUCAAAUAACAAGAUAAACCGAGUAGCAAAUUGGGGUUAUAAGUUAUAACAUGGACUUUUCUCUAAGAUACACUAUCUUGUCUUGCAUGCUCUGUGAAUUUGAAAAGCAUCUACUAAUUUAUAUGCAAUUGAAACAAAAGUAGACCAGAAAGAUAAGCAAUGAAAUGAGAAUACUAUUAUGUGAAGCUCUACAUGUUUGGCAAGCAAUAAGAUACUGGAUACAUCUAUAUCUUCAAUCCUGACAAUUUUUCUCAUCCCUAUCAACUCUUUAUUGGCUGCCUUUACUGUAGUCAUCCCUUAAAUAAAAAUCACUUAAAGAUAAGUUUGGGAGCUAGUACCAGCAUCUAUCAUGUACAAGAUAAAAAACUAAGGCACAUAUAGUAGUCUAUUGACUAUAUUUAAUUUCAUGUGAUGUGAAAGCAUGUGGAGUAUAAGUUGGUUAAAUAUAAAAUUGUCCUUCAUACCAGUAGGGAAAGAAUAUGCAGUAUAAAGAUUAGAGCAUUAUUAAUAUGCUAUUAAAUGCUACAGGAUAAUCGAUAGUUCAAGUUAAGAACAACAAUAGCAUUCCAACUUUUGUUUUGUGCAAGUUAAGAACAUGCUAACAAAGUAACCUAAGCAAAUAAGUGCAACACCUUCACCUAUAAGGAAAUUUUGAAACUACACAAAAUGACCUAUUGUAAAGAAGGAAAAAAAUCUAAAGGUGAAUGAAAAGCAUGUUAAGUACAUUCAGGAUUCGGUUAUGCCUUCAUGGAUAACCUUUUAGAUGGUGACUUGUCAACCUUGAUGUGUGUCGGCAUGGAACGAGGACAAGAAGACAUCGUUACGUCGUACUUUGGGAAUUUCAUCAAACUGGUUGUGUGCGGGAACAAAUAUUUGUCGCCUCCCUGCUCAAAUCUCUCUUCAUGUCACUAAAUCCGACACUCCACCUACCAAAAUCAGCUGCAAGCCAGGGACAAUCAACAGGUUUCUCCGCCCGUAGCAUCUAUCACCAAAAGAAGUUCAGACUAUAGUCUUGUAGUUUAAAAUUUUGUAAUAACAAGCACUACUAGGUUGCUCUUGUUUGUACGUCUUCAUUAUGUACAACCCAUGGAACUUAAAAUGCAUGGGUCAUUCUUCGGUAUAUACAACCAAUGCAACCAAACAUGCAUUGGGCUUUUCUUUGUACAUCUUCAGGUUCUACAACCAAUGCAACAAAAAAUCCAUUGGGCAGUCUUCCAUUCUAGUCGGGCACCAAUAGUUAAACGAGGAGCUAAACAGUGUUGGAGUCUAAAACUACAUACAAUCAUGAAGCAGAGAGAUGCGACUUGGAAGUUGUGCUCCUGUGAGCUCGUAUUUUUGAAGAAAAAAGUAAUAUUUGUAUUUUGAAGUGGGAAAAAGUCCUAAAAAGGGAUGUUUUGCGGGUUAUAACUUACUAUUUUUGAGUCCUGGGCUGCAGGAAGGUCGUAAAAAAUCAAUGUGUUUUCCCAUUCAUGCAUGUUUCUUGGGUUAUAGGUCACGCUUUUGGUGUCCUAGGGAGAUCACUUCCCCAGUUGGGAACAUUAGGUGAUGAUUUUUAGCAAAACUCAUUGUUUUAGCCUAACUAGUUUCGAGGAUUGGUGGACAAGAUUAUCAUGGAACAAAGUGACAACCUUCCUUUUCUUCAUGCCUAAUAUAAACUUAGCAGUCAACUAAAAGUAACUAGCGAUAUCACAGAAUGUUUUUUUGUCAAAAGUAGAUACCACUUCAGGAUUCAACUCGGUUAGUUCAAUCAUAGACAUGUUAAGAGCAGGAUUUACAACUAACUGCAUAGGGAACAUCUCCUUUUAUCGCCCACUAUCUGUCUAUGCACUUUGGUUUUCCCGUAGCAGCACACAAAGCACUUUGUUAGUACCAAUAAUGUGCUCCAACUCUACACAUUAAUCAUCUUGAAUUCUUCUACUGAUGUCGAACAAUGUUAUAUCUUGAAUUCUUCUAACGAGUUCAGAUUAUACUACAUGGGCAAUUUAUCUGGUCCCUGAGAUGCAAGGUCGAUGAACAAUCGCUUCGUCUGAUGAUGAGGGAUUGUUUUUGCCUAAGAAACCAAUACAUGUAACUUCGACGCCAGAUUAAUAAUUGGUAAAACCCAAAUAAAUUAGAUCACGAGCUAAACCAUUUAAUUUUGUAUGCAUUUAAACUUUUGAUACAUAUGAGCUUGUUAAGAUGUUCGCAUAAACACCAUGGUGAUUUGAAGCAAGACAAAGUAAACUUGAACCGCUUGAGCCACUGACUUAAUAAGAACCUCCUUUCCCGUGGCAGAGAUCGUUUUUAAUACAUCCACUCACUUUGGUUCUCUUAUGAAAUCUAGAUUCCUUCGCUAAGGCUAUUGCUCCAGUAUUGUCACAAAAGAUUUUUGUUGGACCCGAUGCACUAGGUAUGACACCUAGAUCGGAUAUGAACUCCUUCAUCCCGACUCCUUCAUUUGCUACUUCCGAAGCAGCUAUGUACUCCUCUUCACAUGUAGAUCCCUCCACGACGCUUUGCUUGAAACUGCACCAACUGACAGCUCCACCAUUCAAUAUAAAUACGUAUCCGGUUUGUGACUUAGAGUCAUCCAGAUCAGUGUCAAAGCUUGCAUCAACGUAACCAUUUACAACGAGCUCUUUGUCACCUCCAUAAAUGAGAAACAUAUCCUUAGUCCUUUUCAGGUAUUUCAAGAUGUUCUUGACCGCUAUCCUAUGAUCCACUCCUGGAUUACUUUGGUACCUCCCUGCUAAACUGAUAGCAAGGCACACAUCUGGUCUGGUACAUAGCAUUGCAUACAUGAUAGAACCUAUUGCUGAAGCAUAGGGAAUGACUUUCAUUUUCUCUCUAUCUUCUGCAUUGGUCGGGCAUUGAGUCUAACUCAACUUCACACCUUGUAACACAGGCAAGAACCCUUUCUUUCCUUGAUCCAUUUUGAACUUCUUCAAAACUUUAUCAAGGUAUGUGCUUUGUGAAUGUCUAAUUAACCGUCUUGACCUAUCUUUAUAGAUCUUGAUGCCCAAUAUAUAAGCAGCUUCACCGAGGUCUUUCAUUGAAAAAUUCUUAUUCAAGUAUCCUUUUAUGCUAUCCAGAAAUUUCGUAUCAUUUUCGAUCAACAAUAUGUCAUCCACAUAUAAUAUCAGAAAUGCUACAAAGCUCCCACUCACUUUAUAAAGGCUUCUCCAAAAGUCUGUAUAAAACCAUAUGAUUUGAUCACACUAUCAAAAUGUAUAUUCCAACUCUGAGAGGCUUGCACCAAUCCAUAAAUGGAUCACUGGGCUUGCACACUUUGUUAACACCUUUUGGAUCGACAAAACCUUUUGGUUGCAUCAUAUACAACUCUUCUUUAAGAUAUCCAUUAAGAAAUGCAGUUUUGACAUCCAUUUGCCAAAUUUCAUAAUCAUAAAAUGCGGCAAUUGCUAACAUGAUUUGGACAGACUUAAGCAUCGCUACGGGUGAGAAGGUCUCAUCAUAAUCAACUCCUUGAACUUGUCGAAAACCUUUCGCAAAAAGUCGAGAUUUGUAGACAGUAACAUUACCAUCAUCGUCAGUCUUCUUCUUGAAGAUCCAUUUAUUCUCUAUGGCUUGCCGAUCAUCGGGAAAGUCAACCAAAGUCCACACUUUGUUCUCAUACAUGGAUCCCAUCUCAGAUUUCAUGGCCUCAAGCCAUUUCGAGGAAUCUGGGCUCAUCAUUGCUUCCUCAUAGUUUGUAGGUUCAUCAUGGUUGAGUAACAUGACCUCCAGAACAGGAUUACCAUACCACUCUUGUUGGGAAUAUGACUACCAGGUAUGACCCGCCCAGGAGGGGCCGGGUCAAUCCUAAUGGCGGGUUACUAAAAGAAGCUCAGUGAAUAUACAAGGCGAUAGUUUAUUAUAAGACUUGUAGUAGGACCAAGCCCAAAGGCGGGUUAAGGCCCAUAAUUGUAAACCGCCAUGUAUAAGAAAGAAUUGUAAAGAAAGGCAUGUAAGAGAAGUCACCGAGCCGGGCACGUUAUAUGAGCCGGCUGGGACUCUGUAGGCCGCCAGGCGUCAACCCGUGUAUAUAAGGGGACGACCCGGUGGCGGCUUAGGGCAAGUAACAUCAAAUCGAGAGCCAUGCAUAGCGUAUUUGCUCCCUGGUCAUCGAAACCUAGCAAUACCACAUCAACUGGACUAGGCUUUACCUUCACCGUAGGGGGCCGAACCAGUAUAAACCUUUCGUGUCCUUUGUCCCGAUUAACCCCUUUAAGCUUCCUAGUUGCGAUGGCUCCACGACUAAGUCCUUUCAGUAGGACAUCUGCCGUGACAAUUCCACGACAGUUGGCGCCCACCGUGGGGCCAUCGCACGAUGGAUUUGAGUUCUUGAAGGGCAGCUUCCAAGGGCUCAAGGGAUACGCUGUGGGCCGGAUAACCAAAAGUUGUCACAGCAAGCUCUACAUCGACGACGCAGGCUGGGGCCCCGAGGCUGGCUCAAUCGAGUACGGGUACCGGGUCCCCUUCGGCGGAAUCCACGUCUUCAUCGGCCGGAUCGGCGAGCCGGGCCCUGAGUCGGACAUCUGCACCGACCUCAUCGAGAUGGCUCAGCGAGUGAGACCUGCCCGGGCUCAACCUGCCGUGAGGCGUGCCUUCGUGGGUUGCAUCCAUGGAGGGGAAUUUUCUGAAGGAUCGAUGGACGGUGGUGAGACAGUCGUUUGCUCUAGCAGUGAGUCGUCCAUAGGCGAGACAGAUUCUUUGUAUCAGCUACAAGAUGGCGGGCUUGGGGGCUGUUCCGAUGGCAGUAGUAUUCCGGACCCCUCUGAGCCGCCGAAUCGAGCCGGAGUCUUCAUGGCUGGCACUCAACCUGGUUAGAAUUCUAUGGCUGCGGCAGCAAUAACCACUGGGUCAGCAGGGGCCGGGUCAGGAGACCCCGCGCGCCCACCGGCUCAGGUACUAAUGGACCUCAUGGAUAGGAUGACGGCCCUGUUGACUGCUGUGGUUGAGCCGGCAGAUAAGGCUCAGCAUGACGCAGAGGUAGCACAGCUACACAGAGAGGUAGCACAGGCCAAGGAAAAUUUAGUGGCGGAAGAUGUCAGGAUGGCCGCGGAACGGGCGGCUCUGGAUGCACGGGCUCGGCAGCUUCAAGCGAAGACUUUCUGGCUCUCGGUGGAUCUGAACGCAUCAAACGAGGUCACGAGGAGAAGGCACCAGAAGGCUCAAUCAUGUCUGCCUCUGACUUACGAUCCUAGGAACCUUUUUCACACACCCGGGACUGGUCCCAGUAACCCGCUGAAGGCAAACCGGAUCACAACACCCGGGACCGGGACGCCGGUUCAACCGCGGGCCAUGGAACCACCGCGUGUGAAUACUGCUCUGCCUCACUACACAGCGAUACCACCGGGUCACUUCUCUAACCCCUUGGAGAACCUUAUUGCUGCGUCGGCUCAUCUGGCGGCUCUCCCGAUGGAAGGUGACUCUUCGACGGCGAUCGAGACACGACGGGUCAGAGAACUUCUUCAGACGGCUCUGGCACAGCAGGAUGCAUAUUCUUAUAGUUGAGAUAGAAUCCAUUCAACCCCUCGCCCAAGCCGGAGCCCAAGCUAUAGCAGGCAUAUGGACUCGGCGGCCAUGUCAAGCAACACCCAGCGCCGUAACCAUCCACGUGGGCGUGACCCGGCCCCGGGCGGAGCUUGUAACUUGGUAGACCAGGAGAGGAUCCGUCAAGAGGCUGAACGGGUGGUUCAACAGGCGGCUGAGCAAGCGGCUCACCAAGCUUUUCCAAUUUAUACAGUGACCUCUGUUGAAGCAGGGGUGGCCACAAGGACAGGAGGAGUCCCUUGUCUUGUGCAGUCUCUGCGUAAUGAGCGUUUACCAAAGGACUUUAAGGGGCCUCGUAAGGUGCCCAAUUACACAGCCGACCUGCAGCCCGGAGCAUGGAUUGAAAGUUACGAGAUGGCCAUGGAGUUAUUAUAAGUCAGUGACGCAGCAAUGGCCAAAUACUUCACCAUGAUGUUGGAUGGAACAGCUCGUACUUGGUUAAAGGGGUUACCGCCCAACUCCAUCGGCUCAUGGGCGGAGUUGAAGGCACGGUUCAUUCAGAACUUUAAAGAUACCUGUAAACAGCCCAUGUCAAUCGUGGACUUGACUAACUGCAAGCAAGAGGAAGGCAAAUCCAUGACCCAUUGGGUGCGCCGGGUCAAGGAAAUAAUACAUUCAUCUGAUAAGAUGGAUGCCAGCUCCACGGUCUUAAUGUUGGAGAAAAAUUACCGUUUUGAACCUCUGAAACAGAAGCUGGGGCGGCUCAAGCAUGAUUGUAAUGACAUGGGCCAGUUGAUGGCGGCUCUGGUCAAAUAUGCUGACUCUGACAGUACCAAGGAUCCCAUGUCUGACGAAGAGAAGACGAGGAAGGGAAAGAAGAACGGCAACGGCAAGGGUCACCAGCAUAACCCGACAAAUCAAGGAGGUAAUAAACGCAAGGCUGACGAGUUUGUGGCUAACACCAAUGCACAUGGCAACAACCAAUGGCGCAAGGGGAGGCCACCUCCUCGGUCAGGCGGAUCAGGUCCCACCCUCGAGCAACUACUAAAUGAACCCUGUCCGGGACAUGGCACCCGGGAGAAGCCGGCUACCCAUCUGUGGAAGGAUUGUACGAUCAUGAAGGCUUUUAAGAAUUCUAACAUGUUUGAUGGUAACCACGGGCCUGCUGGCGGCUCAGGCGGUGGCGGUUUUCAUGGCCAAGGCCAUCCGGGUAGUCAAGGCGAUUAUAGUCAGCAAUCCGGCCAGGGCAGUCAGCAACAGCAGCAACAGCCCGUGUAUCAGAGUAACCCAAAACAGCUGAACAGUGGACAGUACCAUGUGUUUACCACCAGUUUGUGCAAGAGGGACCAGAAGCUUCAGAAGAGGGAUGUAAAUGCUAUUGAGCCGGCGGUUCCACGUUAUUUGAGAUGGUCUGAACAACCUAUUCUGUGGAGUAGGGAAGAUCACCCACCCCGGGUUGAUAAUCCGGGUCAUCUGGCUUUGGUGGUGGCGCCUCAGGUUGGUGGAUAUAAGUUCACUAAAGUGCUCAUGGACGGAGGCAGUAGCAUCAACGUCCUCUAUUAUGAGACGUUCUGUCGCAUGGGGUUGACUGAUAAGAGUCUUAAAACAUCCAACACUGUUUUUAUGGGGUAGUGCCUGGUAAGUCGGCGUACCCAGUUGGUAAAAUUGAGCUGGAAGUGGCCUUUGGAGAUGAGUAUGAUUCUAGGGCUGAGAAGCUAACUUUUGAAGUGGUUAAAAUCAAGAGCCCAUAUCACGCUCUGUUUGGACGGCCGGCUUAUGCUAAGUUCAUGGCCCGGCCGUGUUAUGUGUAUUUGCAGCUCAAAAUGUUGGGUUAUAAAGGCACUAUCAUAGUACAUGGAAGCCGGAAAAUAGCCCUGGAAUGUGAAGAAGGUGAUGCUGCAUAUGCCGAGUCUGUUUGUGCAACAGAGGAAUUGAAGUUUUAUAAGGAUAAUGUUGACCCGGCAAACAUGGCGUCUUUGAAGAAGCCAACUACGGAGCAUGAGCCGGCAUUGAAAUUCAAGUCCGCUGAUGACACCAAGAUGAUUGAUUUCGUGUCUGGCGACUCAUCCAGACACUUCAUUAUCAGUGCUAACUUGGAUCCAAAAUAGGAAAGCGUGCUCAUCGAGUUCAUCCAUGAGAACCGGGACAUCAUUGCAUGGAAGCCUUCUGACAUGCCGGGUGUUCCGAGAGAACUCGUUGAGCACACUCUCAAUAUUCAUCCAAAGUUUAAGAUGGUCGGGCAAUUUCUUCGGCGGUUUAACGAGGAAAGGUGCAAGGCCAUUGGAGAAGAGGUGGCCCGGCUCUUGGCGGCCGGGUUCAUUGUUGAAGUUUUUCACCCAGAGUGGUUGGCUAACUCGGUGCUUGUGCUUAAAAAGAACGGCACCUGGCGCAUGUGUGUGGAUUACACAAAUUUAAACAAGGCUCGUCCAGCUGAUCCUUUUGCUCUCCCUCGUAUUGAUCAAAUCAUUGAUGCUACGGAGGGUUGUGAGCGUUUGAGUUUUCUGGAUGCUUAUUCGGGUUAUCAUCAGAUCAAGAUGGCAGUUAAGGACCAGGAGAAAACAGCUUUCAUCACUCCGUUUGGAGCCUUCUGCUAUGUGUCUAUGCCUUUUGGGCUCAAGAGUGCCCACGCGACUUAUCAGCGGUGUGUACAAAAUUGCCUUCAUAAUCAGAUUGGGUGUAAUGUUCAUGCUUAUGUGGAUGAUAUAGUGGUGAAAUCCAGAGAGAAGGAAACCUUAGUAGCUGAUCUAAAGGAAACCUUUGGUAACCUCCGGGUCUACAAGAUGAUGCUUAACCCGGCCAAGUGUGUUUUUGGAGUCCCAGCUGGCAAGCUCUUGGGUUUUUUGGUGUCUAAUGGAGGCAUUGAGGCUAACUCGGAGAAAAUAAAGGCAACCACGUCUUUGGCUAAACCGGCAUGCAUCAAUGACGUUCAGCGGCUGGCGGGCCGUGUCGCAGCUUUAAGCCGGUUUAUAAGUCGGUUGGGCGAGAAGGCUAUGCCAUUGUAUCAAAUGAUGAAAAAGGUGGAUGACUUUGUAUGGAGUGACGCUGCUGAUUCCGCUUUUGAAGGUUUGAAAAGACAGCUUGCUGGGCCACCUAUUCUUGCUGCCCCCGUUGAGAAGGAGCCGCUAUUGUUAUAUGUGGCUGCUAACUCACAAGCCGUCGGCAUGGCCAUUAUUGUGGAGCGCAAGGAGGUUGGCAAGGAACAUCCAGUUCAAUGGCCGGUUUACUACGUCAGUGAGGUGCUCAUUGGAUCCAAGAAAAGAUACCCACAUUAGCAAAAACUUGUUUAUGGGGUGUUCAUGGCAAGCCGGAAGCUUAAGCAUUACUUCCAGGGUCAUCCUAUCACUGUGGUUAGCUCUGCUCCUUUAGGAGAUAUUAUUUAGAACAGAGAAGCCACAGGACGAGUCGCCAAGUGGGCCAUUGAGCUUGGGGUCUCAUAAUAUAAAGUAUGUGCCACGUACGGCUAUUAAGUCUCAAGCACUGGUGGACUUCAUUAAUGAUUGGACGGAGUUACAGACACCUGAAGAGAAGCCAGACAACACAUAUUGGACGAUUCAUUUCGAUGGGUCCAGGCAGUUGGAAGGCUCGGGGGCUGGAGUUGUGUUAACUUCUCCUCGAGGUGACAAGUUUUGUUAUGUGUUGCGAUUGAUGUUUCCUUGUACUAACAAUGCAGCAGAAUAUGGGGCCUUGCUCCAUGGUCUUCGAAUGGCUAAAGAGAUGAGUUUAAGACGGGUACGGUGCCUUGGCGACUCAGAUUUGGUGGCUCGGCAGGUGUCAGGCAAGUGGGAUUCCAAGGACCCUCUCAUGGCGGCUUAUCGCCGGGAAGUUGAUGAUGUUGUUGGACAUUUCAAAGGUUAUCAGGUGGAGCACAUUGACCGCAGAAAAAACAAAGCGGCUGAUGCUUUAAGCCGGUUGGGAUCACAGCGUAAGCUGGUGCCACCUAACACUUUUCUAGAUGUUCUUCAAAACCCUUCUGUCAAACUGCCUACAGAGGAAGAUUUGGUCAUUCCAGACCCGGAGGCACAGUUAGUAGCGGCUCUUCAUGUUAUUCCAGAUUGGACAUUACCGUAUUUGGCUUACAUGACCCGGGGUGAGUUGCCAGAGGAUGAGACCUUGGCUCGACAGAUAACCCGACGGUCUAAGUCAAUGACAAUUUCCAAUGGUGAGUUGUAUCAUCGCAGCGUCACUGGAGUGUUUCAACGUUGUGUCUCUCCCGAAGAAGGUCAAGAAAUUCUUCGUGAGAUCCAUGAAGGGGAUUGUGGUCAUCACGCUGGUUCAAAGUCUCUUGUGGCUAAAGCUUUUCGUCAUUGUUUUUACUGGCUAACGGCUCACGCUGAUGCAGAGGAUCUGGUCAGUAGGUGUGAUGGGUGUCAAAAAUUUGCACGACGAGCGCACGUGCCGGCUUAAGAAUUGCGGAUGAUUCCAAUCACUUGGCCGUUUGCAGUCUGGGGGCUUGACAUGGUUGGACCUUUUAAAAGAUCCAAGGAUAAAAAGACACAUCUUUUGGUGGUAGUUCACAAAUUUACAAAAUGGGUUGAGGCAGAGCCGGUUAGUAAGUGUGAUGCAGCCACGAUGGUUCAGUUCAUGAAAAAGGUGAUCUUUCGUUUUGGCUUUCCACAUAGCAUUAUAACUGACAAUGGUACUAAUCUGUCCAAAGGCAACAUGGAGGAGUUUUGUCAAUGUGAGCAUAUCCGGCUUGAUGUUUUGUCUGUAGCUCACCCCCAAUCCAAUGGUCAAGCUGAGAGAGCAAAUCAGGAAAUCCUAAAAGGUCUCAAGCCCGACUUAUGGUUCGUUUACAACGGACGCCGGGUUGUUGGGUGGAGGAAUUACCCUCGGUGCUGUGGAGUAUCAAUACCACUCCUAACAGAUCUACAGGUUAUACACCUUUCUUCAUGGUUUAUGGAGCAGAAGCAGUUCUGCCUAGUGACAUCCGUCAUGACUCACCUCGCGUGGCGGCCUAUGUUGAAGCUGAUAAUGAACAAGCCCGACAGGAUGCACUUGACUUGUUAGAUGAGGAGAGAGAUUUGGCAGUGGCUCAAUCAGCAAUUUAUCAACAAGACUUGCGCCGUUAUCACAGCCGCCGGGUUAAGUCCAGAACCUUUCAAGAAGGUGACCUAGUGCUCCGGCUCAUCCAGGAUCUGUCUGAUGCACACAAGCUAUCCCCGCCUUGGGAAGGACCCUUUGUGGUCAACAAGAACUUAAACAAUGGGUCAUAUUACCUCAUUGAUGUUCGAGAGCACAAAGACCCACGUAAGUCGGAGGAGGAGACCCGCCGGCCGUGGAACAUCGCUCAGCUUCGGCCAUACUACACUUAAACCAUCGGCUCUCAUCAUGUACAUACUUUGACGUUGUAUAUAAUAUGAUAAGUAAUAAAGCAGGACCUCUGUCCUUUUUCCCCUUCAAUGAUCAUAUAUCUUUAUUAUUUUCAUUAUUUAAAAUGACCAUUAGGGGGCUGAUCGUAUCCGAAUCUAGCUUAACCCUUUUGGUCCGGCUCAUGAUCGUAUUCGAAUCUAGCCGUAAAACUCAUGGUCACUUGGGGGCUUCCUGUUCAAACAUAGGUCGUAUUCGAACCAAAGAGAACAUAGCUGUCGUAACCCUCUUGAUCGGCUCAAAGCCAAACUCACUAGGGGGCUUCUUGAUCGUAUCUGAAUCAUAGCUUAACCCCUUUUUGGGUCCAACUUGGAUCGUAUUCGAAUCAGGGUCGUUAAAAACCUCUCAAGGUCAUUUGGGGGCUUCCUAUUCAAACAUAGGUCGUAUUCGAACCAAAGAGAACAUAGCUGUCGGUACCCUCUUGAUCGGCGCAACGCCAAAGCCACUGGGGGCUAUAUGAUCGUAUCCGAAUCUUAGCUUAACCCCUUUGGUCCGGUUUACUGAUCGUAUUCGAAUUAGAAGCCUCCAGUUUUUAUUUAAAUGUUUGAUUUACAUUGUCUGAAGCCUAGUGUUUUAUCUUACUAUUUUUAUCGUCUCAAAUCUAACUGUUAGUAUGGUUUCAAAUUAAACCGGCUUGGCUAUUUGACAAUGUGUCGCCAAGGCAUAACAGUCAUCAGACAUAUGGAAGUAUUGACUUCUAAAAAAGAUUGGGUUAUCAACCUCAUCAUCCGGGUCAUGUAAACCGACAGUCCAUGUUCAAAAACCACAGGUAUGACAGUGUCAUUCAUGAACAGACUUCCCUGGGUUUUUCGUCAGUCAAAGGAUUUUUCAGCCUUGUUUAUCUUACAUCUGGUUCUAUUUUUUCCACUAUGAUAAUUUCAUAAUCAUGUACCGGGUGUUUUGACCCGUCCGGUGCUAAGCCACCGGGACAGUUUUUUUCAUCUUUUACAGGAACAGAGUUAAAACAUUACAGAUGUAACCACGAUGUAAUGCAUAUAUAUAUUGACAUCAUGGGCAAAGAGUCAUAUGAAACAUCUUAUGCACGAUGGCAUAGGCAAAAUAUGCAAUUUUCAAACUAACCUAUUACAAGGCAUUGAGAGCCCAAAAGGUUAAACGGUUUUCUCUCUUAAGCAGGUCUUAAGCUAAAAACUGGAUUGUUCAGAUGGUUAUGACUCCUCCCUGGCCGUUUCACCUCCCUCCACUGGUUGGAAGCUGGGAUUGGACCAGUCAAAGCCGUUCAGAGCAAUGAACUCAGCCUCAUCGUCAAUUAGGCCGGCCGGGUCAAUUUGCAGGGCAAAAGUGUGUUGACGAACCGGCGGGAUAAGAUCCAUCACUUUAUAAGAGGGAGUCGCCAUCUUUUUAUUCUCCAUAUCAAAACCCGACUGAUAUUUUUCGAUGUUGGUCUCCUCACCAAGAAUGGUAGCCUGAGGACGAACUCCCCUCACACAAGCAAUAAAGUCAUCUUGCUCAAACGGAGUCCCGUCUUCCUUCAUGGUAGGGUACCCCUUAGCCACGUCCACCGGGUGUAAAUCGGGCACCCAGGCUUUGGAGCGGCUCAGGGCAGUCAGGGCUCCGACUCUGGCACAAGAUCGUUUGACCUCUUGAAAUCUGGCGGGUAAGAUCGAUAACUUCUUCAAAACAUCACUUAAACGGUUGGGUCCUUGGUUGGCAGGGGAUAUAUAUAGUAGAAAGUGCUCGUUGAGCACCAGUGUACAGUUGCUCCACCAAGGUAUAAACCGCCUUCAGUUUUGUCACACUAUCUUGACUCAGAUAUUUUACUUCGUGGACCUGUGAGUACUUUUUAACAAAGGCUCAGCAGGCGGCUUAUAUUUCUGGUUAAAAUAAAGUAUAAGUGACUAAUGCAAAUGACUUACCAAAGAUGGCGGAGACCAUUUGAUACACACGGUUUUUUAAGCCGGUGAGCUCCAUGGUAACCUCCUCAAGAGUCGCCUCUGCUGUCUUGGCACGUUGUGUCAGCAAGGUCUUCUCAUCGGCCCAGGAUUUCUUCUUCUCAGUCACACUGGUCUUCAAUUUUUCAGUUUUAGAGAGACUCAAUUGGAGUUUGGAGUUAGCAGUCUUUAUCUCCGCUUCUUGAUCCGCCAGCCGGGUCUUUGCAUCCGUCAAUUGAGAUCCCAAUUCAGUUAGGGCGGUCUACAAACAUGCAUAGGUGUGUCAAAAUUUAAACACAAGUUAUAUUGAUUAAAGUCGCGAGUGCUUUGCAACGCAACACCACUUGGCACUUGGGGGCUAAUGUCUGCCAAAGCAAUUUUAUGCAAAAUGACUCUUCUAUGUUUCAAGUCCCAAGUGUUUUACAAAGUAACAACGCUUGGCACUUGGGGGCUAAUGCAUGAUAUUCAGAAAGUUUUUCAAGAUGAGCCGGAUCACACUACUUAUUUGGACUAAUCUAAGACAGUUAUGAAGUUAAGUACCGGGUCAUUUAUGAUAAAUUGAGCCGGCCCUUGGGGACUACAUGUGAAGUUUAUACUAAUCCGUUGAACUUAGGAAAAAUCUAAAGACAAGGUAUCAACCUAUAUCAUAAGUCUACAGAUCAUUCAGGUUCAUCAUAAUCUGAAGACUUGGGGGCUGGCAGAGUAUAUAUAAACCGGAGAACGUACCUCAUAUUCUGUAACAUCCCAAAUUUUCAAUUUGGAAUGUUACACGUUAGGUCAUCAUGCAUAUCAUAUUUUAUUUUUCUUUUGGUUUUGAUCCUAGAAAAUCCUAAGCAACUCAAGGACCCACGGAGAGAGUUGGGGAUUUCAUUAUUUACAUAUUUGAGUUUUCUCAAAUUAUGUAAACAGGAUCAUUUGAUUUUAUUUAUUCUAUCAUCAAUUAUUUCUAUUACAAAAAUAUGAGAGAGGGAAUAAAAUGACUUUUCCAAAAUAUAGAAAUAUUGAGGAUUUAAUAAAAAAUCAAAUAAGUUUUAUUUCGGAGUUUUUUGGUAUUUUUAUUUGAAUUUAGGAAAAAUGCGCGUUUUUCAAAUUGUAGUUUGGGCCCAGAUAAAUGUUCACUUUAUCGGGCUUGAUUUUAGGAACCCGGCAAAAUUUAUUUCGUGAUUUUUGGAGUCCGUUUAGUAUUUCUUUUUAUUUUUCUUCCGAGCGGAUUUAAAAAAAAACUAGAACCGACUCCGUGCCGUAACCGGCCAGGAAACCUCCGCCCGGGGCCUUUAUAUAGCGCCCGAACCGGCCGAGAGAGAGAGAGAGGCCCGAAGCCAGCUAACCCUAACCCUAGCUAAGCCGCCGCCGCCUCCCAGCCGUCGCCGCCCGCCGCUGCCGACUCGCCGGAGCGCGCGCCUUUCGAGGUUCGCCGCCGCCUCGUUUUCCGUGAAGUUUUUUUUUAAAAAAAAAAUCUGUUCGUCGUUUUUCUUUUUCGUCGGAUUUUCCGCGGUUAUUUUCUGAUCGCGAUUUCUGAUCCGGUUUUCGUUUUAGUAUAACUUUUCGCUCGUUUAUCGGAAUCAGGCGAUUCAAGCGCCUGGAGUUUCGUCUCGAAACCCUCUUUCCGAAUAAUCAACUUAAACAAGUUUUUGCUACUGUAAAAUUUGCCCUAGAUCCAGAUUACUAGAAGGAAGUUGUUUUUUUUGCCGUUUGAUUUCUUUCGCUUCGUUCGAUUUGAUUCUUUUGCCAACCAGGGUUCUUAAGUUGAACUUUCUGGUUAGAUCUUCUAUUUGAGUUUUACUUGUGCAUUAGAUGAGUACUUAUUGUAUGCUUGAUGUUUGUCUGUGAUAGAAUACCCGGAGUGCGCCGCCUGUUACUUCGAAUCUCUAGGUUUCGCGGAUCAUCAGCAAGGCAAGUAACACUUUGAUCAUACCUUUUCUACAACCCAGUUUUAUUGCAUUAGAUCAAUCCUCACACAUUGCAUGAUUAGGAUCUAAUUAAAUUGUGGGAUGGGAAGUAGAUGAGGUAGUACCUAUUACCUGUUUAUUAUCAAACCUUUGGGAGUUACUUCUACGUUUGCUUAUGCCAUGUUAUGCCGGUAGACGUGGAUUGGGUGAGUGAUAUCCAUGACAGAUGUGAGAUUUAUAAUUAAGGGUUAUCUAAGGUGGCAACCUAACACACAUCUGGGUGGAUUGAGGCACCUGGGGUUACCAGGACUUGCCUGUUUUCUUUUGGACCGCCACCCAGGCCCAAAGGGAUCAUGAGAUUUUUCAUACUAGAAACUUCCGUGUGCAGCCACAAGCCAUUAUGGGCUCUGGCAUAGUUGACUAAGUUGUGCGAACUCUUACAGUGGUAGACUAGCAGAUGUAGGGGAAAGUAGGUGUACCGGUCUACCCGUCGUAAGGUGCUAGCGCUUCUGAAAGACUGUGUCUCGGUCAUCCGUUUCUCAAACACCUUGUAGUGCGAGAAACCAAACGGAGGUGAUCGAGUCUUGUGGGGAAAAGUGCGCAAACCUCUGCAGAGUGUAACAAACUAAUCAUGGUUAGCCGUGUCCCUGAUUAUGGACAUCUUGAGUAUCUAUUACCUGGAUUAUCAUGUGAAUCUCAACAUGUUACUCUAAAAUUAAUUUUGUGGGAUUUUAAUGAUGUUACUUAAUUGGGAUUGAGGAUGCUGUCAACCAUUCUCAAUGUUUAACAACCACCAUGAUAGUAAUUAAUUUUAUUCCUUUGAAGUAGGGAAAAAUUGGCUUUACGCAAAAACUGUAACCAUAGAGCUUUCCACCAGCCAAAUAUGCAUAUAGUAUAGUUGUUGCAUUCCAUUACUCUCUAUGUGUUACCUUGCCAGCAUAUUCCAUGUGCUGACCCGUUUCGGGCUGCAACGUUAAUGUUGCAGACUUUUCAGAUGACGAUUGAGGAAUUUUAGGUCGUGGUUCUAUACUCAGUGAUGCCGUUGGAGUUGAUGGACUCACUUAUCUUCCAAGCCUUCCGCUGUUAUCGUUAUUAGAUGGCCUUAAGCCAUAUUUAUUGUAAUAAGUUCUCUUUUGAGACACUCGAUGUAAUAAGUGUGUGAUUGCUACUCUGCUAUAAAUCCUCCGAGUACUGUGUGGUGUCAGCAUUACUGAUCCAAGGAUGACAUCGGAGCACAGAGAUCAGACUGUUUAAGGUCUGGUCGCUACAUAUUCCAGUUGCAAUUGCUUGACCAUCUCAAUUUCCGAGUCACGGCUGGAAUGCACAGGACUGAGAUAGCCGGACAGCAUGUCACUAACAUUCAGAUGAGCAUAGUGAGAGAUAUCAAAUUGUACUUUCUGUCUUUCCAAGGCCUCCUGUUUAGCAGAAUGCCUGGCCAGCACAGUCGGAUUACCCGGCGCAACAAAUCUGCUGCCAGUGAUCAAAACGUCAUGGUCAGAAGAUGCUGGCAGGUUAGCUGAACCGGACGGUCUGACGGUGGAUGGAUCGACAAUGGUUUCGUCAGCUGACGGCUCAGGAGGGUCCAAUUGAGCAUGGACAGCUAAAUCUUCUGGCGCUUCAGAUUGAGUGGGAGGAGUUGAUGUUGCCAGUUCAGGUGCAGGAUUUUUUGGGUCCUCUGCCGGUUUAAUCACCUUGGCUUUCUUGGACUUUGCUUGACCGCUAAGAAAGAUUUUUAUGAAAUAGUUAGUAUAAUGAUGCAGUUUUAAAAAUGUAGAGGAAAGAUGAUUUUCCUUACCCAUGGGCAGUCUUGAAAGCCGGAAAUUGAGUUUGGGAUGAGUCGCCAGAAGAGCGAGAGACCUCCUGCAAAGGUAAAAUAAAGUUAAGAAUAUAAGGAAAUAAAUUCAUGGAUAAAAACAAAGGACAAAGGUGAAAGAAACCUCAUUCUGGCGUUUUUGAGGAGUUUUUUCUAAGUCGAAAGGUGGUUCAUCAUCAUCAUUAGUCCGGGCCAGAUGGCGGCUCUCAUGUUGCUGCUUUUUCAAAAGAAAAUGAGGGUCCAAAUAAGCCAAAGGGUGCAAAAACCUUACUUUCCGGGUUACCAGUCGAAGUUUCUGUCUCGGCAAAGGGGCUGAGUCGUAGGAAAUAGUUACCUCUUCUUCCGCGGCCUGGCUGGCCCCCGUGUCAUCCUGGCAAUAGUCAGUGUCAAUAAGAUAGUUGAAAAUUUGGCCAAGGGAGAAAGGGCUACCUCCGACUCAGAAACAUCAUCAAGCUGGAAGAUGUCAGAUGCAGUCUUCUUCUUGGGCUUCCGGGUCGUUCUCUUGGCGGCUACGGCAGCGGAUCUAGCCUUCUUGGUAGCUUCAUGAUCAUACUUGGCCUUCCAGAAGUCAGAUUUGUCCUGUAAACAAAUAAAGAGGUUAAAAGGUCAUGCAAGUAUUUAAACUACUGAGGUAAACACAAAAAGAGAAAAAGGUCAAGAAGUUACCUCUGGUGUCGGGUUAAGUUUGCAGAAGGGGUUUAAUCCAACCUUGCUGUAGUCCUCGUAUUUGCCAUUCACGAGGAUGGUAGACAUUGCAACAAUGUCUUCUUCAGUUAAUUGUACAGAGCUAUAACGCAGAGAAUCAUUUGGGCCUCCGCCAUACUUAUACAUCAACUUGGAUCGGCGGCUUAGAGGGAUGACCCGCCAUGAGAUCCAGCAAUGGAUCAGGUCAACUCCGGUUAAGCCAUUUCCCAAUAAAGCUUGAAUCCUUUUGACAGAUGGGAUAAGCUUCUUGCGUUCAGCAGUAGUAAGCUUGUCAGGGAGCACAAACUUGGAAUCAAGACGCUCUUCACGAUAACCCGGCAGUGGUUUUUCAUCAGCCGGUGAUGUAUCUUGGCAGUAGAACCAGGUUUGCUUCCAGUCUUUGGGAUGGCUCGGUAAGACCACUAAAGGAAAAACGGCACCUUGUCAGCGUUGAAUUGAAAUUCUGCCAAGUUCCAAGCUAAGGCCGUUGGUGCACUCAUUCUGGCGGUUCAAGUAAAAGUACUCUCUAAAGAGCUCCACAGUUGGUUCUUCUUGAAGAUAUACCUCACAAAGAACUUGAAAAUUGCAGAUGUUGGAUAUAGGGUUGGGUCCAAUAUCUUGUGGAUGAAGCUUGAAAAAAUGCAGGACAUCUUGGACGAACUUUGAGCCGGGUGGUGAGAAGCCCCGGUUCAUGUGAUCUGUGAAAACGAUAACUUCGCCGUCUUUGGACUAAGGUCGUUCUUCGUCCGGGUCAGGAGCACGAUAAGACAUAACGCUUUUCUCUGGCAAAAAUCCAAUGGUGACAAAUUAUUUCAAGGUAUCUUCAGUAACUGUGGAAGGCACCCGGUUGCAGACAGUUGGCGCUUUUGACGGCAUGAUGAAGAAAGGGCAAGCUGAAAAGAAAGUAAUUUGCCGGUUCAAUUUAUUGGUGGAGUUACAGGUUCAUGAUUAUAGUACAGAUGAGUAAUGGCGGCUUAAGUAAGGGCUAAUGACAUGUAAAGGAAAAAUAAGCCGGAGUCAUAAGCCGCCAUGACUAAAAAGUAUUUGAAGGUUGCCAGAAUCAAAAUUGACUAAAGUGUUGAGACAAACAGGUUUCCCAAGUUGUGGCUAUUAUUAUGGAUCAAAAUGGUUCAGAAAAUAAAAAUAAAGUUAGACCUAGAAAACGAGCACAGAGGAGUUUGUCAGCUCUAAAGAGGCAUUUAUACAGGAGAAGGGGAUCUGUUAGCUUCAAAAAUGGAUGAGAAAUAGCUACCUCAUAAGUUUUGUACUACUUUUAGAUCAAAAGAGGGUGCGGUAAGAGAAGUUGCAACGAAUCUAUGACGAACAACGAAGAACACAAGAAGGAAACCUCCCGAACCCUAAUGCAGAUCUAUGGGGGUGAGAAGGUGAGAGCUUACAGGUGCGGAGCUGCUGCGGAGGAUCGCCACCGUUCUCUGGAUAGACUCAGGGUGAUGCUGCGGCCAGAGUUGAGGACGACGGUGCGCUACGGUGGCGACGGAGCUCGAGCGGCAAAGAAGGUGCGAGAGGAAGAAGAAAGAGGAAGGACUGGCCGAGCCUAUUUAUAAGGGGGUAAGUGAACGGGCAGACGCAAAAAUUGAGGAAGACCAAAGUAAUGAUUAUCCAGCUAAAUGGACGCCUCGAUCUUCGGAAAACAUUUAAGAUAAGGAUCCGUUGAAGAUGAAAUCGUGGUGUUUUUCCAAAUUUUUUCAAUCCUAAUGGUUGGUUAAUAAAAUAAGCUCAGUGAAUAUACAAGGCGAUAGUUUAUUAUAAGACUUGUAGUAGGCCCAAGCCCAAAGGCGGUUUAAGGCCCAUAAUUGUAAACCGCCAUGUAUAAGAAAGACUUGUAAAGAAAGGCAUGUAAGAGAAGUCACCGAGCCGAACACGUUAUAUGAGCCGGCCGGGACUCUGUAGGCUGCCAGGCGUCAACCCAUGUAUAUAAGGGGAUGACCCGGUGGCUGCUUAGGACAAGUAACAUCAAAUCAAGAGCCAUGCAUAGCGUAUUUGCUCCCUGAUCAUCGAAACCUAGCAAUAUCACAUCAACUGGACUAGGCUUUACCUUCACCGUAAGGGGCCGAACCAGUAUAAACCUUUCGUGUCCUUUGUCCCGAUUAACCCCUUUAAGCUUCCUAGUUGCGAUGGCUCCACGGCUAAGUCCUUUCACUAGGACAUCAUCCGUGACAAUUCCACGACAACUCUGGUGCGGAUCUUACUAUGGUUGACCUACGAGGUUCAGCGGUAACUUGAUCUGAAGUUUCAUGAUCAUCAUCAUUAGCUUCCUCACUAAUUGGUGUAGGAAUCACUGGAACUAAUUUCUGUGAUGAACUACUUACCAAUUCGGGAGCAGGUACAAUUGCCUCAUCAAGUUCUACUUUCCUCCCACUCACUUCUUUCGAGAGAAAGUCCUUCUCUAGAAAGGAUCCUUUCUUAGCAACGAAUAUAUUGCCUUCGGAUCUGUGAUAGAAGGUGUACCCAACAGUCUCCUUUGGGUAUCCUAUGAAGACACAUUUCUAUGAUUUGGGUUCGAGCUUAUCAGGUUGAAGCUUUUUCACAUAAGCAUCACAGCCCCAAACUUUAAGAAACGACAACUUAGGUUUCUUGCCAAACCACAGUUCAUAUGGUAUCAUCUCAACGGAUUUAGAUGGUGCCCUAUUUAAAGUGAAUGCAGUCUGAAAGUGCGUUAUAUCGACUAGAGGGGGGGUGAAUAGGCGAUUUUUAUGAAAGUCUUCAAAACAUGGAAGUUUCGAAGACAAACGAUAGAAAUAAACCUAUUACCAUGCAGUGGAAGUUAGACUACACUAGAUAAACCGUAGUCAUGUAUUCAAUGAAGUGAAAGGACAAUGACUAAUAGUAGCUAGGUAGUAAGGAUCAGGCAGGAAGAUAUUAAGAAGCCAAACGGAUCACACAGUCACUCAGUGAAGACAAAAGAUAGAGAAAACAUACAAUGACUUCACACAGAGUAACAGUAAGUAAAGAGAAGGGAAGGAUGAAACCAGUGACUCGUUGAAGACAAAGAUUUGUUGGACCAGUUCCAGUUGCUGUGACAACUGUACGUCUGGUUAGGGCGGCUAGGUAUUUAAACCAAAGGACACACAGUCCCGGACACCCAGUCCUGAACACGCAGCUCAGGACAUCCAGUCCUCACCGUAUUCCCCUUGAGCUAAGGUCACACAGACCUCGCCCAAUCACUCUGGUAAGUCUUCAAGGUAGACUCCCAAACCUUCACAGACUUCGUUCACCGGCAAUCCACAAUGUCUCUUGGAUGCUCAGAACGCGAUGCCUAACCAGCUGGAGGAUGCACAGUCCUCAAGUGUAAUAAGUCUUCAGAUCACUCAGACAAGAAGACUUAAGUGAUGCCUAAUUCUCUUUCGCUCUGGGUGGUUAGGGCUUUAUCCUCGCAAGGAAUUCUCUCUCAAAGGCUUCGAGGUGGGUUGCUCUCAAACGACAAAAGCCGUACUUUGAAUCUGAGUAGCCAACCGUUUAUGGUUGUAGGGGGUGGGCUAUUUAUAGCCACUAGGCAACCCGACCUGAUUUGUCCGAAAUGACCCUGGGUCACUAAGGAACUAACAUGUGUUCCAACGGUCAAAUUUCAAACUCACACGGAAACUUUACUUGGGCUACAAGCAAAGCUGACUUGUCCGACUCUGGACAAGAUUUUCUCUCAUAGUCUUCACUCGAAGACAUAGGUUUUUGUUUAAGCAUCACUUUAGUCAUUCUGACUGGCUCUCUUGGACCCCACUUAACAGUAUGUUGGUUCCUAUGACUCAACACAGAAGAAAAAGAACUACGAAAAAUCUAAGUGUUCAAGCUCCAUAGGCUUCAUGCGGUGUCUUCUCUUGUCAUAGUCUUCAAUGUGAAUAUCUUCAUAUACCACCUUUGACAUCAAUGUCUUCAUACACUUUUAGGGGUCAUCUCUGGUGGGAAAACCGAAUCAAUGAGGUACUUCUACCUGUGUUAUCCUGCAAUUCUCACAAACACAUUAGUCCCUCAACUAGGUUUGUCGUCAAUACUCCAAAACCAACUAGGGGUGGCACUAGAUGCACUUACAAUCUCCCCCCUUUUGGUGAUUGAUGACAAACUAGUUGAAGUUUUCAACGGGGAAUAUAAUGUGUGAAAUUGUAAAGGAUAAGGAAUUGUCUUCAUAAGUUACAAGGGCUCCCCCUGAAGAUGUGCAUAUAAGUAAUUUGCUUUUGGAAUGCAAAUGCACAUGGCAGGUUGUGCUUGUGGAGAUCCACUUCAACUUAUGAUGACAAUCCACUAUGCAUGUGAAAGUAUGUGAAGAUAAUGACAUGCAUAAUGGAAAAUGGAUGUCUGCAGAAUGAUCUAAGUGCGGAAUCUAUCAUCGCACAUGCGGAAUUUAUCAUCACAACACAAGGUAGCAAAUAGGUAGCAGACGACCAUCAAGUUUAAGUGUUACAACUCAAAGAACCAAAUGUUUCAAAACGAGAGUUGUAAGCACGAAGCAAAAUAUAAAACACCCGCCCAUAUGGACCCAUUUGAAGACUAUCAAACUCAUAUGCUUCUCCCCCUUUUGACAGUAAGGACCAAAAAGGUUUGAAGACAUAGAGCCUCUACUCGUUCCCAUGAGGAGUAGGUGAAGCAGCAGGAUCGUUGAUGGUGUUUGGCAGUGCAGACGAGCUUGGAGCAGUGUCGACGUGUGCUGAAGGAGGCGGCGAAGAAGUAGCAUCGUCUUCAUCCUCGAUCACUCUGGCAUUCACGGUUGCAGUAGAGGAAGAGAACUCAGGGUCUUCAAGUGAUGGAGUUCGUCGCAGCACAGCCCUGCGAGGAGGUGUGGAGUCAAACUUGAAGCGCUCAGUGAAGCCAUCCUCUUGCAGAUCAUCUUCAGAACACAGCAGCGUCAGCCCUUUCCAUGUGCGUCGAGAUGUUUCAUGAGCAACAAAGGCGUUCUUGGUGGCAAGAUUGUGAAUGCGAUUAACAUCCACCAAGAGGCUUUGCAUUUGACGCUUUAGCCAGUCAUGAUGCCUAUCCUGUUUCUGAUGAAGGGCCACCAGAAGCUCUCGGUCAUUGAGGACACGAGUGCGCUUCUUGGGUCGUUGAGCAAUGGUGCUAUCAGUGGCUUCAGUAAGAGCAGGAUGCGGGGCACGGGUAGUGCCAGCCAAAGGAUACACACGUGUUACUGCUUCAAUGCCUUCAACGUUCCGAGAGAAACUUUGAUGCUCUGCAUUCUGAAGACUUAGAGGUUCCUUGGCAGGCUCAGGAUAUAUGGCUUCAAUAGACAUAUCCACAUCAGGCAAAAAGAUCCGAUGAUUGCGGGCAGAUGGCUGAUAUGAGAUAGCAGAGUGAAGUUUGAUCAGCCGCAUCACCCAAGGGGCGUAGAACUUCAACCCAAAUAGAUCAGAGCCAGAUGCAGCAAGUUGGCGAAUGAAGAAAUCCUAUGUAUUGAAGCAUUUUCCAUGAAGAAUAUAGAAGACCAAAGUCUUCAUUGCACCUUCCAGCUGGGCAUGGGGAGAAUGUCCUUUGAUUGGCCAGAGAGUUCGCCUUAUGAUAUGAUAAAUGGUCCUUGGCAGAUACUCAAGGUCUUCAACAAAGAACUCCGUGGGAUAAGCAGCAUCUUGGGGCAAUGGCUUCAUCAUACUGAGCAUCUGACUCAUAUUGGGUUCAGUCUUCUGAAAGAUGCUCUCAACAGCUUCAAUGUGAAGCUGACAGCCAUGCUCAUAGAGAUCGCCAGGAGUGGGCAAGCCAGUGAGCUCAAUGAUGUCAAAGACUUUGGCUUCGUGAUGAACAUUUCCAGUCAUCCACUCUAGGACCCAAGUCUUUGGAUCUCUGUUAUACCCGCGGAUGUGAAGUGUGGCAUAGAACUGGAGCAGCAACUCUUCAUUCCAAUGCUCUUGGUCAGUGACGAAUGGUAGCAGCCCAACUUCAUUGAAGCAAUCCAAAGCUUCUUCCAGACAGGCAGACCAGCUAUAGCUUCAAUGUCAAGGCGCUUGUGUGGGAAGAUGCGACCUUUGUUGUAAAGAAUGCAUGAGUAAUAGCUUCGCUGCUGAUAGCUCCAGAACCGAUCAGAUGAUAUUCUUUCCCUGGAGUAGGGGUUCCUGGAGCUAUUGAAGAAUGUGUUGUCUGCUCUGAAGCCAUUGAUGUUAAAGGAGCCAGGUGCUAAUGCAGGACCUGGGAACCUGGGCAAUCUUGGGAUUGGCUUCUGGACCUGAGGCCUGUGCUCAACAUGAUAGUCGAAUUGGGGACCGGCAGCAGACGCAGGAACAGGAGCAGCAGGAUUAGUGGCUUCGCUGACUUCUGGUGCUGUUGGGGGUGAGGGCUCCACAUUAGCUUCAGCCAUGACGGUGUCAGUGGCUUCAGUGGUGUUGGUGGUGGCAGCCUCUAGAUUUUCAACCUCCACUUGACGAGCUGGAGGGUCGGUCAUGAUCACGUUCUCCUCGAGAACCGCUUCUUGGUGGGGCAGGGGAGUAGCAGCUUGUGGAACUUCUUCUUCCGUGGCUGAUGCAGCUAGAUUGUCUUCAGCAGAGACUUGAGGCCUUGGACCUUUGUGAAGCCUGCGCAACGCGGGCGAUGCCUGUGGAGCUGGAGUGGGCUGGGCCUCAUAGUCUUCUUCCUCUUGUUGGCGAUCCGCCCAUGAAGCAUCCUGUGCCAUUGGCGUCAGUGGACGACCAAUGCUGAUGAGUUCGUUGUUUUCAAGCUGAGGAAGAACUGCACCAUCUUCUACAUGGUCAUGUUGACCAAUGUCUUCAGCAGUGAUGGGAUCAGCUGUUGGAAAGUCUUUAGCUUUAUGAGCCUCUGUGGAAGCAGGCUCAUGGAUUGUCAGUUGGCGUUCAGCUUCAGGAUAGACCAUUGAAAUAGGUUCAACUAUCAAAGGCUCUGUGGGAGCAGCCUGUUCCUUCUUGGUCUUUCGUUUCUUCUUGGAGGGGGCAGUAGGAGAGGCUUCAGGAUGUUUCCUCUUCCUGGCUUCAGCCUCAGCAGUCCUUGUCUUCUUGAGCUCUGAAGCGGUUGACCGGCUUUUUGGCUUCAAGCCAGUCAGUCUAGUUGGGAAGACAAUCGGAACUGCUUCCUGCCUUGGUGCGUCGGAUUCAGCCGUAGCAGUCUUCUUCUUCUUCUUUGCGGCCAUCCUAGGGUCAAUGCCAGGACGCCCAAGGGCCUUGCGCUUCUCAGCCUCAUUGUAGGCUUGCACACAUCUGUCAGCCAGAGCCUUCAUGCGCUCACGUGAAUCCCGAGCUUCUGCACAUUUCUUCAGAAAGGCUUCCUUGAGCUCGUGCAUCAUGAUCUUGAAGUUCUUCACUUCUUGCACACUGAGCUUGGCCAUAUGCUUCUUGAACUGAGCCUUUUCAUAGUCAAUCUUCUGCUUUAGUUCAACAACGUGUCGGGCGAUGGCUAGCUCUGAAGCAAUGGCGCCUUGGAAGGCGACACUGAGGCCAAUGGGUAGCUGCAGAUCAUCAAAGCUGAUGUUUGGCAUAUCAAACCACUCGUCAAUGAAGUUGUGGAUGAUGGUUACAUCAAAGAGAGGCAGAUCAUUGAAGAUUUCGGCUUCUUCUUUGCUCUUGAUGAGUUGCUCAAGAGCGUCAUCUGCAAGAUCUUCAUCACUUGACAGAUCAAUGUCAUCAUUGCGCAGAAUGGCAGCAGCUGUUAGCUCUUGGCCGGUGUGUGGCAGAGGCAUCUUGGCCUUCUAGGGCUUGGAGAUGCGUGAUAAAUCUUCGGACUGCACACUGUCUUCAGGAGAUGCAGUUGCCAGUGGCUUCGCCCUUGAGAUUUUUGGUGAAGGGGCAGGCUUUGAAGCUUUGGGCUUCUUCAACUUCUUUGGUGUUGGCGCUGCAGGCGCUUCAUCUGAUUCAGCGUUAGCUGCAGGCUCAUUCACGGUUGUCCCUUGAACCAAGAUAUGGGUGAUGAGUCCUGCAAGGUUGUAGAAAGGACCGACGACAUUGGGUUCCGCAUCGCGUGUGCCGUCAGCCCUUGGAGCAGAAGGACCAGGGUUGAAGUCUAAUCCAAAAGACUUCUUGUUCUGCUUUGCUGAGUUCUUGGCAAACUGGAAGUUGCGCUUGAAUAGAUUGUCGUCACGGCACCAUAGUAGUGACGAUGGGUGUGCAUCUGCAGGCUGUGGCCCACGCACCAUGCAGGGAUAGAAGCCUUGUUCAAUGGCUUCUUCUCUGGACCUGGGUUGAAGAUUCUUGUAUAGGAUGUCUCCCCAUGGUCUCUUGAUGGCAUUUCUCUCAGCAUAUUCCUGGGUCACAAACCGGUAUUUGAACCAUUGUUCUGCCCAAUAUCUUCGAAUCCAUUGGAUUCGGGUCUUGCGCUGAUUAUAAUCCUGUUCAGGAUCUGUCUUGUAAAGCUCUGAGAGGUCAUCAGGAAAAUCUCUUGAUGUCCCCCCACGACGCUGUCUGCCACCCUUCCUUACUGAUUUCUCUGCAGCCAUGAACUUCAAACUGAAAGGCUUCAAAACGUUCAAAGGCUUCAAAGGUUUUCGCUUGCUGGACAAACAGGAACUGGCUUCGGGAGAAUUUAUAUGAUGCUGUAAGAAUUCUGCAAAUGAAUGCAGACUAUGAGAACCAAGGGAUUCUCCCAUGGACAUGUACCUGUGACAACAUUAAGGUGCAAGGGAAGGGGAAGAGGUCAUAUGCAUUCUCAGGAGAUUUUGAAGAUAAAUCAGUUUAGAAGACAUUGACCUCAUCGUGCGAAGACAUUCACUCAUAGAUAAGGAGUUGGUUCCAGAUUUGUACGAAUCCAGUGAUCAGUACAAGUGAGGAAUCUAACUACUUGUGAAGCAUAAGUGAAUAUACUAGGCAUGUUAUGAGAUGCAGUAGGAAAGAGAUCCAACUUGUGUGAAUAGAAACUUCUUAUGGUAGAAAGUGACAAAGCCAUAGGAUCAAAAGGGGCCGUAAAAAGAAGUUUUAUUUACCACACUUGGAACUGCUAGAUGGAGUGGAAGAGGAGGCCGAGCAGUUCGAUCUUCUGUGCCCUAACUUGGCGACGAAGGACACCUACGGCGACGGCGGAGAGGACGAUGUCCGCGGUCGGUGUGAAGACGGCGUCGGAGAGGUUGCGGCAGUGAAGCGCUUCGUCGCCGGCGUCGUCGAGGGCUAGCAGUGGCACUAGGGUUCGUGCGAGGGUGGAAGAAGAGAUGAUGACCGCUGUGAAGGGUGUAUUUAUAGGUACAGGGGCGGCACUGCGUUAUUACACAGGUGCCCCUGGCGAUUCACAUCUGAGGAACACGUGGCCAUCAUGCAGUAUAUUGGGGUUUGUUCCACGUCUCACGCACGCCUAGAUUGUCGGGUGGUCGUUCCUACUUCUCCGGGUUUCAUGUGGAGGAAUGGGCAUUGAAAACGGACUUAAUGUUUGUCUCUGUAUGUUCUGCUGACAAGGACGCAGAGAAGACAUUCGACAGUUUCAAUAGAAUGCAUAUGAUUUGGAGAGAUAGAGUUUGAGAUAGAGAGCACAGAGAGGUUAGGGUCCGAUCACAUUCACUUAGAUCAAAAGAUUCAACAAGAAGACAUAGCUAUAAGUGAAUACUGUAGAGGACAGAACACUAGUAUAUAUAUAUAUAUAUAAUCAACAUAGUGAAGAUAAUCAUGAAAACAUGUUGAGAUUGAAACCAAACCAAAUGUGAAGUCAUAGCAAGGUAAUGCCAUGAGUGAAACACUUCAAAUAGAACAUUUGGUGGUGGCGUUACCCACCGUAUAGGAAGUAUUAGACCCAGACACGGCGCACAAUUAUCGUGGCGCUCCGAAGUCAAAUUCCACAUUAAUGUAUUCACACUUAGAAUGUAUGUCUUCAUUGAUUGAAGAUAUACUUUACUUCGUGUGUUGCACAUCUAAGUCAUCAAUAUGCAUAAGGGUUAGGAUGUGUGCCUGAUCACAGGACAUUUGAGGAUUCCAGGAUAUUUAGCUCACAUCGUAACUUGCAAAAUCUCUUCUCAUCCAAGGGCUUGGUGAAGAUAUCUGCCAAUUGCUCUUCAGUGUUGACGUGUAUGAUAUCAAUAUCUUCCUUCACAACAUGAUCUCUGAGAAAGUGAUGACGAAUUUCAAUGUGCUUUGUCUUCGAGUGCUGAACAGGGUUGUUGGCAAUCUUGAUGGCGCUUUCGUUGUCACAGUAGAGUGGCACUUGCUUCAGAUGAAUGCCAUAGUCCUUGAGGGUUUGCUUCAUCCACAGAAGCUGAGCGCAGCAAGAUCCAGCAGCAAUGUAUUCAGAUUCAGCAGUGGAGAGAGAUACACAGUUCUGCUUCUUUGAAGACCAACAUACAGGUGAUCGUCCCAGAAAAUGACAUGUGCCUGAUGUAGACUUGCGAUCCACCUUGUCACCAGCAUAAUCAGCAUCCGAGAAUCCAACCAGAUCAAACUCUGAGCCCUUUGGAUACCAUAAUCCUAGAGUUGGGGUGUGAGCCAAAUAUCGAAGAAUUCGCUUCACAGCUAGGUGAUGCGACUCCUUUGGUGCCGCUUGAAAUCGAGCACACAUGCAAACACUAAGCAUAAUAUCUGGCCUAGAUGCACAUAGAUAAAGCAAAGAACCAAUCAUGGAGCGGUAUACCUUUUGAUCGAACUCUUUACCAUUGUCGUCAGGACCCAGAUGAUGCUUGGCUGGUAUUGGCGUCGUGAACCCUUUGCAGUCUUGCAUACCGAACUUCUUAAGGCAAUCCUUGAGAUGCUUCUCUUGAGAUAUGAAGAUGCCGUUGCGUUGCUGUCGUAUUUGAAUACCGAGGAAAAACUUCAGCUCUCCAUCAUGGACAUCUGAUAUUGCUCUUGCAUCAUAUAUCCAAACUCUUCACUGUACUUCUGAUUGGUGCAGCCGAAGAUAAUGUCAUCCACAUAUAUUUGGCACACAAACAGUUAACCAUCAUAUGUCUUCGUGAAGAGAGUGGGGUCGAGGGAACCAGGUAUGAAGCCUUUGCUCUUCAGGAAGUAUUUGAGUGUGUCAUACCAGGCCCGAGGGGCUUGUUUGAGGCCAUAUAGUGCCUUGUUGAGCUUGUAUACCGUAUCAGGAUGUUUUAGAUCUUCAGAGCCAGGUGGUUGUGCAACAUACACUUCUUCUUCAAUCUUUCCAUUGAGAAAGGCGCUCUUCACAUCCAUUUGAUAAAGAAGUAUGUUGUGAUGAUUUGCAUAGGCCAGCAGUAUGCGUAUGGCUUCAAGUCUAGCCACAGGAGCAAAUGUUUCAUUGAAGUCAAUGCCUUCCACUUGAGUAUAUCCUUGAGCAACUAGACGAGCUUUGUUUCUGACAACUUGACCAUGCUCAUCUUGCUUGUUGCGGUAUAUCCAUUUUGUGCCUAUUAUGUUGUGCUUCCGAGGAUCAGGACGCUUAACCAGUUCCCAUACAUUAUUCAGCUCAAACCGUUGAAGCUCUUCUUGCAUAGCUUGAAUCCAUUCAGGUUCCAUGAAGGCUUCUUCCACUUUCUUGGGUUCUGUUAUUGAGACGAAUGCGAAGUGCCCACAGAAAUUUGCCAGCUGGGUUGCCCUUGAUCGACUGAGCGGACCAGGUGCAUUGAUGCUGUCAAUUAUUCUCUCAAUUUGCACUUCAUUGGCAACACGAGGAUGUACAGGGCGAAGACUUUGCUCUUGCUGAUCAUUGUCGUUGUUGGAGGGAUUGUCUUCAGGUUGAGCAUUGUCUUCAGGUUGAUCUGGUGCAGAGAUGAUGAGUUCCUCUUCAGGAUGAGCUUUAGAAGGUAUGAUUUCUCCAGUUCCCAUUAGCUUGAUUGAUUCACUGGAUGGAACUUCAUCUAGCACAUUUGGCAGGUGCUCUCUUUGUGAACCGUUAGUCUCAUCGAACCGCACAUCCACGGUUUCAACCACUUUAUAAUGAAAGAGGUUGAAGACUCUGUAGGAGUGCGAAUCCUUUCCAUAUCCAAGCAUAAAACCCUCAUGUGCUUUUGGGGCAAACUUUGAAGUGUGAUGUGGGUCCUUGAUCCAGCACCUUGCGCCAAAUACUCUGAAGUAACUGGCAUUUGGCUUCUUGCCAGUGAGGAGCUCAUACGAUGUCUUGUUCAGAAGCUUGUGAAGAUAAACACGAUUGAUUGUAUGGCAUGCAGUAUCAAUGGCUUCAGGCCAGAAUUUUCUUGGAGUCUUGUAUUCAUCUAGCAUUGUUCUGGCCAUCUCAAUGAGUGUUCUGUUCUUGCAUUCGACGACGCCAUUCUGCUGUGGCGUGUACGGGGCUGAGAAUUCAUGUGUGAUGCCCAAGGUAUCAAGAUAUGUAUCAAGGCCAGUGUUCUUGAAUUCAGUGCCAUUGUCACUUUUGAUGUGCUUUAUCUUGGCACCAUAGUUGUUCAUUGCUCGAUUGGCGAAGCGUUUGAAGACAUCCUGCACUUCAGUCUUGUAAAGGAUUAUAUGCACCCAAGUGUAUCUAGAAUAAUCAUCAAUAAUGAAGAAGCCAUAGAGACAAGCAGUAGUAGUAAGAGUUGAGUAAUGAGUGGGACCGAAAAGAUCCAUGUGAAGCAGCUCGAAGGGUCGAGUAGUAGUCAUGAUUGUCUUCGAGGGAUGCUUGGCCCUCGUCAUCUUUCCUGCUUCACAGGCACCGCAUAAGUGAUCUUUCUUGAACUUGACGCCCUCAAUGCCUAUGACAUGCUUCUUCUUUGCCAGGGUGUGGAGGUUCCUCAUGCCAGCAUGCCCAAGCCUCCGAUGCCAGAGCCAGCAUUCUGAAGCUUUUGCUAGAAGACAUACGGCAAGUUGUGGUCCUGCUGAGAAAUCUACCACGUACAGAUCGUCUUUCCGAUACCCUUCAAACACUAGAGACUUGUCAGAUUCCAUUAGAACAAGGCAACAAUAUUUUCCAAAUAUUACGAUCAUGUUCAAAUCGCAUAGCAUUGAGACAGACAUUAAGUUGAAGCCAAGGGAUUCAACAAGCAUGACUUUAUCCAUGUGUUGAUCCUUUGAGAUUGCAACUCUACCUAGACCCAAUACCUUACUUUUACCAGUGUCAGCAAAUGUGAUGUGGCUCUUGUCGGAAGGACGUAAGGUUGAGUCCAUCAGAAGGCUUCUUUUGCCAGUCAUGUGAUUUGUACACCCACUAUCAGUAAUCCAUUCUGUAUACGCUGGUGUCGUACCCUACAGUGCAGUUAGGGGGAUAGGCUUCACGAAGAGAGUUGUGAAGCAAAAACAUUUGACGAACCAGUGGGUUAUGAAAGCUUAGAUCCAGAUUAGUACUGAUAGGGAGAGUAGCAAGCGAUUCAGGAACGAAGUACAUAGUAAGACCAUUCGGCAUUUGAUCUUGCGCCCUACAAGAUGUUUAAGGUCCCCAGCGAUAGCGUCAGAAGAUUUUGGUUUUCUGCUGGAGACCUUUCCCUGCAAAAGAGAGUUAAGCCUUCUUAACAACCCACAUCUUCAAGGGUGGCUUAGAAGCGAUAAGUCUAAGUGCAGAGUCUGAAAACUUUGGCUUUGGGGCUCUAGCAAAAAGUCUUGCAGGUGGACAAUAAUACUCAUAAGAAUAAGCAGAAUAGUUUUUGGUCUUAUGAACAUGGCGGUUCGAUGAACCGCGCUCAUAUUCAUAGGCCUGAGUAUGGUUUCCCUGCAAAACAUUUGCAUUAGUCCGACUCAGGUGAGUCCUCUGUCUGUAUGAAGCCUUUGGGCCAUAUGAAGCCUGUGGUCUGGGGUUUGUCUUCUUCAUCUAUGGUGUCAUGAUGACAUUCACAGGAAGAUUUUCCAAACACCUUUUGGGCACCCAGACCUUCUUCAUAGGCGGUCCAUUCCUGCAGUUAGUACCAAUGUACCUGGCAAAAACUUCACCAUUCUGAUUCUUAAAUAGUUUAUAGUUUGCAUCAAAGGAUUCAUCAAUGACAAUGGGGUUAGCACAAGUGAAGCCAGAUAGACUGGAUGGAUUUGCUGAAGGUUCCUUUGCAGCAACCCAUGUGGUUUUGGGAUACUGCUCGGGUUUCUAGUAAGAGCCAUCAGCAUUCAUUUUCCUUAUGAACCCAACACCCUCUUUCCUCGGGUUUCGGUUCAGAAUCUGCCUUUUGAGGACAUCACAUAGUGUCUGAUGCCCUUUAAGACUUUUGUACAUCCCUGUUUCAAGCAAUGUCUUCAACCUAGCAUUCUCAUCAGCAAUCGCAGUAGUAUCCUCAGUAGAGGGGUUAGUUACCACAUCAACAGUUGAAGAUAUUGCAACAGUAGCAGUAGUAGAACAUUCAGCAACAGAAGCAGCAUUAUCACGCUCAAUGCAUUUAAGACAUGGUGGUUCAAAUCCUUCCUGAGCGGAACUGAUCUGUUCGGCGCGAAGUGACUCGUUUUCCUUUUGAAGAUCUUCAUGAGCCGCUCUCAAUUUCUCAAGAUCUUGCUUCCUUUGAAGAUAAUCAUAGGAAAGCUUUUCAUGAGUUGUUGAGAGCGUUUCAUGACAACUUUCAAGUUCCUCAUAUUUAACGUGAAGAUUUUUUAUGUCUUGAAUUAAGGAUUCAGAUCGAGUCAUUUCAACGCCCAACAAAUCAUCGCUUUUGUCUAACAGUUUUUGAAUAUGUUCCAUGGCUUUCUGUUGUUCAGUUGCAAUUUUAGCAAGUGUUUUGUAGCUGGGUCUUGAAUCACAAUCAGAGUCAUCAUCACUAGAUGUUUGAUAGUGAGUAGUGCGUGUGUUUACCUUGGCACCGUGUGCCAUGAAGCAGUAGGUAGGAGCAGAGUCGUCCUUGUCAUUUGCAUCGGCGUCGGUGGUGAAGUCAUUGUCUUCAGUGUUGAAGAUGGACUUGGCAACGUAUGCUGUAGCCAGACUUGCAACACCAGAAUCGGACUCCUCCUCAGACUCCACCUCCGCCUCCUCAGACGCGGACUCCUCCUCUGAAUCCAUUUCCUUGCCAACAAACGCACGUGCCUUGCCAGAUGAGCUCUUCUUGUGUGAUGAAGACUUUGAGGAAGACUUGGAAGAAGACUUUGAGUAUUUCUUCUUCUUCUUGUCGUCAGAGUCAUAUUCCUUGCUCUUCUUCUUCUUUCUAUUCUCAUUGUCCCACUGCGGACACUCAGAGAUGAAGUGGCUAGUUUUCUUGCACUUGUGACAUGUUUUCUUCUUGUAGUCAUGAGCAGAAGCUUCAUCAUUCCUUGAGCUUGAUCGUGAAGACUUUCUGAAGCCUUUCUUCUUGGGGAAUCUUUGGAACUUCUUUACAAGCAUAGCAAGUUCCUUUCCAAUGUCUUCAGGAUCGUCAGAACUGCUGUCAGAUUCUUCUUCAGAUGAGGAGACAACUUUUGCCUUCAGGGCACGAGUUCGCCCAUAGUUUGGACCGUAGAUAUCUCUUUUCUCAGAAAGCUGAAACUCAUGUGUGUUGAGCCUCUCAAGUAUGUCGGACGGAUCGAGUAUCUUGAAAUCAGGUCGUUCUUGAAUCAUCAGGGCUAGGGUGUCAAACAAACUGUCAAGUGAUCUCAGUAGUGUCUUGACGACUUCAUGCUUGGUGAUCUCAGUGGCGCCGAGCGCUUGAAGCUCAUUUGUGAUGUCAGUGAGUCGGUCAAAUGUGAGCUGGACAUUCUCAUUGUCAUUUCGCUUGAAGCGGUUAAAGAGGUUGCGAAGAACGCUGAUUCUCUGAUCUCUCUGGGUUGAGACGCCUUCGUUGACCUUGGAGAGCUAGUCCCAGACCAGCUUCGAUGUUUCCAAAGUGCUCACACGGCCAUACUGUCCUUUGGUCAGAUGACCACAGAUAAUGUUCUUGGCAGUAGAGUCCAGUUGAACGAACUUCUUGACAUCAGCAACAGUGACACCUUCUCCAGCCUUGGGAACGCCGUUCUUGACGACAUACCAUAGGUCGACGUCAAUGGCUUCAAGAUGCAUGCGCAUCUUAUUCUUCCAGUAGGGAUAUUCAGUUCCAUCGAAGACGGGGCACGCAACGGAGACUUUAAUUAUCCCUGCAGUCGACAUAGCUAAAACUCCAGGUGGUUAAACCGAAUCACACAGAACAAGGGAGCACCUUGCUCUCAUACCAAUUGAAAGUGCAUUAUAUCGACUAGAGGGGGUGACUAGGCGAUUUUUAUGAAAGUCUUAAAAACAUGGAAGUUUCGAAGACAAAUGAUAGAAAUAAACCUAUUACCAUGCAGCGGAAGUUAGACUACACUAGAUAAACCAUAGUCAUGUAUUCAAUGAAGUGAAAGGACAAUGACUAAUAGUAGCUAGGUAGUAAGGAUCAGGCAGGAAGAUAUUAAGAAGCCAAACGGAUCACACAGUCACUCAGUGAAGACAAAAGAUAGAGCAAACAUACAAUGACUUCACACAGAGUAACAGUAAGUAAAGAGAAGGGAAGGAUGAAACCAGUGACUCGUUGAAGACAAAUAUUUGUUGGACCAGUUCCAGUUGCUGUGACAACUGUACGUCUGGUUAGGGCGGCUAGGUAUUUAAACCAAAGGACACAUAGUCCCGGACACCCAGUCCUGAACACGCAGCUCAGGACACCCAGUCCUCACAGUAUUCCCCUUGAGCUAAGGUCACACAGACCUCGCCCAAUCACUCUGGUAAGUCUUCAAGGUAGACUCCCAAACCUUCACAGACUUCGUUCACCGGCAAUCCACAAUGUCUCUUGGAUGCUAUAACGCGACGCCUAACUGGCUGGAGGAUGCACAGUCCUCAAGUGUAAUAAGUCUUCAUAUCACUCAGACAAGAAGACUUAAGUGAUGCCUAAUUCUCUUUGGCUCUGGGUGGUUAGGGCUUUAUCCUCGCAAGGAAUUCUCUCUCAAAGGCUUCGAGGUGGGUUGCUCUCAAACGACAAAAGCCGUACUCUGAAUCCGAGCAGCCAACCGUUUAUGGUUGUAGGGGGUGGGCUAUUUAUAGCCACUAGGCAACCCGACAUGAUUUGUCCGAAAUGACCCUGGGUCACUAAGGAACUGACACGUGUUCCAACGGUCAGAUUUCAAACUCACACGGCAACUUUACUUGGGCUACAAGCAAAGCUGACUUGUCCGACUCUGGACAAGAUUUGCUCUCAUAGUCUUCACUCGAAGACAUAGGUUUUUGUUUAAGCAUCACUUCAGUCAUUCUGACUGGUUCUCUUGGACCCCACUUAACAGUGCGGUGGUUCCUAUGACUCAACACAGAAGAAAAAGAACUACGAAAGAUCUAAGUCUUCGAGCUCCAUAGGCUUCAUGCAGUGUCUUCUCUUGUCAUAGUCUUCAAUGUGAAUAUCUUCAUAUACCACCUUUGACAUCAAUGUCUUCAUACAUUUUUAGGGGUCAUCUCUGGUGGGAAAACCAAAUCAAUGAGGUACUUCUACCUGUGUUAUCCUGCAAUUCUCAUAAACACAUUAGUCCCUCAACUAGGUUUGUCGUCAAUACUCCAAAACCAACUAGGGGUGGCACUAGAUGCACUUACACAGUCGUCUCUAAAGCAUAACCCCAAAAUGAUAGCAGUAAAUUAGUAAGAGACAUCAUAGAUCGCACCAUAUCUAAUAAAGUGCGGUUACGAUGUUCGGACACACCAUUAUGUUGUGGUGUUCCGUGUGGCGUGAGUUGCGAAACUGUUCUGCAUUGUUUCAAAUGAAGACCAAACACGUAACUCAAAUAUUCACCUCCACGAUCAGAUUGUAGAAACUUUAUUUUCUUGUUACGAUAUUUUUCCUCUUCACUCUGAAUUUUUUUGAACUUUUCAAAUGUUUCAGACUUAUGUUUCAUCAAGUAGAUAUACCCAUAUCUGCUCAAAUCAUCUGUGAAGGUCAGAAAAUAACAAUACCCGCCGCGAGCCUCAACACUCAUCGGACCGCAUACAUCCGUAUGUAUUAUUUCCAACAAGUCUAUUGCUCACUCCAUUGUUCCGGAGAAUGGAGUCUUAGUCAUCUUGCCCAUGAGGCAUGGUUCGCAAGCAUCAAGUGAUUCAUAAUCAAGUGAUUCCAAAAGUCCAUCAGCAUGGAGUUUCUUCAUGCGCUUUACACCAAUAUGACCUAAACGGCAGUGCCACAAAUAAGUUGCACUAUCAUUAUUAACCUUGCAUCUUUUGGCUUCAAUAUUAUGAAUAUGUGUGUCACUAUUGUCGAGAUUCAAUAAAAAUAGAUCACUCAUCAAGGGUGCAUGACCAUAAAAGAUAUUACUCAUAUAAAUAGAACAACCAUUAUUCUCUGAUUUAAAUGAAUAUCCGUCUCGCAUCAAACAAGAUCCAGAUAUAAUGUUCAUGCUUAACGUUGGCACCAAAUAACAAUUAUUCAGGUCUAAAACUAAUCCCGAUGGUAGAUGUAGAGGUAGCAUGCUGACGGCGAUCACAUCGACUUUGGAACCAUUUCCCACGCGCAUCGUCACCUCGUCCUUAGCCAAUCUUCGCUUAAUCCGUAGCCCAUGUUUCGAGUUGCAAAUAUGAGCAACAGAACCAGUAUCAAAUACCUAGGCGCUACUACGAGCAUUAGUAAGGUACACAUUAAUAACAUGUAUAUCAAAUAUACCUUUCACUUUGCCAUCCUUCUUAUCCAUCAAAUACUUGGGGUAGUUCCGCUUCCAAUGACCAGUCCCUUUGUAGUAGAAGCAUUCAGUCUCCGGCUUAGGUCCAGACUUGGGCUUCUUCACUUGAGCAACAACUUGCUUGUCAUUCUUCUUGAAGUUCCCCUUCUUCCCUUUGCCCUUUUUCUUGAUACUGGUGGUCUUGUUGACCAUCAACACUUGAUGCUCCUUCUUGAUUUCUACCUCUACAGCCUUUAGCAUUGCGAAGAGCUCGGGAAUUGUCUUAUCCAUCCCUUGCAUAUUAUAGUUCAUCAUGAAGCUUUUGUAGCUUGGUGGCAGUGAUUGAAGAACUCUGUCAAUGACACUAUCAUCAGGAAGAUUAACUCCUAGUUGAGUCAAGUGGUUGUGGUACCUGGACAUUUUGAGUAUAUGUUCACUAACAAAACUAUUCUCCUCCAUCUUACAGCUGUAGAACUUAUUGGAGACUUCAUAUCUCUCAAUCCGGGCAUUUGCUUGAAAAUUUUACUUCGACUCCUGGAACAUCUCAUAUGCUCCAUGAUGUUCAAAACGUUGUUGAAGUCCCGAUUCUAAGCCGUAAAGCAUGGCACACUAAACUAUCGAGUAGUCAUCGGCUUUGCUCUACCAGACGUUCAUAAUGUCCGGUGUUGCUUGAUACGUCUCCGUCGUAUCUACUUUUCCAAACACUUUUGUCCUUGUUUUGGACUCUAACUUGCAUGAUUUGAAUGGAACUAACCCGGACUGACGCUGUUUUCAGCAGAAUUACCAUGGUGUUAUUUAUGUGUAGAAAUAAAAGUUCUCGGAAUGACCUGAAACUUCAGGGAACGUCUUUUUGGAAAUAAUAAAAAAUCCUUGCAAAAGAUGAAGACCAGGGGGCCCACACCCUAGCCACGAGGGUGGGGGCGCGCCUGCCCCCCUAGGCGCGACCCCUACCUUGUGGGCCCCCUGGAGCUCCUCCGACCUCAACUCCAACUCUAUAUAUUUGCUUUCAGGGAGAAAAAAAUUAGAGAGAAGGAUUCAUCGCGUUUUACAAUACAGAGCCGCCGCCAAGCCCUAAAACCUCUCAGGAGGGCUGAUCUGGAGUCCGUUCGGGGCUCCGGAGAGGGGAAUCCGUCGCCAUCGUCAUCAUCAACCUUCCUCCAUCACCAAUUUCAUGAUGCUCACCGCCGUGCGUGAGUAAUUCCAUCAUAGGCUUGCUGGACGGUGAUGGGUUGGAUGAUAUUUAUCAUGUAAUCGAGUUAGUUUUGUUAGGGUUUGAUCCCUAGUAUCCACUAUGUUGUGAGAUUGAUGUUGCUAUGACUUUGCUAUGCUUAAUGCUUGUCACUAGGGCCCGAGUGCCAUGAUUUCAGAUCUGAACCUAUUAUGUUUUCAUCAAUAUAUGAGUGUUCUUGAUCCUAUCUUGCAAGUCUAUAGUCACCUACUAUGUGUUAUGAUCUGGCAACCCCGAGGUGACAAUAAUAGGGACCACUCCCGGUGAUGACCGUAGUUUGAGGAGUUCAUGUAUUCAUUAUGUGUUAAUGCUUUGGUCUGGUACUCUAUUAAAAGGAGGCCUUAAUAUCCCUUAGUUUCCGCUAGGACCCCGCUGCCACGGGAGGGUAGGACAAAAGAUGUCAUGCAAGUUCUUUUCCAUAAGCACGUAUGACUAUAUUCGAAAUACAUGCCUACAUUACAUUGAUGAAUUGGAGCUAGUUUUGUGUCACCCUAGGUUAUGACUGUUACAUGAUGAACCGCAUCCGGCGUAAUUCUCUAUCACCGAUCCAUUGCCUACGAGCUUUCCAUAUAUUGUUCUUCACUUAUUUACUUUUCCGUUGCUAUUGCUAUCAUCACUACAAAAUACCAAAAACAUUAAUUUUGCUAUCGUUACCUUUUGCUACCGUUACCACUACUAUCAUAUUACGUUGCUACUAAACACUUUACUACAGAUAUUAAGUUUCUAGGUGUGGUUGAAUUGACAACUCAACUUUCAACUGCUAAUACUUGAUAAUAUUCUUUGGCUCCCCUUGUGUCGAAUCAAUAAAUUUGGGUUGAAUACUCUACCCUCGAAAACUGUUGCGAUCCCCUAUACUUGUGGGUUAUCAAGACUAUUUUCUGGCGUCGUUGCCGGGGAGCAUAGCUCUAUUCUUUGAGUCACUUGGGAUUUAUAUCUGUUUAUCAUUAUGAAGAACUUGAGAGAUCCAAAAACCAAGAUUUAUCUCUCAACUACGAGGGGAGGUAAGGAACUGCCAUCUAGCUCUGCACUUGAUUCACCUUCUAUUUUGAGUAAGCUUGCGACACCUAAACCUGCUUCUGCUAUUCAUUCUGAUAUGUCGCAUGUUAUUAAUGAUGCCACUUGUGCUAUGCAUGAUACUUAUGAUGAAACUACUUCUAUGCUUGAUACUACUGUGCCACUUGGUGAAUUUCUUGAUGAACAACUUGCUAGGGUUAGAGAGAAUGAAAUUAUUGAAACUGAUAAUAUAUAUAUAUAUAUUUGAAUAUAUACUGUAGGGUAAAACCCCCACAGCCCUUUAUUGCAGUCUCAAAAAACAAACUGUACAGUGAAAGAAAGAGAUGACAAGCCUAAACGAAAAGUUAAGAAGAACUUACAAUUACAUGAGGGAGUUAACUCAAUCUACAAGCCUAGACUUAGAGCUAUCCUUAAACCUAUGUGACAGGAGAAGAAUGUCAUGUACAAAACUGCCCCUCCAGGCAACAAAAGUAGCCCGUAGUCCCCUGAAAGUUCUUCCAUUUCUCAGAAUCCAUAUAUUCCAAGCAGCUGUGAGCAUAACUUCAAAGAAGAAAGGAUACCCAAAUCGCUGCCUUGCUUGAGAUAUACAUUGCUGAAUAGAAGAACCAUGUGACCAAUCGAUCUGCAGGUAUUUCCAAACCCUGGCACUGAAAUUACAACCAAAGAAUAGGUGAGCCCUGUCCUCCCAAACAAAGGCAUUACAGAUGACACAUAGAUGAUCAGCCGUAGGGGACCUCCGGUGGCUGCGGACCAGCACGUCCUUUGUGUUGAGUCUGUCAAAGAAUAGGAGCCAGCCAAAAACCUUAAUUUUCAUAGUACAUAUGCUCUGCCAAAGCCACCUGCAGGGUUUAAUAGUUGGGAGGUGUGUAUGCAUGAUGUCAUAGAAGCUCUUUGCAGAAAACUGUCCAGAUUUACCAGGCCAAAUCCAAACAUCAGGCAAUGUUGGAUCUCUCUGGAGAUUGAACAUCCUUCCUUCCAAGGAUUCCAAUUCUGCUGCUGCCUGCUGAGAAAUUGGCAGAUGAAACAUUGAGAACAAAUCCUGGGUUUGCAAAAACUCCCUGACAGAAACCUUAUCAUCCAAAACAAAAGAGAAAAGCCUUGGUAAUCUGAGGCUUAGUGGCCUUGAAGAGCCACCUACAUGGCAAGCAUCCAGCCAAAAGAGAGCAGAAUCACCCAUAUUAACUGGCACUGAAGCAAUUGACCUAUAAGUGUCAGCAAGCUUGAGAAUGUCCUUCCACCAAAAGGAGCCAGUUAGGACUGUUGCAUGGGGCACCACUCCAUCAUAAUAACUAUCCCAAAUCAACUGGACCCAAGGAAUCUGCUGUUUGUUGUAGAACUUAUGCAUUUGUUUGAGAAGCAGACCUUGAUUUUGAACAUUGAGGUUGAGAAUGCCAAGUCCUCCCUUAUCCUUUGGUCUGCAAACUAAAUCACAGGCAGCUAGGGAUUGCUUAGGCACAUCAGAAUUUCCUCUCCACAAACACUGCCUGAAAAUCCUAUCCAACUGUUUGAUAAUACCAGGUGGGAUAUGCAAGCUGCAGAGGAAGUAUAUGGGCAUUGAAGUAAGCACAGAUGUGAGAAAUUGUAACCUGGAUCCUUGGUUGAGCAUGGCAGAGCUAACAGACAGUCUUCUUUCAAGACUAUCCACUAAAGGCAUGAAAUCAAUGAUUCUAGGUCUUGUUGUACCAAGAGGCAAACCCAGAUAUGUGAAAGGUAACUGCUCCGGUUUACAUCCCAGGAUGGAAGACAACCUCUGUGCCUCUGUGGGAUCAACAUUUAGUGGCACCAUUGAAGACUUUCCAAAAUUUACCUUUAGGCCAGUAGACUGUUGGAAAAUAUGGAGCAUGUUCUUGAGAGCCACCAACUGGUCCUGUACUGCAGAAAGGAUAAUUAUUGUGUCAUCUGCAUACUGAAUGAUAGGAAAUUCAGGGUCCUAAGAUGGGAUUGGAAGUGUUAGAACUCCCUUAGCCAGCAUGUUAUUGACCAUUGUUUGAAGAAGAUCGGCAGCUAUGACAAAUAAAAGAGGGGAUAGGGGAUCCCCCUGCCUGACCCCACAUUUAUAUUUGAACUGUUUGCCAGGCACCCCAUUAAGCAAAACAGAUGAUGAUCCUGAGGAGAGAAUCUCUUUAAUCCAAGAAAUCCAUUUGGCAUCAAAACCUUUGUGCUGUAGAACUUGCAAGAUGAAGUCAUGCUCCACAGUGUCAAAAGCUUUGGCAAAAUCCAAUUUCAAAAUGAUGGUUGGCCUUUUGGAUUGAUUGCAUUGAUGUAUAUAUUCAAAAGCCCAAGCCAGGCAGUCCUGAAUGGCUCUGCUCUUCAAAAACCCAUAUUGAUUCUUAUGGAUGCAUUGCAGAAUGACCUUUUGAAGCCUAUUUCCCAAAAGCUUAGUAAGGAACUUGAGGCAUGUGUUAGUAAGAGAGAUUGGUCUAAAAUCCUCAAGUCCUUCAGGAGACAACAUCUUUGGAAUUAAGGUGAUAAGGGAUCCAUUAAUAUUUUCCAAAGAUAGCCUCCCAUCAUAAAACCCCUGAAUGAGAGCCAAGAAAUCCUUCUCAAUGAUGGGCCAACACUUCUUAACAAAAAGACCAUUAAAACCGUGAAAGUGAUGAUGAAGAUUCUCCCCCUAAUAAAUAUGAAUUGCCUGUUGUGCCUGAGGGCUAUGUUAUGGAUGAAGAAAUUGCUAAAGCUAUUUUUGUUUGCAAAGAUAGAUAUGAUCUUAAGAAGUUAUUAGCUAAAUGGAAGCAGCAAUCUCUUAAUGCUAGAAUGAAACCUGACCCUGCUUUUGCUACUUCACCUAUCUGUGUUACUGAUAAGGAUUAUGAAUUCUCUGUUGAUCCUGAUAUAAUUACUUUGGUUGAAUCUGAUCCUUUUCAUGGCUAUGAGUCUAAAACUGUUGUGGCACAUCUUACUAAAUUAAAUGAUAUAGCCACCCUAUUCACUAAUGAUGAGAGAACUCGUUACUUUUAUAUCCUUAAAAUAUUCCUGUUCUCAUUAAAGGGUGAUGCUAAGAUAUGGUUUAAUUCUCUUGAUCCUGGUUGUGUGCGUAGUCCCCAGGAUAUGAUUUAUUACUUCUCUGCUAAAUAUUUCACUGCUCAUAAGAAACAAGCUGCUUUGAGGGAUAUAUAUAAUUUUGUGCAAAUUGAAGAAGAGAGUCUCCCACAAGCUUGGGGGAGGCUUCUCCAAUUACUUAAUGCUUUGCCUGAUCAUCCUCUUAAGAAAAAUGAAAUAUUGGAUAUAUUUUAUAAUGGACUAAGUGAUGCUUCCAGAGAUUACCUGGAUAGUUGUGUUGGUUCUGUUUUCAAGGAAAGAACACCGGAUGAAGCUGAAAUUCUAUUGAAUAAUAUGUUGACAAAAGAAAAUAAUUGGACACUUCCUGAGCCAGCUCCUGAGCCUAUUCCUAAACCAACUCCGAAGAAGAGGGGUAUUCUAUUUCUCAGUCCUGAAGAUAUGCAAGAGGCAAAGAAAUCCAUGAAAGAAAAGGGUAUUAAAGCUGAAGAUGUUAAGAAUUUACCUCCUAUUGAAGAAAUACACGGUCUUAAUUUACCGCCUGUUGAAGAAACAUAUGAUCUUAAUCCAUUACCUAUUGAAGAAAUACAUGGUCUUGAUAACCCGACACAAGUAGUAAAGGUAAACUCUCUCUAUAGAUAUGAUAAAAUUGAAAUCCCUCUUACUAAGUUUGCUAGCCAAUGCUUAGAUGAGUUUGAUAAUUUUAUGGUGAAGCAAGAAGAUUUUAAUUCUUAUUUUGGUAGACAAUUGAAAUACAAUUCAAAUAUGCUUGAACACUUGGGUGAUUAUAUGGCUAAUGUUAAAGGUGAAAUUAAACUUAUUAGCAAACAUGCUUCUAUGGUUACCACUCAAGUAGAACAAGUACUUAAAGCUCAAAAUGAUUUGCUCAAUGAACUGAAUAGUAAGAAUAAUGAUAAUGCUGUUAGAGUUAUGACUAGAGGUGGUAAAAUGACUCAAGAACCUUUGUAUCCUGAAGGCCAUCAUAAGAGAAUUGAGCAAGAUUCUCGGAGAAAUAAUAUAGAUGCACCUAGUUCUUCUAAAAGGAAGAAAAAGAAAAAUGAUAGGACUUUGCAUGCUUCUAGUGAACCUAUUGAUGAAACACCUGAGAAUCCAAAUGAUAUUUCUAUUUCUGAUGCUGAAACACAAUCUGGUAAUGAACCUGAAACUAGUGAUAAUAUUAAUGAUAAUGUUCAUGUUGAUGCUCAACCUAGCAAUGAUAAUGAUAUAGAAAUUGAACCUGUUGUUGAUCUUGAUAACCCACAAUCAAAGAAUCAACGUUAUGAUAAGAGAGACUUUGUUGCUAGGAAACAUGGUAAGGAAAGAGAGCCUUGGGUUCAGAAACCCAUGCCUUUUCCUCCCAAACCAUCCAAGAAAAAGGAUGAUGAGGAUUUUGAGCACUUUGCUGAAAUGAUUAGACCUACCUUUUUGCGUAUGCGAUUAACUGAUAUGCUUAAAAUGAAUCCUUAUGCUAAGUACAUGAAAGAAAUUGUUACUAAUAAAAGAAAGAUACCGGAAGCUGAAAUUUCCACCAUGCUUGCUAAUUAUACUUUUAAAGGUGGAAUACCUAAGAAACUAGGAGAUCCCGGAGUACCAACUAUACCAUGCUCCAUUAAAAGAAAUUAUGUUAAAAUUGCUUUAUGUGAUCUUGGAGUCGGUGUUAGUGUUAUGCCUCUCUCUUUAUAUCAUAGACUUGAUUUGAAUAAGUUGACACCUACUAAAAUAUCUUUGCAAAUGGCUGAUAAAUCAACUGCUAUACCUAUCGGUAUUUGUGAGGAUGUGCCUGCUGUGGUUGCAAACGUUACUAUUUUAAUGGACUUUGUUAUUCUUGAUAUUCCCGAGGACGAUAGUAUGUCUAUUAUUCUUGGAAGACCCUUUUUGAAUACUGCAGGGGCUGUUAUUGAUUGCAACAAAGGCAAUGUCACUUUUCAUGUUAAUGGUAAUGAGCAUACGGUACACUUUCCGAGGAAACAACCUCAAGUCCACAGUAUCAAUUCUAUUGGAAAAAUUCAAUCGAUUAUUUUUGAAGGUUUUGAAUUUCCUCUUCCUACUGUCAAAAGAAAUAUGAUAUUCUUAUUAUUGGGGAUGUGCAUAUCCCCGUUGAGGUAACAUAGUGUUAUUCGAAAUUCCUCCGGUUCCAUGUUAUUCGGAAUGAGUUUGCUAACAAGACUUGAUCAACCAUGUUAACGGAUUCCUUUUGAUGAGCAUGAGAUGGAUGAAACUAGAAGGCACAACUCUCCGUACCCUCCUUUUACUUUCUGUUAUUUAUAUUAAAUAAAAUUAAAAGAAGUAUUUUCCGUCUGUUAUCUGAUUUAUCCGUGCAAUAUAAAAUACCCCGAAAAUAAAAGUUCUCCAAAUGCCUUGAAAUUUAAAUAUGAUUUUUUCUGGAAUAUUUGAGAAUAUUUGGCACUAAGAACACAACACAGGGGGCAUCCACCUGGCCACGAGAGUGGAGGGCGCGCCCUACCCCCCCUGUGCGUGCCCCUUGCCUCGUGGGCCCACGGUGGCCCUCCUCCACUUAUUCCUGCACCCACACACUCCUUCCUCCCAUAAACACGAUUAUCCAGUUCGAACCCAAGUCCAAGCUCAUUUUGCUGCUAUUUUCGAUCUCCUUGCUCAAAGCACCUCUCACAAAACUGCUUGGGGGGAUUGUUCCUUGGUAUGCGACUCCUCCAUUGGUCCAAUUAGUUUUUGUUCUAGUGCUUUAUUCAUUGCAAAUUUAUGUUGUCUAGGUGCCCAUGUUCCUGAGCUUGCAUGUCAAAUUUAUGUGGUUCCAACUAGUUUUGAUGCAUGAUAUAGGCUCUAGGCACUUGUAGGAGUUGUUGCUAUCAAUUUUGUUGAGCUUGGCUCACUUUUAUUUGAAGUUACUAAAAAUUUCAGAAUUUUUCAGAAAAUAAUGAAGAGAUUUUUGAGGGGCUCAUCAAGCCGAAGCUCGAAGGAAAAGCAAAAUGAAAAAGCAGAGAGGCCCGAAUAUAAUCUGCCUCGCACCGCAGAGGUUCGGCCGUGUGAAUGGCCUUCCAAUGAUUUCUUGAGAGCAGUCGGGAUUUAUGAUGAUUUUUAUGAAUUGGCUGAGAAUGUAGGCCUCACCGCCUUCCUCCAUGACCAACGCGAACAAUAUCUCUUACUCACCAAUAUCUUUGUGCAAAACUUUCAUUUCCAUGCUAGGAGCUCACCACCUACGGUGGAGUUUUAUUUGUAUGAUGAGCACAAGGAGAUGUCACUUUACGAUUUCUGUCGGGUUUGAUUGAUCCCUUUCGAGGGCACAAUAGAGGAACCACACCGCGGUGAUGUGGAUGGGUUUAUAGAUACCAUCACUGUAGGGGAAACGAGGAAGGUUUCCGAUGCACGAAUCACUAGCAUACAUUUUCCUGUUUUACGCUACUUUGCAAUAUUUGCUAGUCGUUGCUUAAUUGGUCGCGAAAACUGUGGAAACCUUAGUGUUCCUGAUAUUAUUAUUUUGUUCCACGGUUUAUUCUGUGAUAAAUCUGUUAGUAUGGGCGGUAUUAUUGCUAAACGGUUAAGUCUCAACUGUACAAAGGGCCCCAUCUUUGGAGGCAUCUAUGCUUCACGCCUAACUGCGCAUUUUAACAUACCUAUUAAGCAUUAUGAGAAGGAAGAAAAAUUGCUGCCCCUGUUUAUUUAGAUUAUAAGAGUAUGGUGGCACACGAUUUUAUUGUUAAGAAUAGGAAAGGGGAGCUUAAAUACAAAUUGUUCUUUGAUAAACAUCAUCCUGAGACUAUUACCCUGCCUACUCCUUCCUUGUUUGAUUUAUCUCCAGGCAAGUACCUUGUUCCGUUAGAGGCUAUUCACGCCUACCGGAACAUUGCAUCAGCCACAGAGCCAGAGUCGGAACCACUAGUUGAUCCUCCACGACAGUCUAAUUACCAUUGGGAUCCAGAAAUGAUAGCCACCAGUGGAAAUCAGAGUCUUCUUCGCAGUACGACCCCAACUAUUACUAUGGAUAUCCGCCAGGCCAGCCGUGGCCAUAGACCAACUUAGGUCAAAAGCCUAAACUUGGGGGAGUACGUAUUUCCCGCCGACAUUACAUUCAUGUUCGCACACUCAUUGCUAGAUGUCGGUGCUCAUACUUUUUCAUUGUAUCAUCCAUGCUAGUUCAUUUCCUUUUUAAGCUUUCUUCUUGUGUGUUUAAUAAACCUUAAGAAAAACCAAAAAAACUAGUUGUAGCUUUUAGCUAGUUUUAAUUUCCAUGCUUGUAGUAGUAAUUAAAAAGAAAACCCAAAAAAAGAUUUCUUGUUCUUGUUUUGCUCGUUGGGAGCUUUCCCGUGUAAAUAGUUUUAUUUCUUUUCUUUGGGGGUCGAUAGGAGAAUACCAUGAUUAAAUUGUUGAAGUGGCUCUUAUAUAUAUUUUUUAUCUGACAAAAGAGCCCAUAUUGCCUUGUCUUCUCCAGUUUAUUGAAUGCUUGCAGAUUCCAGCUUAGUCCAAUGCACGCGCACUAUUAUUAUUAUCCACAUCGUUCGGUCGUGCAAGUGAAAGGCAAUUAUGACAAUAUAUGAUGGACUGACUGAGAUGAGAAAAGCUGGUAUAAACUCAACCUCUCUUGUUUUUGUAAAUAUGAUUAGUUCAUCGUUCCUGAUUCAGCCUAUUAUGAAUAAACAUGUUUGCAAUGACAACUAGAGAUCAUAGUUUCUUGUGCCAUGCUUGAUUAGCUAGGAGCUUAUAAUGGUUUACCUUGCGUGCCAACAUGCUAUUAAAAUGGUUGUGAUGUGGUAUGAUAGGGUGGUAUCCUCCUCUGAAUGAUUUGAGUGGCUUGACUUGGCACAUGCUCACGCAUGUAGUUGAAAUAAAAUCAACAUAUCCUCUACGAUAUUUAUGUUCAUGGGGAAUUAUAUCCUACUCAUGCUUGCAUUUGGUGUUGAUUAAUUUUAAUGCAUGUUUAUGAGUGUUGUCGCUCUCUAGCUGGUUGCUUCCCAGUCUUUUGCUAGCCUUCACCUGUACUAAGCGGGAAUACUGCUUGUGCAUCCAAUCCCAUAAACCCCAAAGUUAUUCCAUAUGAGUCCACCAUACCUACCUAUUUACGGUAUCUACCUGCCGUUCCAAGUAAAUUUGUAUGUGCCAAACUCUAAACCUUCAAAUAAAUAUCAUGUUUUGUAUGCUCGAAUAGCUCAUGUAUCAACUAGGGCUGUCUGUAUCUUCCAUGUUAGGCGGGUUAUUCUCAAGAGGAGUGGACUCCGCUCCUCACUCACGAGAAAAUGGCUGGUCACCGGGAUGCCCAGUCCCAUGCUUUAUGCAAAUCAAAUCAAAAUAAUUGCAAACAAAACUCUCCCUAGGACUCUUGUUAGUUGGAGGCACUCGUUGUUUUGAGCAAGCCAUGGAUUGAUGCUUGUUAGUGGAAGGGGAGUAUAAACUUUACCAUUCUGUUUGGGAACCGCCUAUAAUGUGUGUAGCAUAGAAUAUAUCGCCCUCUCUUGGUUGUUAUGUUGACAAUGAAAGUAUACUGCUCAAAAUAUUAUUCACCUCUAUUUCAAAACCGAGCUCUGGCACCUCUACAAAUCCCUGCUUCCCUCUGCGAAGGGCCUAUCUAUUUACUUUUAUGUUGACUCAUCAUCCUCUUAUUAAAAAUCACAAGUUGGAGAGCACCGCUGUCAUUUGCAUUCAUUACUGUUAGUUUACAUUGAGUAUGACUGGACUGGAUCUCUUUUACCAUGAAUUACAAUGUCUAGUCAGUCCUUGAUCUUUAAAGGUGCUCUGCAUUUAUGUUUUGCGGUCUCAGAAAGGGCUAGCGAGAUACCAUCUUGUUAUAUCAUAUCAUGAUUGUUUUGAGAAAGUGUUGUCAUCUGAGAUUUAUUAUAUUGCUCGCUAGUUGAUUAUGCCAUUGAUAUGAGUAAACAUGAGACCUAAAUGUUAUUGUGAAUAUGGUUAGUUCAUAAUCUUUGCUGAAAACUUGAAUGCUGGCUCUACAUAUUUACAACAACAAGAGCAAACAGAGUUUGUAAAAGUUUUUCUUUAUCACUUUCAGCUUAUCAACUGAACUGCUUGAGGACAAGCAAAGGUUUAAGCUUUGGGCAGUUGAUACGUCUUCGUCGUAUCUACUUUUCCAAACACUUUUGCCCUUGUUUUGGACUCUAACUUGCAUGAUUUGAAUGGAACUAGCCCGGACUUACGCUGUUUUCAGCAGAAUUGCCAUGGUGUUAUUUUUGUGCAGAUAUAAAAGUUCUCGGAAUGACCCGAAAAUCAACGGAGAAUUAUUUUGGAAUACAUAAAUAAUACUGGAAGGAAGAUCCACGUCAGGGGGGCCUCCACCUGUCCACGAGGGUGGGGGCGCGCCCUACCCCCCUGGUGCUACCUCUUGAGCACUGCGUUGGUUUUCCCUUGAAGAGGAAAGGGUGAUGCAGUAAAGUAGCGUAAGUAUUCCCCUCAGUUUUUGAGAACCAAGGUAUCAAUCCAGUAGGAGAUCACGCUCGAGUCCCACGCACCUACACAACCAAAUAAGAACCUCGCAACCAACGCGAUAAAGGGGUUGUCAAUCCCUUCACGGUCACUUACGAGAGUGAGAUCUGAUAGAUAUGGUAAGAUAAUAUUUUGGUAUUUUUAUGAUAAAGAGAAAUAAAGAUGCAAAGAAAAAUAAACGGCAAUAGAAAUAACUAAGUAUCACCUGGGCGCACCCCCUGCCUCGUGGGCCCCCUGACGCUCCACCAACCUCAACCCUGACUUCAUAUAUUCACUUUCGGGGAGAAAAAACCAGAGAGAAAGAUUCAUCACAUUUUACGAUACGGAGCCGCCGCCAAGCCCUAAACUCUCUCGGGAGGGCUGAUCUGGAGUCCGUUCGGGGCUCCGAAGAGGGGAAUCCAUCGCCAUCAUCAUCAUCAACCUUCCUCCAUCACCAAUUUCAUGAUGCUCACCGUCGUGCGUGCAUAAUUCCAUCGUAGGCUUGCUGGACGGUGAUGGGUUGGAUGAGAUUUAUCAUGUAAUCGAGUUAGUUUUGUUAGGGUUUGAUCCCUAGUAUCCACUAUGUUCUGAGAUUGAUGUUGCUAUGACUUUGCUAUGCUUAAUGCUUGUCACUAGGGCCCGAGUGCCAUGAUUUCAGAUCUGAACCUAUUAUGUUAUCAUCAAUAUAUGAGCGUUCUUGAUCCUAUCUUGCAAGUCUAUAGUCACCUACUAUGUGUUAUGAUCCGGCAACCCCGAAGUGACAAUAAUCGGGACCACUCCUGGUGAUGACCGUAGUUUGAGGAGUUCAUGUAUUCACUAUGUGUUAAUGCUUUGGUCCGGUACUCUAUUAAAAGGAGGCCUUAAUAUCCCUUAGUUUCUGCUAGGACCCCGCUUCCACGGGAGGGUAGGACAAAAGAUGUCAUGCAAGUUCUUUUCCAUAAGCACGUAUGACUAUAUUCGGAAUACAUGCCUACAUUACAUUAAUGAAUUGGAGCUAGUUCUAUGUCACCCUAGGUUAUGAUUGUUACAUGAUGAACCGCAUCCGACAUAAUUCUCUAUCACUGAUCCAUUGCCUACGAGCUUUCCAUAUAUUGUUCUUCGCUUAUUUACUUUUCCAUUGCUAUUGCUAUCAUCACUACAAAAUACCAAAAACAUUACUUUUGCUAUCGUUACCUUUUGCUGCCGUUACCACUACUAUCAUAUUACUUUGCUACUAAACACUUUGCUGCAGAUAUUAAGUUUCCAGGUGUGGUUGAAUUGACAAGUCAGCUGCUAAUAGUUGAGAAUAUUCUUUGGCUCCCCUUGUGUUGAAUCAAUAAAUUUGGGUUGAAUACUCUACCCUUGAAAACUGUUGCGAUCCCCUAUACUUGUGGGUUAUCAUUGCUCCUGCAGCGGGUCUUGCACAUAGCGGUGCUUCCAGGACGUAAUUCUUCUGUGUAGCAAUGAGGAUAAUCCUCAAGUUACGGACCUAGUCCAUGUAGUUGCUACCAUCAUCUUUCAACUUAGGUUUCUCUACGAACGCAUUAAAAUUCAAAGGGACAUUAGCACGGGCCAUUGAUCUACAACAACAUAGACAUGCAAACUACUAUCAGGUGCUAAGUUCAUGAUAAAUUAAAGUUCAAUUAAUCAUAUUACUUAAGAACUCCCACUUAGAUAGACAUCCCUCUAGUCAUCUAAAUGAUCACGUGAUCCAUAUCAACUAAACCAUGUCCGAUCAUCUCGUGAGAUGGAGUAGUUUCAAUGGUGAACAUCACUAUGUUGAUCAUAUCUACUAUAUGAUUCACGCUCGACCUUUCGGUCUCAGUGUUCCGAGGCCAUAUCUGCAUAUGCUAGGCUCGUCAAGUUUAACCCGAGUAUUCUGCGUGUGCAAAACUGGCUUGCACCCGUUGUAUGUGAACGUAGAGCUUAUCACACCCGGUUAUCACGUGGUGUCUCGGCACGACGAACUAUAGCAAUGGUGCAUACUCAGAGAGAACACUUGUACCUUGAAAUUUAGUGAGAGAUCAUCUUAUAAUGCUACCGCCGUACUAAGCAAAAUAAGAUGCAUAAAGGAUAAACAUCACAUGCAAUCAAAAUAAGUGAUAUGAUAUGGCCAUCAUCAUCUUGUGCCUUUGAUCUCCAUCUCCAAAGAACCGUUAUGAUCACCAUCAUCACCGGCUUGACACCUUGAUCUCCAUCGUAGCAUCGUUGUCAUCUCGCCAACUAUUGCUUCUACGACUAUCGCUACCACUUAGUGAUAACGUAAAGCAAUUACAUGGCGAUUGCAUUUCAUACAAUAAAGCGACAACCAUAAGGCUCCUGCCAGUUGCCGAUAACUUUUACAAAACAUGAUCAUCUCAUACAACAACUUAUAUAUCAUCACGCAAAAACAAGUUAGACGUCCUCUACUUUGUUGUUGCAAGUUUUACGUGGCUGCUACAGGCUUCUAGCAAGAACCGUUCUUAUCUACGCAUCAAAACCACAAUGAUUUUUCAUCAAGUGUGUUGUUUUAACCUUCAACAAGGACCGGGCGUAGUCAAACUCGAUUCAACUAAAGUUGGAGAAACAGACACCCAGUAGCCACCUGUGUGUGAAGCACCUCGAUGGAACCAGUCUCAUGAACGCGGUCAUGUAAUGUCGGCCUGAGCUGCUUCAUCCAACAAUACCGCCAAAUCAAAGUAAGACGUUGCUGGUAAGAAGUAUGACUAUUAUCGUCCACAACUCAUUGUGUUCUACUCGUGCAUAUAACAUCUACGCAUAGACCUGGCUCGGAUGUCAUUGUUGGGGAACGUAGUAUUUCAAAAAAAAUCAUACGAUCACGCAAGAUAUAUCUAGGAGAAGCAUAGCAAUGAGCGGGGAGAGUGUGUUCACGUACCCUCGUAGACCGAAAGCGGAAGCGUUUAGUAACACGGUUGAUGUAGUCGAACGUCUUUGCGAUCCAAUCGAUCCAAACACCAAACGUACGACACCUCCGCGUUCAGCACACGUUCAGCUUGAUGACAUCCCUCGAGCUCUUGAUCCAGUUGAGGCCGAGGGAUAGUUCCGUCAGCACGAUGGCGUGGCGACGGUGAUGAUGAAGUUACCGGCGCAGGGCUUCGCCUAAGAACUACGACGAUAUGACCGAGGUGUGUAACUGUGGAGGGGGGCAACGCCCACGGCUAAGAGAAACUUGUGUCUUUGGGGUGCCCCCCUCCCACGUAUAUAAAUGGGGGGAGGAGGCCGGCCCAAAGGGGGGCGCGCCACAUGUUGGGGGUCCUACUAGGACUCCCUAGUCCUAGUAGGAUUCCCCUCUCCUUUCCUUUUACGGAAGGGGGAAAGGGGGGAAGGAGAGGAGGGGAAGAGGGAAAGGGGGCACGCCCCCUCCCCUUCCUAUUCGGACUCCACUUGGGGGGACGCGCACGCCUCCCCCUUGUGGGUUGUACCCUCUUCUCUCCCAUGGCCCAUAAGGCCCAUGAUUUCCCCCGGGGGGUUCCGGUAACCUCCCGGUACUCCAGAAAAAUGCUCGAAUCACUCGGAAUCAUUCUGAUGUUUGAAUGCAACCUUCCAAUAUAUGAAUCUUUACCUCUCGACCAUUUCUGUGAUCUCAUCCGGGACUCCGGACAAACUUCAGUCAUCAAAUCACAUAACUCAUAAUACAAAUUGGCACGAACGUUAAGCAUGCGGACCCUAUGGGUUUGAGAACUAUGUAGACAUGACUGAGACACAUCUCCGGUCAUUAACCAAUAGCGGAACCUGGAUGCUCAUAUUGGCUCCUACAUAUUCUACGAAGAUCUUUAUCGGUCAAACCGCAUAACAACAUACGUAGUUCCCUUUGUCAUAUGUAUGUUAUUUGCCCGAGAUCCGAUCGUCGGUAUCCCCAUACCUAGUUCAAUCUCGUUACCGUCAAGUAUCUUUACUUGUUCCGUAAUGCAUCAUCAUGUAACUAACUCAUUAGUCACAUUGCUUGCAAGGCUUAUAGUGAUGUGCAUUACCGAGAGGGCUUAGAGAUACCUCUCUGAUACACGAAGUGGCAAAUCCUAAUCUCGAUCUAUGCCAACUCAACAAACACCAUCAGAGACACCUGUAGAGCAUCUUUAUAAUCACCCAGUUACAUUGUGACGUUUGAUAGCACACUAAGUGUUCCUCCGGUAUUCGGGAGUUGCAUAAUCUCAUAGUCAUAGGAACAUGUAUAAGUCAUAAAGAAAGCAAUAGCAAUAAAAUUAAACGAUCAUUAUGCUAAGAUAACGGAUGGGUCUUGUCCAUCACAUCAUUCUCUAAUGAUGUGAUCCCGUUCAUCAAAUGACAACACAUGUCUAUGGUUAGGAAACUUAACCAUCUUUGAUUAACGAGCUAGUCUAGUAGAGGCAUACUAGGGACACUCUGUUUGUCUAUGUAUUCACACAUGUACUAAGUUUCUGGUUAAUACAAUUCUAGCAUGAAUAACAAAGAUUUAUCAUGAUAUAAGGAAAUAUAAAUAACAACUUUAUUAUUGCCUCUAGGGCAUAUUUCCUUCAGGAAGAGCAUCGCGGGUGGGAGGGAGAAGGGGAAUUAAGAGAGUGUGGGUUUGGGUUUGGGCCUCCGCGUGCUAUGUGUACACAUGUGUUGGUGGGUCGAUAGUAGUGGUCCUGGGUUUAUACCCCACGCUACUACUAUGGCCUAUCCCGGGGGUACGGUAGAGACCGCUUAGUAGUAGCGAGGGAUUUAUACCCCUCACUACUACUAUCAACUUAGUAGUAGUGAGGGAUUUAUACCCCUCGCUACUACUAUCAACUUAGUAGUAGUGAGGGAUUUAUACCCCUCGAUACUACUAUGGCCAGUCCCGGGGGGCACGGUGGAGACCACUUAGUAGUAGUGUGGGGUUUAUACCCCUCGCUACUACUAUCAACUUAGUAGUAGUGUGGGUUCUAUACCCCUCGCUACCAAUAAUUAGCAGCAGUGUGGCCCAUAUACCCCUCGCUACGGUUAAGCAUCUAUCUAUAAAGUAUUUUCUAGUAGUGCAUCGAUGGCGGCGAAAUCAGUCGUUCUGCUUGUUUUCCCUACUAGCUCUCUGACGUCCAGAACAAGUUUACGGUCAUAAGGUGCAAUAACCUUGCCUUCAUGAGUGACACGAUGACACGGGAACAGGCUUCCAAGCCUAUGGUGUCGCAUCAUGUCGUGGUCUGCUAGACUUAGUGGACGAAUGCUACUACAAUAUCGGUUGAUCUCAUACUACAAUACCAAGGAAGACACGCAACUACUAUAUAUAUUUCUUCAAGUCAGUCAACACAAGUAAAAUCUGGGAGUUCAACUGGUGCAGCUAUGCAAUGCUAAUGGAGACAACACAAUUCAACUUUAGCACUUCACACAUAAGCAACACCACGUUCAAUGGCACACACCUUAGAGUGUACCUAUGGUGGUUGAUUGGGCUAUAAGAAAUGUGAGUCCAUGUGAAGAUGCCAAAUAUAAUAACACGGCUAAUUACACAUGCAGUGGCAGCAGCAACAAGUGCAUGAAUUCCACAAAUGAUCUAGGGUACACAUGCAACUGUGUCCUUGAGUAUGACAACAACCCUUAUCUUCUAGACAAAUGCAUGGUAUGCUACUAAUUUAUUUGCUAAAUAUUCCAAUGAAUUGUGUCCUUUACUUUGUACAUACCCAAUUAUAAUAUUUUAUUUUGCUAAUACAAUGUAGCCUUCAAUUUAAACCAAGGUUUGCAUCCAUUAAUUAUGUUAGGUUCAUAUGACUUCACUACAUAAAUAGGUAGAUAAUGCAUAAGACUGAGAUUGUAGCUAGGGAUGAAAAUCUAAAUACGGCAUGAAUCUAACAAUUAUGAGUAAUGUCUUUGUGACAAGAACUUUCUUUGUCUUUUAUUCCCAUGUUUGAACUAGUAUAGGUCAGGGUUACACAUUAUGGUGCACAUCACUUUAUUUGUCAUCGUUACAUUGAACACUCAUUGACUAAACAACGAUGAUCCAUCCGUCUUGUAUUACAGGUCUUCAUUUCAUUGGCCACCGAUGCUUGUAAGACUACUCCCAGAUGGUUGUUGUUGUGGAUAUGGUUGUUGAGGUUGGUGUGGUUGCUGGGGGAAUGGUUGUUGGGGUUGCUGGGAAAUUGUUUGUUCUAGUUGCUGGGAUAAUUGUUGUUGGGGCUGCAGAAAUGGUUGUUGUGGUUGUUGUGGUUGCAGGAUGGAGGGUUGCUGGGAAAAUGGUUGUUGCGGUCGUAGGGGGAAUGGUUGUUGUGGUUGUAGAGGGAAAGGUUGUUGUGGUUGUUGAGGGAAUGGUUGUUGUGGUUGUUGGGGGAAUGAUUGUUGUGGUUGCAGGGGGAAUGGUUGUUGUGGUUGCUGGGGGAANNNNNNNNNNNNNNNNNNNNNNNNNNNNNNNNNNNNNNNNNNNNNNNNNNNNNNNNNNNNNNNNNNNNNNNNNNNNNNNNNNNNNNNNNNNNNNNNNNNNNNNNNNNNNNNNNNNNNNNNNNNNNNNNNNNNNNNNNNNNNNNNNNNNNNNNNNNNNNNNNNNNNNNNNNNNNNNNNNNNNNNNNNNNNNNNNNNNNNNNNNNNNNNNNNNNNNNNNNNNNNNNNNNNNNNNNNNNNNNNNNNNNNNNNNNNNNNNNNNNNNNNNNNNNNNNNNNNNNNNNNNNNNNNNNNNNNNNNNNNNNNNNNNNNNNNNNNNNNNNNNNNNNNNNNNNNNNNNNNNNNNNNNNNNNNNNNNNNNNNNNNNNNNNNNNNNNNNNNNNNNNNNNNNNNNNNNNNNNNNNNNNNNNNNNNNNNNNNNNUGGUUGCAGAGGGAACGAUUGUUGGGUCUGGGGAAAUGGUUGUUGUGGUUGCCAGGAAAAUGGUUGUUGGGGCUGUGGAAAAGGUUGUUGUGGUUGUUGGGGUUGCUGGGGGAAUGGUUGUUGUGGUUGUAAGGGGGUCGGUUGUUGGGGUUGGGGAAAUAAUUGUUGUGAUUGCUGGGGAAAUUGUUGUUGGGGUGUGGAAAAUGGUUGUUGUGAUGGAUAUGGUUGCUGUGAUGGAUAUGGUUGUUGUGGAUAUGGCUGUUGUGGAAAUAGUUUUUGUUGAUGGGAAAAUGAUUGUUGAGGUGAUUGUAACUCUUUGUUGUUAGGGUUUAGUUGCCUAGCGGCAAUGGCGGUGUUCAUCGCCAUGGCAAGGAGGACAAAGAUGAGGAAGGUCUUCAUGUUGGAUUUGUGGUUACUACUGCUUGCUUGCCUUUGAUGCUUGUGGUCUAGGUGUGUGAAGUUUUGUUGAUGGAAGGUGUCCUUGGUGGUGCAUGUGUAUUUAUAGUUUUCAUGGCAUGGCUUGCUUUCAUCUUUGCACUCGCUCUUUGAAAAAGUGCAUCAAUGCUUAUCCAACUAAUCAUUUGGUUUGUUGUGUUUGGUGCAACUACUUACUAGUGAGAUUUUGGAUUUUCAUGAUAGUUGUUUUUUGUUGAAAUCAUCUGGUUGUAAGGAAUGUUGGAUAAUGACCAAUGACUCAUCUUCUUCACUUUACACUGCAAACAUUGAUCUAGAUUAUGUCCCUUUUUGAAAUUUAGUUUGUGGAGCUCUACAUGUUGUUAGGCUUAUCCAUAUUGGCAUAGCUUGAGUGGAGCUAAGUUUGUAAGCUUGUGUGCGCCAUUAUGAUGGAUCACACUAUUAAUGUGAUGAUUGUUUUACAAAUUAUCUUUCCAAAACUAACUUUAUGUUUUUUGCCCAAUAUGAUUCUAAGACGGAUAACCAGACAUGACUCAUCAAAUAACAAGAUAAACCGAGUAGCAAGUUGGGGGUUAUAAGUUAUAAUAUGGACUUUUCUCUAAGAUACACCAUCUUGUCUUGCAUGCUCUGUGGAUUUGAAAAGCAUCUACUAAUUUAGAUGCAAUUGAAACAAAAGUAGACUAAAAAGGUAAGCAAUGAAAUGAGAAUACUAUUAUGUGAAGCUCUACAUGUCUGGUAAGCAGUGAGAUACUGGAUACAUCUAUAUCUUCAAUCCUUUCAUCCCUAUCAACUCUUUAUUGGCUGCUUUUAUCGUAGUCAUCCCUUAAAUAAAAAUCACUUAAAUAUAAGUUUGGGAGUUAGUACCAACAUAUAUCAUGUACAAGAUAGAAAACUAAGGCACAUAUAGUAGUCUAUUGACCAUAUUUAAUUUCUUGUGAUGUGAAAGCAUGUGGAGUAUAAGUUGGUUAAAUAUAAAGUUGUCCUUCAUACCAGUAGGGAAAGAAUAUGCAGUAUAAAGAUUAGAGCAUUGGACUAAUAUGCUAUUAAAUGCUACAGGAUAAUUGACAGUUCAAGUUAAGAACAACAUUAGCAUUCCAACUUUUGUCUUGUGCAAGUUAAGAACAUGCUAACAAAGUAACCUAAGCAAAUAAGUGCAAAACCUUCACCUAUAAGGAAAUUGUGAAACUACACAAAAUGACCUAUUGUAAAGAAGGAAAAAAAUCUAAAGGUGAAUGAAAGAACGUUAAGUACAUUCAGGAUUCGAUUAUGCCUUCAUGGAUAACCUUUUAGAUGGUGACAUGUCCAUGUUGAUGUGUGUCGGCAUGGAACGAGGACAAGAAGACGUCGUUGCGUCGUACUUUGGGAAUUUCAUCAAACUGGUUGUGUGCGGGAACAAAUAUUUGUCGCCUCCCUGCUCAAAUCUCUCUUCAUGUCACUGAAUCCGACACUCCACCUACCAAAAUCAGCUGCAAGCCAGGGAUAAUCAACGGGUUUCUCCGCCCGUAGCAUCUAUCACCAAAAGUAGUUCAGACUAUAGUCUUGUAGUUCAAAAUUUUGUAAUAACAAGCACUACUAGGUUGCUUUUGUUUGUACGUCUUCAUUCUGUACAACCCAUGGAACUAAAAAUGCAUUGGUCAUUCUUUGUUCUAUACAACCAAUUCAACCAAAAAUGCAUUGGGCUUUUCUUUGUACAUCUUCGGGUUCUACAACCAAUGCAACAAAAAAUCCAUUGGGUAGUCUUCCAUUCUAGUCGGGCACCAACAGUUAAAUGAGGAGCUAAACAAUGUUGGAGUCUAAAACUACAUACAAUCAUGAAGCAUAGAGAGGCGACUUGGAAGCUGUGCUCCUGUGAGCUCGUAUUUUUGUAGACAAAAAGUAAUGUUUGUAUUUUGAAGUGGGAAAAAAUCCUAAAAAGGGAUGUUUUGCGGGUUAUAACUUACUAUUUUUGGGUCCUGGGCUGCAGGAAGGUCGUCAAAAUCAAUGUGUUUUCCCAUUCAAUGCAUGUUUCUUGGGUUAUAGGUCACGCUUUUGGUGUCCUAGGGAGAUCACUUCCCCGGUCAAGAACAUUAGGUGAUGAUUUUUAGAAAAACUCAUUGUUUUAGCCUAACUAGUUUCGAGGAUUGGUGGACGGGAUUAUCAUGGAACAAAGUGACAACCUUCCUUUUCUUCAUGCCUAAUAUAAACUUAGCAGUCAGCUAAAAGUAACUAGCGAUAUCACAGAAUGUUUUUUGUCAAAAGUAGAUACCACUUCAGGAUUCAACUCGGUUAGUUCAAUCACAGACAUGUUAAGAGCAGGAUUUACAACUAACUGCAUAGGGAACAUCUCCUUUUAUCACCCACUAUCUGUCUGUGCACUUUGGUUUUCCCGUAGCAUCACACAAAGCACUUUGUUAGUACCAAUAAUGUGCUCCAACUCUACACAUUAAUCAUCUUGAAUUCUUCUACUGAUGUCGAACAAUGUAAUAUCUUGAAUUCUUCUAACGAGUUCGGAUUAGACUACAUGGGCAAUUUAUCUGGUCCCUGAGAUGCAAGGUCGAUGAACAAUCGCUUCGUCUUAUGACGAGGGGUUGUUUUUGCCUAAGAAACUAAUACAUGUAACUUCGACACCGGAUUAAUAAAUGGUAAAACCUAAAUAAAUUAGAUCACGAGCUAAACCAUUUACUUUUGUAUGCAUUUAAACUUUUGAUACAUAUGAGCUUGUUAAGAUGUUCGCAUAAACACCAUGGUGAUUUGAAGCAAGACAAAGUAAACUUGAACCGCUUGAGCCACUGACUUAAUAAGAACCUCCUUUCCCGCGGCAGAGAUUGUUUUUAAUACAUCCACUCACUUUGGCCCAUAGUUUGUCUUUGAGAUACUUAAAAGCACUAGACAUAGAAUUGACAAUAUUAGAAGGCAAGCCCAAAUAUUUCACAUUUAGUGUUUCUACUUGGACACUGAGACCACCUUUGACCUCAUUUUUGACAUUCUCUCUGCAAUCCUUGCUGAGAAACACUGAAGGCUUCCUAUUUAUUUAUUCUUGACCUAAAGCUUCAUUGCGUCUUGCCUUGGUCUUGCACUACUUGCGGCACAAUACGCCUUUGGAACUGCCGUUCCGAAUUCAGAGUGCCGAAGGUGGUGUGACGAUGUUGAGAUACCGUACUCGUUCGGUAGUGAUUCGGGUUGAUCAUUCAGAGUAGACUUUGACAAUAGCUGCAAGGACAAGAUUGCAUUAGGGAGCCUUUUAAUUACACCUCGGAGGUGCUCAGCAUCUUCUUGAUGAACAACAUGGUCCUAGUGUUGAAUAAUAUCAUAUGGGGUAGUGCUACAACAACUCCACCACAAGCAUGGAGGAAUUUAGCAAAUUCCAUCAGUACUAGGAGAAAGCCUAGUAGCAACGCGAGGUAAAGGACUACUAGUAGCGCGGGUGCCCACGCUACUACUAGGGUGCUACAGCUAAUUGGUAGUAGUAGCGUGGGUGACACCCUGCGCUACUACCACGUCUGUUAGUAUAGUAGCGCGAGUGUCACCCGCACUACUACUAGUUAUCUGUAGCCCGGGUCUGACCCCACGCUACUACUAACUAAUUAGGAAUUAAAAAAAUAAAUUCCAUCCAUGGUUGCUGCUGCUGGGCGUCAUCGUCCUCUCCGUCCAUGGCUGAUGUUGGUCCUGGAGGGGAUGACGUCGUCCAUGGUGAUGGUACUUCCUCACCCAAAUCGUCCCCACACCUCUCCUAUGCUACUGCUACAAAAUAAGAGAAAACGAUUAGAAGAGGAAGAGAGAUAUUGAGAGGAGUAGGAGGAGCAACUGACCGGUGGCCGCCGGAGUUGGAGCUGAUGCCCGAAACCCUAGACGAUGCCCGGUGACCUGUUGCUUCUUUUCCUGGGACCUCAUGUCCUCACAAGGCCAUGUCUCAGCGAGGAAGUGCAAGUGGUUGCGUAGCAGAUCUGUUCAUCGCCAUUGGUGGCGCUCUGUUGGAUCUUCCUCUCCUUCCAGCAUCGGAGAAGGAGGAGGAAGGAGGCGAAGGUGAGGCGUAAGUCAGUGGCCCAAAAUUUUUAUAUAGAUGAGACUUACUAAGUAAUAACCCCAUAGAAUCUAUCUAUAUAAAGAUAAAGAGGCAAUCGUGUCAGGAAGCGGGUUUUUCUUUGGCCAAAAGGUACUUAGAACUUGGAACGAGCAUGAAGAGAUUAACGAGACUUCUUUCUCUUUUGAGUUUUUCUGGCGGACCUGCCGCGCAAGAUCUUUGGUCUUCCCCUGGAACCGAUGAAAAAAAGUGGAUUGCUUCUUAUGUACUCGCUCAGCUUAAGAUGCUCGCAUAAUCCCCGUGGUAAUUUGAAGCAAUACAUAGAGUAAACUAGAACUGCUUGAGCCACUAACUUAAUGAGAACCUCCUUUCCCGUAGGAUAUAUCAUUUUUUCAAUCCAUCCAUUCACUUUGGCCCAUAGUAUGUCUUUGAGAUACUUAAAAGCAGUAGAUUAGAAUUACCAAUAUCAUAAGGCAAGCCCAAAUAUUUCUCAUUUAGUGUUUCUGUUGGACACUGAGAACACCUUUGACCUCAUAUCUAACAUUCUCUACACAACCCUUGCUGAGAAACACUGAAGACUUGCUAUUAUUUAUUCUUUGACCUGAAACUUGGCAAUAGGUUUGACACAUCUGUCGCCCCUGAACCAUUUGCCUUGAAAAACAGCAGGCUGUCAUCUGCAAAUAACAAGUGGUUAACUGAUGCCACCAAAGGAGCUACUUGGAUUCCAGUAAACUGGGAUGACUAGUCUCUAGAUUUGAGGAGGCCCGAAAGGCCAUGUACUGCUAACAGGAAAAUCAAGGUGAAUUGGAUCUUGCUGCCGUAUACCACGGGUAGGUUUGAGCUCAUCAAGUUUCUUGCUCUUGAAUAAAAUUGAAUAAGAUACAGAAGCUACCAUGCUCAUUUCUAUGGAGGCCCAUUUAACAGAGAAUCCAAAGUUGAGAUUUAUCACCUCCAAAUACGCCCAUUCAACUAGAUUAUAAGCCUUCAUCAUAUCCAAUUUUAGAGUACAAUGGUGAUGUUACAAUGACUUAUUCCUUUUCAUGAAAUGUAAGCACUCGUAGGCCACGAUUAUAUUGUCAGUGAUAAGGCGACCCGGAACAGAAGCCGACUCUUCACUCAAUAUUAUCUCCGGAAGGGCCCCUUUUAGCCGGUUAGCCAGAACUUUGGGUGUUAUUUGUAAAGUUGCAUAGGCUAAUACGACAGAACUGGCUUAGGAAAGUACCAUUUUGUACCUCAUCACUAUCCUCGCCACAAUACAAAGGACAACCAUUGUUACCUCCUCGCCGCAAAUAUCCCAAUGUUUCUCAAAGAAAUGUUCAAAGAAUCCGUCCGGGCCCAAGGCCUUCAUGCGGAACAUUUGAAACAAUACAAUUUAAACCUUGUUGUAGAAUACUUAGCGUCAAGGAAGGCAUUCAUCGCAUCACUGACCUUUACUGGAACCAAGUCAGGAAAUCAUGCAUAUUAGAAACAGUCUCAGAAGUGAAAAGCUCCGAGUAAAACUAUGUUGUGAUCUCUUCCAAUUCCUUAAGAACACUGAUAACAUCACAUUAGGUUGCUACAAUGAUUUGGUCAAAUUAUUCCGCCUUCUCAUCGAAGCCCUUAAGUGAAAGAAGCAUGUGGUCUUGUCCCCACUAAUCAGCCACUUAAUCUGAGAUCUAGUAGGCAAGAUGAGUGACGGGAAGUAGUUCGGAACAAUUUCCUCUUAUUCACUUCUAAAACAAAUUUUCGGUUUUUGUCGUUCCUAAGCCAAGGAUUUGAUAAAUAUUCAUAAAUUUUUAAAAUGUUCACCAAUAUUAAAAACAUCAUGAUUUUAAAAAACCGUGAUUUUUAAACAAAAUCAUAAAUAUGAAAAUUGCCAUUCACAAAAUUUUAAAAUAAAAUCAUGAAUUUUAAAAGAAUUUUCAAAAUUUUGAUAAAUAUCUACGAAUUUUACAACUUUGAUGAAUUUUAAAAACAAACCAUAACAAAAAAACACUAGCAAGUUCGAUCCUAAAAAAUGCCUUGCCUUCUACUAUGCGUAGCGUGCAUGGACAGCCGGACCUAGACACCCUAGACCAAAAACCCUACAUCUGGGCCAGGCCCGAGCUCCAUUUUUUGGCCCAAAGCCCAGCCCAAAAAGGCAGAAAUGGUAAGAAAUGUAUACUUUAUUCAAAAUAUAGGUAUAUUAUAUUGUUUUAGUAUCUCAAAUAAUUAUUUAAAUUGAAAAAUGUCGUUGUUCAUGUGUUUCUGGACGGGCCAAGCCAGGCUCAUGCUUGGGAUUUUUGCUUCGGGCUUUGACAACCUGGCCCGGGGUAUGAUCAAGUUCAGCAUGGCCCAGUCACACACCCUUGUACAACAUUUUGUUGUAGAGAGCGGCAAAUAUAAUUUUCCCGAUCUAAUAUUGCUCGCUAUAAGUCUAUAUCUAUACUUUUUUCUAUACCCAUACUAAUAAAGCAAGGUGCGUUUCCCCAAUUUUUUCAUUCAUUCACUGUCGAAAACAAUUAUGUUUCCUAUCCGAGGUGGUCCUAAAUUCUUAUGCGUUCAUCUGCUAAAAGAAAGGCUUUUCCGGAAUUUCUUACGUGGGUUGCGCGCUAUGGCCAGUGAAGUCAGCCCACUUAUUUUUCUGCCCAUGCAGCUCUAAAAAAUCUAUUUAACACACAGGGCAAGAAAUAGUCGGCACUUCAAACUGGAAAACAAAUAAUGGGCUAGCCAAUUUUUCUUUGUUUCUGUGUUUUAUUUCUAUUUUUAUUCUCCUUCCCCGAUUUCUUUUUUCACUUCCAAGUUUACAUUUCUUAUAGAAUUUAUUUUAUAAAUUCAAAAUUCUCAAAAAACAUAGAGAAUUUUAAAAAAAUGGAAAAUGUUCAUAACUCCAAUUUUUUUGCUAUUUAAAUUUUUUUCAGAACUUGAAUUUUUUCCCUUUUUCCGAAAAUUUUAUUGUUUUUUAAAAUUGUUAGAGAUUUCUAAAAAGAAAAUGGAAAUUUAAAAAGUCUUCCAAAUUCGAAAAAAAAUCAUGUUUUAGUGAAAUUUUCACAACUCAAAUUAUUCUUAAAAAAUACACAUUUUAAAAAGUAAGGAUUUUCAAUACAUGUUCCCGUUCUAAAAAAAUGUUGACAAAUUCAAAUAAUGUUCAUGUUUUUAUUUUAAAAGUUCGUGUUUUCAAAAAUGUUUGUAAAUUCUAAAAGAUGUUCCUAUUUCAUAUUUUGUUCAUGUUUUUCUGAAAGUGUACCUAAUUUUCAAAAAACUGUUCAGGAUUUAAAAAAUGGUUCAUGUUGCCUACAAUAUUGAGAAACUUCAUACCUUAAAAUCUCCUCGAUUGAAGGAACCAUAGAUUGAAUAAUUCAUGGGCCUUCUCUGGUGGACGAUGACGUAGCAAAACUCUUAAAUGCCCUCAAUCAAUGAAUGGAAAAAUAGCGAAUUGAGUACUUCACACCCAGCGAAACAAAGAAGCUAAAUGUUCCCUUUUUACGUGCGCACAGGGUUUUGCUUGCACAAAUAAUUCUCACUAACUUCCAAUGCAUACUAAUUUUUCUCCCAUUGCGAAGCACAAGCAUAUGUGCUAGUUUUAUCCACGGUGGUACUAAAUUUUUUUGAGUCCAUCUGCUAGAAAAAGGAAAAACAGUUUUGUCAAAAUUUUCGUACAUGGGCCGCGCGCGCUGUGGCCCAGCGAAGCUGGCCCAUUUAUUUCCGGCCGAAGCAGCUGAGAAUAAUUAUUUAACGCUUGGGGCGGCAAAUAGACAAAGUUUCGCAUAGGGCGCCAAAUAUUUGGUCGGCCCAUAUUUGUUUUCUCUCUAGUUUGUUUCUUUUUUUAUUUUCCUUUCUCCUUUUCUUAUCUCUUUACUUUUUCUUUUUUCCCUUUCAAGUUAAUUUUUCUUUUCUCCUUUUCCAUAAAUUAAAUUUUUCAAUAUUUCAGAAUUUUAGUUUUGGAUUAAAUUUUCGUAAAAUCUUCAUAAUUAUUUCUCCCCAUUUUGAAUUGUUUUUAAACUAUAAUUUUUUCUUCUUCUUCUUCCAAAAUUUAUUCAAAACUAUAGAAUAAAGUUCGCAUAUUAAUUUUUUUAUGCUUUCCAAAAUUGUUUGAUAUUUUCAAAAUAUAUUGCAUUAAAAAAUUAAAUAUUUAGAUUUUAUUGAAAUGUUAAUUCAAAGUAAUGUUUGUGUUUAAAAACAUGUUUUUCAAAAUUCUUUUCAAUGUCCAAAACACGUUUUCAUUUCCAAAAAAAAUCACGUAUUCAAAACAUGUUUGCUUUCUUAUAAUAGGUUCAUGUUUUCAAAAAACAUAAAUUUCAAAAAAAUUGUCACAUCUUAAAGAAUAUUCAAAAUAUCGUAAUUAUUACUUUAUUUUUUGAAAAAAAUCAAGAAAAACAGAAAAAAAAAUGUAUAUUAUGCUACAGUAUAUUCUUAAAAUUUCGCCCUCGCCAUUUGUUAGCAUGAGCUGUUUGUUCGAGUGGCUAGCAGCACGUGGUCGAGUUUUUGAGGUCAUGAGUUUGAUCCUUCAACUCAGUGGUUGUUUUGGAUUUUUAUUCACGCCUUACAAAUACAAGUCAUUUUGGUACCUGCCAGCGGCCUUGCCAGACUCGAACUGCCGUGCAUCCGACGUGCUAUUUGACGAUAAAAGAGAAUAUGUUGCUUGACUAUAAUUAAAAAAAUGUGGGCACAUGCCAAUAAAAGAGGAUAUGCUGGUUUGACUCUGAUUAAAAAAAUGUUGGCAAGUGAGCGUCGAAAUAAUUAAAGAGAAUAAACCCUGGUAAAGUAGGGACUACCUGGUUACGUGCUUAUUAUACCAAAGAAACGGGAUUUCCUGCAAUUAGUACUUCAACCGGUUACACCAUCAUAGGAGAGAGUAGUCGAAGCAACUAUGCCACGAAGGUCGCCGUGCUGCACAAAAUGAGGAGGCAACCGCAACCUAGACACGGAGGCAGACUCGGAGAAAAAAAAGCGCAAGUUGGGUGGUGGCCACCACUCCAGCAACCCCAUCAAUAUCAAGAACUCGUGGGCCAAACAUGAUCUCAAGAACAUCGCCGGGGAGACCUUUUGAUGGACACAUCAAUUAUCUCUCCUGAUACUUCUCGUUAAAAAUAUCUUUCUAGUUCUAACGCACGGGCAUAUGUGCUAGUGAUAUAUAAAAUAUGUUGUGCCAAUGAGCACACGGGCUAGCGAGACUCGCCAUGCUUUCAUGUCAUACCGGAGUCCAAACACUCAACUGGAGGGUCCAACCUUAGCGACAGAGUCUUCUUUUGUUGGGAGAAUCUAUAUAUCCGCGAGUGUUAUAUCUCGCAUCUGGUUUACGCGCAGUGCACCUAACCACUAGGCUUUGCCUUACAUUCAUGACAGAGUAGUAAAGCUAGAUUGUUUAAGUCCACACGAGUCAAGGUUUUCAAUGUUUCUUCUCCAUUUUUUUUCAUUUUUUCAUUUUUGUUUUUAUAUUUAUUUCUGUCGGGUUUGUUUGAUCCCUUUCGAGGGCAUAAUAGAGGAACCACACCGUGGUGAUGUGGAUGGGUUUAUAGAUACCAUCACUGUAGGGGAAACGAGGAAGGUUUUCGAUGCACGAAUCACUAGCAUACAUUUUCAUGUUUUACGCUAAUUUGCAAUAUUUGCUAGUCGUUGCUUAAUUGGUUGCGGAAACUGUGGAAACCUUAGUGUUCCUGAUAUUAUUAUUUUGUUCCACGGUUUAUUCUGUGAUAACUCUAUUAGUAUGGGCGGUAUUAUUCCUAAAUGGUUAAGUCUGAACUGUACAAAGGGCCCCAUCUUUGGAGGCAUCUAUGCUUCACACCUAGCUGCGCAUUUUAACAUAGCUAUUAGGCAUUAUGAGAAGGAAGAAAAAUUGCUACCCCCUGUUUAUUUAGAUUAUAAUAGUAUGGUGGCACAUGAUUUUAUUGUUAAGAAUAAGGAAGGGGAGCUUAAAUACAAAUUGUUCUUUGAUAAACAUCAUCCUGAGACUAUUACCCUGCCUGCUCCUUCCUUGUUUGAUUUAUCUGCAGGCAAGUACCUCGUUCCAUUAGAGGCUAUUCACGCCUACCGAAACCCUACAUCAGCCAUAGAGCCAGAGUCGGAACCACAAGUUGAUUCUCCAUGACAGUCUAAUUACCAUUGGGAUCCAGAAAUGAUUGCCACCAGUGGCAAUCAGAGUCUUCUUCGCAGUACGACCCCAACUAUUACUAUGGAUAUCCGCCAGGCCAGCCGUGGCCAUAGACCAACUUAGGUCAAAAGCCUAAACUUGGGGGAGUACGUAUUUCCCGCCGACAUUACAUUCAUGUUCGCACACUCAUUGCUAGAUGUCGGUGCUCAUACUUUUUCAUUGUAUCAUCCAUACUAGUUCAUUUCCUUUUUAAGCUUUCUUCUUGUGUGUUUAAUAAACCUUAAGAAAAACCAAAAACAUUAGUUGUAGCUUUUAGCUAGUUUUAAUUUCCAUGCUCGUAGUAGUAAUUAAAAAGAAAACCCAAAAAAAAGAUUUCAUGUUCUUCUUUUGCUUGUUGGGAGCUUUCCCGUGUAAAUAGUUUUAUUUCUUUUCUUUUCUUUGGGGGUCGAUAGGAGAAGACCAUGAUUAAAUUGUUGAAGUGGCUCUUAUAUGUAUUUUUGUUGAUCUGACAAAAGAGCCCAUAUUGCCUCGACUUCUCCUGUUUAUUGAAUGCUUGCAGAUUCCAGCUUAGUCCAAUGCACGUGCACUAUUAUUAUUAUCCACAUCAUUCGGUCGUGCAAGUGAAAGGCAAUUAUGACGAUAUAUGAUGGACUGACUGAGAUGAGAAAAGCUGGUAUGAACUCAACCUGUCUUGUUUUUGUAAAUAUGAUUAGUUCAUCGUUCCUGAUUCAGCCUAUUAUGAAUAAACAUGUUUGCAAUGACAACUAGAGAUCAUAGUUUCUUGUGCCAUGCUUGAUUAGCUAGGAGCUUAUAAUGGUUUACCUUGCGUGCCAACAUGCUAUUAAAAUGGUUGUGAUGUGGUAUGAUAGGGUGGUAUCCUCCUCUGAACGAUUCGAGUGGCUUGACUUGGCACAUAUUCACGCAUGUAGUUGAAACAAAAUCAACAUAGCCUCUACGAUAUUUAUGUUCAUGGUGAAUUAUAUCCUACUCAUGCUUGCAUUCGGUGCUGAUUAAUUUUAAUGCAUGUUUAUGACUGUUGUCGCUCUCUAGCUGGUCGCUUCCCAGUCUUUUGCUAGCCUUCACCUAUACUAAGCGGGAAUACUACUUGUGCAUCCAAUCCCAUAAACCCCAAAGUUAUUCCAUAUGAGUCCACCAUACCUACCUAUUUACGGUAUCUACCUGCCGUUGCAAGUAAAUUUGUAUGUGCCAAACUCUAAACCUUCAAAUAAAUAUCAUGUUUUGUAUGCUCGAAUAGCUCAUGUAUCAACUAGGUUUGUCUGUAUCUUUCAUGUUAGGCGGGUUAUUCUCAAGAGGAGUGGACUCCGCUCCUCACUCGCGAGAAAAUGGCUGGUCACCCGGAUGCCUAGUCCCAUGCUUUAUGCAAAUCAAAUCAAAAUAAUUGCAAACAAAAUUGCCCCUGGGACUCUUGUUAGUUGGAGGCACUCGUUGUUUCGAGCAAGCCAUGGAUUGAUGCUUGUUGGUGGAGGGGGGGUAUAAAAUUUUCCAUUCUGUUUGGGAACCGCCUAUAAUGUGUGUAGCAUGGAAGAUAUCACCAUCUCUUGGUUGUUAUGUUGACAAUGAAAGUAUACCGCUCAAAAUAUUAUUUACCUCUAUUUCAAAAUCGAGCUCUGGCACCUCUACAAAUCCCUGCUUCCCUCUGCGAAGGGCCUAUCUAUUUACUUUUAUGUUGAGUCAUCAUCCUCUUAUUAAAAUGCACCAGUUGGAGAGCACCGUUGUCAUUUGCAUUCAUUACUAUUAUUUUACAUUGAAUAUGACUUGACUGGAUCUCUUUUACCAUGAAUUACAAUGUCUAGUCAGUCCUUGAUCUUUAAAGGUGCUCUACAUUUAUGUUUUGCGGUCUCAGAAAGGGCUAGCGAGAUACCAUCUUGUUAUAUCAUAUCAUGAUUGUUUUGAGAAAGUGUUGUCAUCCGAGAUUUAUUGUUAUUGCUCGCUAGUUGAUUAUGCCAUUGAUAUGAGUAAACAUGAUACAUAAAUGUUAUUGGAAUAUGGUUAGUUCAUAAUCUUUGCUGAAAACUUGAAUGCUGGCUCUACAUAUUUACAACAACAAGAGCAAACAGAGUUUGUAAAAGUUUUUCUUUAUCACUUUCAGUUUAUCAACUGAAUUGCUUGAGGACAAGCAAAGGUUUAAGCUUGAGGGAGUUGAUACGUCUCCGUCGUAUCUACUUUUCCAAACACUUUUGCCCUUGUUUUGGACUCUAACUUGCAUGAUUUGAAUGGAACUAACCCGGACUGACGUUGUUUUCAGCAGAAUUGCCAUGGUGUUAUUUUUGUGCAGAAAUAAAAGUUCUCGGAAUGACCUAAAAAUCAAAGGAGAAUUAUUUUGAAAUAUAUAAAAAAUAUUGGAAGGAAGAUCCACGUCAGGGGGGCCUCCACCUGUCCACGAGGGUGGAGAGCGUGCCCUACCCCCCUGGUGCUACCUCUUGAGCACUGCGUUGGUUUUCCCUUGAAGAGGAAAGGGUGAUGCAGUAAAGUAGUGUAAGUAUUUCCCUCAGUUUUUGAGAACCAAGGUAUCAAUCAAGUAGGAGAUCACGCUCGAGUCCCGCGCACCUACACAAACAAAUAAGAACCUCGCAACCAAUGCAAUAAAGGGGUUGUCAAUCCCUUCACGGUCACUUACGAGAGUGAGAUGUGAUAGAUAGGAUAAGAUAAUAUUUUUGGUAUUUUUAUGAUAAAGAGAAAUAAAGAUGCAAAGUAAAAUAAACAGCAAUAGAAAUAACUAAGUAUCACCUGGGCGCACCCCCCUGCCUCGUGGACCCCCUGACGCUCCACCGACCUCAACCCUGACUCCAUAUAUUCACUUUCGGGGAGAAAAAAACCAGAGAGAAAGAUUCAUCAUGUUUUACGAUAUGGAGCCGCCGCCAAGCCCUAAACUCUCUCGGGAGGGCUGAUCUGGAGUCUGUUCGGGGCUCCGGAGAGGGGAAUCCGUCGCCAUCGUCAUCAUCAACCUUCCUCCAUCACCAAUUUCAUGAUGCUCACCGCCGUGCGUGAGUAAUUCCAUCGUAGGCUUGCUGGACGGUGAUGGGUUGGAUGAGAUUUAUCAUGUAAUCAAGUUAGUUUUGUUAGGGUUUGAUCCCUAGUAUCCACUAUGUUCUGAGAUUGAUGUUGCUAUGACUUUGCUAUGCUUAAUGCUUGUCACUAGGGCCCGAGUGCCAUGAUUUCAGAUCUGAACCUAUUAUGUUUUCAUCAAUAUAUGAGUGUUCUUGAUCCUAUCUUGCAAGUCUAUAGUCACCUACUAUGUGUUAUGAUCCGGCAACCCCGAAGUGACAAUAAUCGGGACCACUCCUGGUGAUGAUCGUAGUUUGAGGAGUUCAUGUAUUCACUAUGUGUUAAUGCUUUGGUCUGGUACUCUAUUAAAAGGAGGCCUUAAUAUCCCUUAGUUUCCGCUAGGACCCUGCUGCCACGGGAGGGUAGGACAAAAGAUGUCAUGCAAGUUCUUUUCCAUAAGCACGUAUGACUAUAUUCGGAAUACAUGCCUACAUUACAUUGAUGAAUUGGAGCUAUUUCUGUGUCACCCUAGAUUAUGACUGUUACAUGAUGAACCGCAUCCGACAUAAUUCUCUAUCACCAAUCCAUUGCCUACGAGCUUUCCAUAUAUUGUUCUUUGCUUAUUUACUUUUCCGUUGCUAUUGCUAUCAUCACUAUAAAACAACAAAAACAUUACUUUUGCUAUCGUUACCUUUUGCUACCGUUACCACUACUAUCAUAUUACUUUGCUACUAAACACUUUGCUGGAGAUAUUAAGUUUCCUGGUGUGGUUGAAUUGACAACUCAGCUGCUAAUACUUGAGAGUAUUCUUUGGCUCCCCUUGUGUCGAAUCAAUAAAUUUGGGUUCAAUACUCUACCCUCGAAAACUGUUGCGAUCCCCUAUACUUGUGGGUUAUCAUUGCUCCUGCAGCGGGUCUUGCACCUAGCGGUGCUUCUAGGACGUAAUUCUUCUGUGUAGCAAUGAGGAUAAUUCUCAAGUUAUGGACCCAGUCCGUGUAGUUGCUACCAUCAUCUUUCAACUUAGCUUUCUCUACGAACGCAUUAAAAUUCAAAGGAACAGUAGCAGGGGCCAUUGAUCUACAAUAACAUAGACAUGCAAAAUACUAUUAGGUGCUAAGUUCAUGAUAAAUUAAAGUUCAAUUAAUCAUAUUACUUAAGAACUCCCACUUAGAUAGACAUCCCUCUAGUCAUCCAAAUGAUCACGUGAUCCAUAUCAACUAAACCAUGUCUGAUCAUCACGUGAGAUGGAGUAGUUUCAAUGGUGAACAUCACUAUGUUGAUCAUAUCUACUAUAUGAUUCACGCUCGACCUUUCGGUCUCAGUGUUCCGAGGCCAUAUCUGCAUAUGCUAGGCUCGUCAAGUUUAACCCGAGUAUUCUGCGUGUGCAAAACUGGCUUGCACCCGUUGUAUGUGAACGUAGAGCUUAUCACACCCGGUUAUCACGUGGUGUCUCGGCACGAUGAACUAUAGCAAUGGUGCAUACUCAGAGAGAACACUUGUACCUUGAAAUUUAGUGAGAGAUCAUCUUAUAAUGCUACCGCCGUACUAAGCAAAAUAAGAUGCAUAAAGGAUAAACAUCACAUGCAAUCAAAAUAAGUGAUAUGAUAUGGCCAUCAUCAUCUUGUGCCUUUGAUCUCCAUCUCCAAAGAACCGUUAUGAUCACCAUCAUCACCGGCUUGACACCUUGAUCUCCAUCGUAGCAUCGUUGUCAUCUCGCCAACUAUUGCUUCUACGACUACCGCUACCGCUUAGUGAUAAAGUAAAGCAAAAACAAGUGUGAUGUCCUCUACUUUGUUGUUGCAAGUUUUACGUGGCUGCUACGGGCUUCUAGCAAGAACCGUUCUUAUCUACGCCUCAAAACCACAACAAUUUUUCGUCAAGUGUGUUGUUUUAACCUUCAACAAGGAUCGGGCGUAGUCAAACUCGAUUCAACUAAAGUUGGAGAAAUAGACACCCACUAGCCACCCGUGUGUGAAGCACCUCGGUAGAACCAGUCUCAUGAACGCGGUCAUGUAAUGUCGGUCUGAGCCACUUCAUCCAACAAUACCGCCAAAUCAAAGUAAGACGUUGCUGGUAAGAAGUAUGACUAUUAUCGUCCACAACUCAUUGUGUUCUACUCAUGCAUAUAACAUCUACGCAUAGACCUGGCCCGGAUGUCACUGUUGGGAAACGUAUUAUUUCAAAAAAAAAUCCUACAAUCACGCAAGAUAUAUCUAGGAGAAGCAUAGCAAUGAGCGGGGAGAGUGUGUCCACGUACCCUCGUAGACCGAAAGCGGAAGCAUUUAGUAACACGGUUGAUGUAGUCGAACGUCUUUGCGAUCCAACCAAUCCAAACACCUAACGUACGGCACCUCCGCAUUCAGCACACGUUCAGCUCGAUGACAUCCCUCGAGCUCUUGAUCUAGUUGAGGCCGAGGGAUAGUUCCGUCAUCGCGAUGGCGUGGCGACGGUGAUGAUGAAGUUACCGGCGCAGGGCUUCGCCUAAGCACUACGACGAUAUGACCGAGGUGUGUAACUGUGGAGGGGGGCACCGCACACGGCUAAGAGAAACUUGUGUCUUUGGGGUGCCCCCUCCCACGUAUAUAAAUGGAGGGAGGAGGCCGGCCCAAGGGGGGGCGCCACAUGUGGGGAGUCCUACUAGGACUCCCUUGUCCUAGUAGGAUUCCCCUCUCCUUUCCUUUUACGGAGGGGGAAAGGGGGGAAGGAGAGGAGGGGAAGAGGGAAAGGGGGGCACGCCCCCUCCCCUUCCUAUUCGGACUCCACUUGGGGGGGACGCGCACGCCUCCCCCUUGUGGGUUGUCCCCUCUUCUCUCCCAUGGCCCAUAAGGCCCAUGAUUUCCCCCAGGGGGUUCCCGUAACCUCCCGGUACUCCGAAAAAAUUCCCGAAUCACUCGGAAUCAUUCCGAUGUUCAAAUGCAACCUUACAAUAUAUGAAUCUUUACCUCUCAACCAUUUUCGUGAUCUCAUCUGGGACUCCGAACAAACUUCAGUCAUCAAAUCACAUAACUCAUAAUACAAAUUGGCAUCGAACGUUAAGUGUGUGGACCCUACGGGUUUGAGAACUAUGUAGACAUGACCGAGACACAUCUCCGGUCAAUAACCAAUAGCGGAACCUAGAUGCUCAUAUUGGCUCCUACAUAUCUACGAAGAUCUUUAUCGGUCAAACCGCAUAACAACAUACGUUGUUCCCUUUGUCAUAUGUAUGUUAUUUGCCCGAGAUUCGCUCGUCGGUAUCCUCAUACCUAGUUCUAUCUCGUUACCGGCAAGUCUCUUUACUUGUUCCAUAAUGCAUCAUCUGGUAACUAACUCAUUAGUCACAUUGCUUGCAAGGCUUAUAGUGAUGUGCAUUACCGAGAGGGCCCAUAUAUACCUCUCUGAUACACGGAGUGACAAAUCCUAAUCUCGAUCUAUGCCAACUCAAGAAACACCAUCGGAGACACCUGUAGAGCAUCUUUAUAAUCACCCAGUUACGUUGUGAUGUUUGAUAGCACACUAAGUGUUCCUCCGGUAUUCGGGAAUUGCAUAAUCUCAUAGUCAUAGGAACAUGUAUAAGUCAUGAAGAAAGCAAUAGCAAUAAAAUUAAACGAUCAUUGUGCUAAGAUAACGGAUGGGUCUUGUCCAUCACAUCAUUCUCUAAUGAUGUGAUCCCGUUCAUCAAAUUACAACACAUGUCUAUGGUUAGGAAACUUAACCAUCUUUGAUUAACGAGCUAGUCUAGUAGAGGCAUACUAGGGACACUCUGUUUGUCUAUGUAUUCACACAUGUACUAAGUUUCCGGUUAAUACAAUUUUAGCAUGAAUAAUAAAGAUUUAUCAUGAUAUAAGGAAAUAUAAAUAACAACUUUAUUAUUGCCUCUAGGGCAUAUUUCCUUCAGGAAGAGCAUUGCGGGUGGGAGGGAGAAGGGGAAUUAAGAGAGUGUAGGUUUCGGUUUGGGCCUCCGCGCGCUAUGUGUACACAUGUGUUGGUGGGUCAAUAGUAGUGGCGCCAGGUUUAUACCCCACACUACUACUAUGGCCUAUCCCGGGGGUACGAUAGAGACCACUUAGUAGUAGCGAGGGAUUUAUACCCCUCGGUACUACUAUCAACUUAGUACUAGUGAGGGAUUUAUACCCCUUGCUACUACUAUCAACUUAGUAGUAGUGAGGGAUUUAUACCCCUCGAUACUACUAUGGCCAGUCCCGGGGGGCACGGUGGAGACCACUUAGUAGUAGUGUGGGGUUUAUACCGCUCGCUACUACUAUCAACUUAGUAGUAGCGUGGGUUCUAUACCCCUCUCUACUAAUAAUUAGCAGCAGUGUGGCCCAUAUACCCCUUGCUACUGUUAAGCAUCUAUCUAUAAAUUAUUUUCUAGUAGUGCAUCAAUGGCGGCGAAAUCAGUCAUUCUGCUUGUUUUCCCUACUAGCUCUCUGACGUCCAGAACAAGUUUACGGUCAUAAGGUGCAAUGCCCUUGCCUUCAUGAGUGACACGAUGACACGGGAACGGGCUUCCAAGCCUAUGGUGUCGCAUCGUGUCGUGGUCUGCUAAACUUAGUGGACGGAUGCUACUCCAAUAUCGGUUGAUCCUAUACUACGGUACCAAGGAAGACACGCAACUACUAUAUAUAUUUCUUCAAGUCAGUCAACACAAGUAAACUCUGGGAGUUCAACUGGUGCAGCUAUGCAAUGCUAAUGGAGACAACACAAUUCAACUUUAGCACUUCACACAUAAGAAAAACCACGUUCAAUGGCACACACCUUAGAGUGUACCUAUGGUGGUUGAAUGGGCUAUAAGAAAUGUGAGUCCAUGUGAAGAUGCCAAACAUAAUAACACGGCUAAUUACACAUGCAGUGGCAGCAGCAACAAGUGCGUGAAUUCAACAAAUGAUCUAGGGUACACAUGCAACGGUGUCCUUGAGUAUGACAACAACCCUUAUCUUCUAGACAAAUGCAUGGUAUGCUACUAAUUUAUUUGCUACAAAUUCCAAUGAAUUGUGUCCUUUGCUUUGUACAUACCCAAUUAUAAUAUUUUAUUAUGCUAAUACAAUGUAGCCUUCAAUUUAAACCAAGGUUUGCAUCCAUUAAUUAUGUUAGGUUCAUAUGACUUCACUACAUAAAUAGGUAGAUAAUGCAUAAGACUGAGAUUGUAGCUAGGGAUGAAAAUCUAAAUACGGCAUGAAUCUAACAAUUAUGAGUAAUGUCUUUGUGACAAGAACUUUCUUUGUCUUUUAUUCCCAUGUUUGAACUAGUAUAGGUCAGGGUUACACAUUAUGGUGCACAUCACUUUAUUUGUCACCGUUACAUUGAACACCCAUUGACUAAACAACGAUAAUCCAUCCGUCUUGUAUUACAGGUCUUCAUUUCAUUGGCCACCGAUGCUUGUAAGACUACUCCCAGAUGGUUGUUGUUGUGGAUAUGGUUGUUGAGGUUGGUGUGGUUGCUGGGGGAAUGGUUGUUGGGGUUGCUGGGAAAUUGUUUGUUCUAGUUGCUGGGAUAAUUGUUGUUGGGGCUGCAAAAAUGGUUGUUGUGGUUGCAGGAUGGAUGGUUGCUGGGGUUGGGGCUGGGGAAAUGAUUGUUGUGAUUGUUGGGGUUGCUGGGAAAAUGGUUGUUGCGGUUGAAGGGGGAAUGGUUGUUGUGGUUAUAGAGGGAAAGGUUGUUGUGGUUGUUGAGGGAAUGGUUGUUGUGGUUGUUGNNNNNNNNNNNNNNNNNNNNNNNNNNNNNNNNNNNNNNNNNNNNNNNNNNNNNNNNNNNNNNNNNNNNNNNNNNNNNNNNNNNNNNNNNNNNNNNNNNNNNNNNNNNNNNNNNNNNNNNNNNNNNNNNNNNNNNNNNNNNNNNNNNNNNNNNNNNNNNNNNNNNNNNNNNNNNNNNNNNNNNNNNNNNNNNNNNNNNNNNNNNNNNNNNNNNNNNNNNNNNNNNNNNNNNNNNNNNNNNNNNNNNNNNNNNNNNNNNNNNNNNNNNNNNNNNNNNNNNNNNNNNNNNNNNNNNNNNNNNNNNNNNNNNNNNNNNNNNNNNNNNNNNNNNNNNNNNNNNNNNNNNNNNNNNNNNGAAUGGUUGGUGGGGAAUUAUUUGUUCUGGUUGCUGGGGAAUUAUUUGUUCUGGUUGCUGGGGGAAUGGUAGUUGGGGUUGGGGAAAUGGUUGUUGGGGUUGCUGGGGGAAUGGCUGUUGUGGUUGCAGAGGGAACGAUUGUUGGGUCUGGGGAAAUGGUUGUUGUGGUUGCCAGGAAAAUGGUUGUUGGGGCUGUGGAAAAGGUUGUUGUGGUUGUUGGGGUUGCUGGGGGAAUGGUUGUUGUGGUUGUAAGGGGGUCGGUUGUUGGGGUUGGGGAUAUAAUUGUUGUGAUUGCUGGAGAAAUUGUUGUUGGGGUGUGGAAAAUGGUUGUUGUGAUGGAUAUGGUUGCUAUGAUGGAUAUGGUUGUUGUGGAUAUGGCUGUUGUGGAAAUGGUUGUUGUUGAUGGGAAAAUGAUUGUUGAGGUGAUUGUAACUCUUUGUUGCUAGGGUUUAGCUGCCUAGCGGCAAUGGCGGUGUUCAUCGCCAUGGCAAGGAGGACAAAGAUGAGGAAGGUCUUCAUGUUGGAUUUGUGGUUACUACUGCUUGCUUGCCUUUGAUGCUUGUGGUCUAGGUGUGUGAAGUUUGGUUGAUGGAAGGUGUCCUUGGUGGUGCAUGUGUAUUUAUAGUUUUCAUGGCAUGGCUUGCUUUCAUCUUUGCACUCGCUCUUUGAAAAAGUGCAUCAAUGCUUAUCCAACUAAUCAUUUGGUUUGUUGUGUUUGGUGCAACUACUUACU
This 159639-nucleotide long non-coding RNA is filed under the name Triticum aestivum (bread wheat). RNAcentral describes it as "long non-coding RNA (TAES_LNC024411)". The record is from RNAcentral. Lineage: Eukaryota; Viridiplantae; Streptophyta; Magnoliopsida; Poales; Poaceae.